AUUAUCACCUCGAUCAGUAUGACUCUUUGGUAGCAUUGCACCUGUCUCCAUUCAUUAUAGGGACGAUAACUUGCAUCCUGUAGUAACCCGUUUGGGGGGGUAUAUUAGAUCAACAACAAUGUGCCCUGUAUCUACUGCAUUUUGUACACCAGUAAAUUACUGCCUACCUGCAUAUUGUUCGACAUAUUUGGUUACCAAUGAGCAGUUCAUGAGUUAGCAAAACUCUUGUUUGAUGUCUAAUUCUUUUUUUGUUUCACUUAAUAUGGGGCAGCUCUCGAUGAAUGUUUGUGAACAUGACUUUAUCAUCUUCAUUUAAUUAGUUACAUUAUGUAUAGUCUUAAUUGAAAUCUUAAAUCAUGAAACCUAUCUUUCAUGUUCUUUCUAACUGAAUAUUUGCUAGAUGAAAAUUUCAAAAAGAAACCAUCAACUAAAUAUCGGUAAUCGACACUAACUACAAGAUAUUUACCACUCAUUGUUUGAUUAACUUUUUUCUAAUUCUAUAAGUAUCUGAUUAGGUAACAACUAAUAAUUAUGUUUGGUGAUUGAAUGAGAAGAGAGUUAAGCAAAUCAAAGCAAGCCCCUGUUAUUUGAAAUAUUUUAAAGAUUUUUUUUUUAUUUUGAUGUAUCUACUUGAUCUUUGGCUAGCUAGGUUCAAAAUAUUAGCUCAACUUCUACUUUGAAAGCCAGAUUUCAUAUAUGCAUAAUGGAAGUUUUGGAAGAUUAAUGUUAUUGUACUGGUACAGCUAGCUAGAUUAAGGUAGUAAUUUCAUUCCAAAAGCCCUUGAUCCAAACUACUUCUAAAAGGACUUAUUAGUUUUUAGAGCAAUCUUGAAAGUUCAAGGAAGUGAAGUAGAUCAAGAUAAAUAUAUAGUUUUGGAUUUAAUUAAAUGAAUAAAUUUAAUAAUUGAAUUUAACAUAAAAAGGAGUUUCCAAAGUUUAAGGAAGUUUAAACUUUUGUUUACUUUGCAGUUCCUACUUUUCAACUAUUCUAUGUUACUUAUACUUGUUUGGUUCCUGAAAAAUUUGAGGGAAACUAUGAAGGAAAGAUGAUUGGAGCCAAAAUAUGUGCUUCCAUAGCAUAUGUAUAAUAUGAUUUAUGCAAUAUAAAAAGCUCAAAUCAUCCAACUUAACUCAAAUUGAUGUUAAGACCUAAUUAUGGAUCUAACUGCUAUUUUGAGCCUAAUUUUAGAUUGAAGGAAUGAAAAAAAAAUGAUAAGUGUAGAAGUCAUUAUCAACCAAGGGAGCAAAAGGGGUUAAACAUGCAUAAUUGAGAGACCCGAGACUUGUGAGCCAUGAAGAGUCCAAACAAGAGUGUGAUAAGCAACUUGAAAUACUAGCAAUGAAUGUUAUGAAGUGAGAUAGAGGGCAAACAACCAUAAUGGAGGAGGUUCGAAUAAAAUGCAAUCAAGUUCACAUGGGAAUUUAGAACUCAAAAUUUGGCAACAACACAUACUCUGACUUUGAGAUAAAAUUUAGAGCACUUCUCGAUGUCAAACUAAUAUAUGUGUAGAAUACUUAAAUUACCUUUCAAAUAAAAAUUAGGCUUUGUACAACUUAACAAAAAGAUGUUGGAAACUUAUGAAAAUUUGAUGCAAAAAGUGCUAAAUGUGUGCUUAUAGGCUAUUCACUCAAGCUAAAGUCCAUGGAGUUUUCCUUAAUGAAGGAAGAACAAGCUUCAAGAACAAUGACUAAAUCUUUAAAUGUAAUGAUAAAUGAUGUUUUUAGGAGAUGGUCUUCGUUAUGAAUUAGGAUAAAUUCCAAUUUCCAUCCAAAUCUGGAAUAAGUCUUAACUAUGUUAUCUUAACUAAGGGUAAUAAGUAGAUAGAGCUAAAAUCUAGUUUGGUAGAUGGAGGAAUCUGGUUUGGUAGAAUUGCUCCUUAUAUCUAACUUCUAGCAAUGCAUUUGGCUAGAUGGACCACUAAAUUUUGCUAGCCAACUUCAAUCUUUGAAGAUUCUCCCUAAUUUACUUCAACUCAACUGUCCAUAUGAUUUGUUCUCAAGAUUCCUAGCUCAUGAUUUGUUCUCAAGAUUACUAGCUCAUGGAUGAUAUAAAUAGCAUUUUCAUCUCGUUAAGAGGAGCUUGUGGUAGUCUUUUGUAUUUCUUUUCUAUUUUACGGUUUUUACCUUCUAUACUUUCUUUUUCUUGUAGAAACUCUAAGGUUAUGUUUGUUCCCAAAAUUUUUGAGGGAAAUUGAAGGGGAAAGAAGAUACAAAAGAAAUGUAGAAGGAAAGAAAAAAUGAAAAAAUAAAUAAAAAAAUAAAUUAAAACUCAAUAAAUUAUUUUUAUUUGUUACUUCAAGCUCGUUUUAUUUAUUUUAACUCAUUGACAUAAAGAUUAGAUAAUUUAAAAAUGUAUAAUUUUUUAAUUAAUUUUAAUUAUAUAUAUAUUUUUUUAAUAUUUUUUAUAGGACCACCAAAUAUGAGAAAAUCAUUUUCUAUAGUAUUUUUUUUUUCUUUCCUAAGUAUUUUACAGAAACCAAACAUACCCUAAAAUCAUGCUUGAUUAAUUGAAUAUAACAUGUGAUAGGAUAAGAAAAGAAAUAUUAUAUCUUAUUUUAUAUUUGGUUGGUAUUAGGAUAAGAUAAGUUAUCCUAUCACUUAUUACAUAUUCAAUCAAACAUAGGAUAAGAUAAAUAGUAUAUGAUAUAUUCCACCUUUUUUUUUAUAUAUUCAUUCUACAGAGAAUAUGUUAAUCUUAUGCUAAGAUAUAAGAUAUGCAUAUUUUAUGUAUCUUAAUUAAUUAAUUAUCUUAUAUUACUUAUUUCGCAAAAUAAAACUUUUAUUAUAAAAUUAAAUUUGAGAUUAAAAAAGAAAAAAUAAAAAUAUAUUAUAAAAUAAUAUUAGUAUAUGUAUUAUUUAAUAUAUAUAUAUAUAUAUAUAUAUAUAUAUAUUCAUCUAUGUAUAGAUGUAUGCAUGUAUAUUAUUUCUAUGUAUUGAAUAACACAAUAUAAACGAUUUUUAUUUAUAAAUUUUAAAUAUUUUAAACAUGAAUAUACUUAAACAUAAGAGAAAUUUUAUUUUUAAAAAUAAAGAAUAUUGGAAUGUAAUAUUCUUUUUUAUUUUAAACAUUGAAAAAUAAUACAUAUUCCAUAUAAUUUUUUAUUCAUUUCACAAAUUAAAUAUGAACAUAACAUAACCUAAUAUAUCUCAUUGGACAUGAUACCUUAGGAUGUUAUAUCUAUAGAUAUAAUAUCUCAUUGGAAAUCAUAUCCUAAGACUAAUUCCAAUCUUCUUUUACAUUAGCAAAGGCAUGUAUAAUAAGGGUCUUUUCUUGCUCGUUAGCGCCCCCGUACCCCUAUUAUAUUUUUUUAGUCAUAAAGGAGCUAAAAGAAAUUGGACAACCUUACUAAGGGAAAGAUGCACUCAAGCAUGCGAAGAAAGCACUUUGAGCUUCCCUUCUCUUAUCGAAGGGGUGCUCUAUGAUCAAACUUCAAAUAUCUCAUAAAGUAGGGGCAUCAAAGCUAAAGCUUGUAGUUUAGGGAUGCGCAAGUGCUUAACGCCUCAUACAAGGGGUUAGCGCACAAUGGCUUUCUCUAAGAGGGGCUUACUUCUUCAAGCGGAGCUUGCUACUUUUCAUUUUGAUAGGAGUAGGUUCCUUCUUGUUCAGGGUCAUUAGAUGAGAGAUCUUCCUCCGACUCUAAGAAAUUGGUCAAGCGGGAGGCUACCCUCAACUCAUCUCUCUAUCUAUAAAAAAAAACCCCUCCCCCAAGGAGAGUAGAAGCUCUGGAUGAGUAUGUCCUGGAUUCUUGGAUUCAUUCUCGUCCUAAUCCGUCAUGGAAUUUUCAGAAUCUACCAAAACAUUCUAGGAAAGGGCUUGUAAUGAUUUUCUCAAAGAUCACAAGGUGUUGAAGUGGCAGGAUAGGGGGAAUCUAUAGGUUUUUGUGAAAGAGAUGUUCUUAAUAUACACAUCAUAUCAUAUCCUAUCCUAUCCUGUCAACCAAAUGUAACAUAAAUCUUUGCAAAAACUAAGGAAAUCACCUAUCACCAUAAGUGUCUAGCUUUCUUCAAGGUUGUGUGAUGGAGGAUCUUGUAGGAGAACCUAUUUAGGUGAUAAUUGUAAUGAAUUUUCUUUGAAAUUUAGUGAAUCAAUUCAAGAUUUAAUCAUUUAGUUCUGAUUUUGGGCUUAUGAUUCAUGUUUCUUUUGCUUCAUACUUGGUUGCUGAUUGCUUGUUUUAUUCUCUUAAUAUUUAGGCAACUUAAUUUUGAUAUUUCAAUUACUUAAAUUUUAAUAAUAGAUUUAAUACAAUCAAUAGGUUAUUGGAUGAAAAUUGCUAUCAAAUUUUUGAGCCCUAGAUGUUCCUCAUGUAUAGGAGACUAAAUUAUAUUUGGGUCAUUCUUGUUGAAAAUCUCCCAUAAGCCACACUUAAGUAUUUAGUUUUGUGUGUUUGCUUAAGAAUCAUGAAAAAUCAGAUAAUGGACAGCAGACCAACAAGUGAAUCUAGGCCCUUUGUCAUUUUAUUAGGUUUUGAAUUUCUUAUGUUUUUUUUUGUUGCCAUCUAACCUUAUUUUGCUCUCUUUUUCAACCGAAAUUUUAACCAAUAUCCUAACAAUUUCACAAACAGCAACCGCUUGGUCAUUCUCACACACUCCAAAGUGUUACCUAACCUUCACUCUCUUGGGCAUGACACCCAAUAUUCACUGGAUUAUUACAAUCCGAAGUUGUGCUUAGGGCUUGACAUACUAGUAUGAACAACUUAGUAACACAAGCAACAUGCAGGUCCUUGCUCUUUGAUGUUGGAUAUUCCAAUGUUGACAUGUUGAUUUCCCAUAAAUCAUAUUGAUAGGAGAGAGGAAAGAUAUGUAGGCAUGUUGAUUCACUAAGCCAUGACCUUUGGAUAAAUUCAAAGCCAUAAGUCAUUAUGACUAUGCUUAGUUUCUAGAAAAUCCAAGAAAAAGAAAAUAAAGAGGAAAAGUAGAAGGAAAAUAAAAAAAUGAAUUUAAAGUCGAUACAUUAUUUUUAUAUGGUUCUUCAAAGACUUAUUUUCUUCUAUUAUAUAAAGAUUAAAUAAUUUUAAGAUACUUAAAUUUUCAUCUAAUUUUAAUUAUAUUUUAUUUUCUUUCGUAUUUUUUUUAUAGUAAAACCAAAUAUAAGAAAAUCAUUUUCCUUAAUUUUUUUUUUCUUUUCUUAGUAUUUUUUUGAAACCAAACAUAGUCUAUGUGUUUUACACAUGAUCAUAUGCUUUAUUUUCAUAUGUAAUAUGAAUCCUAUGACAUGUAUGUAUUAUUUCAAGGCAUGUAAUUAUUCUAACACUUACUUGUCAUGACUUGUAGGAAUUUAUUUAAAAUAUUUGGUUAAAAUGGAUGAAAUAAUCUCAAAAUUGUGAAUCUAACUAUUUCCAUGUUUUUUCUCAAAAAGUAACUCAUUUUUUAUAUAAAUACAUUUUAUCAUUUCAAGUAUUUACAUAUAGGUUUUCAAACAAAAUGUUAUUUUUAUAAGAAAAUAACGAGGACAUUUUUGUCAAUAUGAGGCAAAAAAAGGACAAAAUAUUAAAUUUCAAAAAUUGGGCUUUCAUUGACCCUUUUAAUCAAAUAACCUAAUUUAUUUCUAAUGUUUUAAUUAAGUAGCUUGAACCUUAGGUUUAGAGAUGUGUUACAAACCGAUAGGUAAGCAAUAAGUUUGAUAACUAUUUUUUCCAAGUAUGGAUUUUUUAUAUGUUUAAUCCUUGCAUUCUAUAUUUGUCUCUAUGUCAUCAUUACUCAAUUGUAGGAGGGUCAUGUAACUAGUGGUAUUUUUAGUAUUAUUCUUAUGUUAGGCUGGAUUACUUCAAUUAGAUAGUAAAUUUUUGUUAUACCAAAGAUUUGUGCAUUGGUACCCAUUGCUUUGCCUAAUAUACAUGAUGUUAGCUUCUUUGAUUUGGCCCAAUAGAAUUAGGUCGUAAGCCUCAUUAUUAAAUAUCUAAGGGGAAGUAUUAAUCAUCAAUUAUAGUCAAAAUAGGAUGUGUUGAAUGCUAUCUCUACAUUUAUUUUAUAAAUUUUUAUAUUGUUAAAAUGUUUUGAAUCAAUGAUUGAUUAUGUAUGUAAAUGCAUAAGUCUUUUAGGGUAUGUUUUGUAGUAAUUCUAGGAAUCAUUUGUAGUCUAAAAAGUGUUUUUGAAAAAAAAAAUUAGAUAUUUGAAAAAAAAAAUUAAAAUACUUUUAAAAAUCUAUAAAAUCACUUGUAGUGUUGGAAAGUCACUUAUAGUAUUUUUUGAAAAAAUAUUUGGGGCCUAUUUAAUAAUUGUUUUUGAAAACAAUUCUAAAUACUAGUUUUUAUAACAGUUUUUGAAAAUUAUUUUUAAAUUUUUAUAAAACAAAAGUUUGCUUGGAAAUGUAAAAUGUUUUUAAUAUUUUUAAAUAUAUUUUAAAAAUAAUUUUAUAUCUAGGAUUUUAUUUUUAAUCAUUUUACAUAUUUGUAUAAUUAUUUCUUAAAACAACCCUUAGAAAAUAAGUGAAAAUAAUAUAAAAUAACUAAGAAUGAGUUUGAUAAUAAUUUUAGAAAGUGUUUUUACUUUUUAUUAACAUUUCAAAAAUUUUAUAUUUCAAGUAAUAAAAAGACUAAAAACAUUUUCUAAAAUCACUCCUAAACGUACUCUAAAAGAUGUUAUCUAAAAAUACUAUAUUUUAUAUUCUUAAGAUCAGAAAAUAGAAAAAUGAUUUUUAUUCCCAAAUGUGUUUUCUAUAUUUUUUGUUUUGAAAAAUAGAAAACUAUUAUAAAAAACAAUUCCCAAAUAGGUCCUUGAUAUGCAAUUCUCCUAAAAAUACCUUCAAUGACAUUUCUAUUAAAAACACUUUGAAUAAAAGCACUAUUAAAUGCACUCUUAUUUUGAUAACAUUUUCAAAUAAGCAUGGUAUGGAUGUAUUAUUUACUUAAGUCUGCUUGAUCAGUCAUGAAGUAUUCUAACUUUUAGGUUGUAAAAUGUCCAUCAUUAAGAAACUGUAAGAGCCUCUUCAUGUAAAAUAGAACCUAGGGUUUGUGAGAGAAGCAAAGUCUUGUGUGCAUGUAAAUUAUAUUGACUUCAUCUUAUAUUUGGAUUUACAUGAAAACUAAUUAGUUCAUAUUCAAGAUUAAAUAGUGAAGAUUUACUGAAAUGAUUUAAGAUUGAUUGAUUUUGCCUUGGAUUCAAAGUUGCAUUCAUUGAAGAGUAGAUUGUGGUUCAUGGAGUUGCAUACCCAUAGAGUUAAAAUCAAAUAAAUAAAAGGCAGCCAACAAAUACCUUAUAAUUAGACUUCUAAAUAUUAAUUACUAAGCAAGCUUUUUACAAUAUCCAUAACCAAUUAGAAGACAUUAAUAGUGGUGAAGUAAUGAGAUGAUUAAAAGUGUGUUUGAUAGUGAUUUUAGAAAGUGUUUUUAACAUUUUUAACACUUCAAUUUUUUUUUAUUUUUUUAAGCAUUAAAGAUGCUAUUAAUAAUUCCUAGAAUCAAUAUCAAAUACGCUCGAAGAGUCCAUUUGACAGUAAUUUUAAGAAACAUUUUUAAUCUAAAAAGUGUUUUUUUUUUUUUAAAUAGAAGAUGUUUGAAAAAAUUUAGGUAACACUUACAAAAAUUUGAAAAAUCGCUUAUAGUGUUUUAUGGAAAAACAUUUGAUACAUAAUUCUCCUAAAAACACUUUUAGAGAAAACACUUCUACUAAAAACACUUUGAGUACAAAUACUCCUAAACGCACUCUAAAAAAUUAGAAUACUAAUGGAAUUAUGUGAUGCAAACCACUUUCAAGAACUGCCUUAUUCCCAUAUAAGUGAAAUGCCACACCUCAUUAAGAGUGUCUUGGUAGUAAUUAUAGAAAAUGUUUUUAGUUUUUCUAAUACUUGAAAAUUUUUAUCUUUCAAAUGUUAAAAGGAUUAAAAACGCUUCCUAUAAUCACUGACAAACAAACUCUAAAUCCAACAAAAACAAACACAUAAAUACACAUACAUCAUGACCUAAUGCACAUUGAUCUAAUAAAGACAAACACAUCGAAAGAAGCACUUUAUUUUCUAAGUGCUUCUUGCUAAUCAAAUAUGACAUGAACCAUAAGUAGGUAGAGGGGUAGUAAAAACCUUCAAUAUGUUUGGAAGUCCUUUCACAAUCAUCUAGUAUAACCAUUGGUGUACAAGAUGCACUUGAUACAUAGCACAUUGUUGUUGUUCGAAUAUAUUGCAAUUGUUCCUUGGGUGCAAGAUGUUAUCAUCAUCUUCAUUAAAAUGAAUAAAGAGAAAUACCCAGCUACCAAAGAAUUAUGCUGGAAUUGAUCCUUAACUUAUUAGUAUUGAAUAAGAUUGAUUUUUCCUCUAUUGACUCCUUCGAACUAAAAAGGGUUUGAAUGUCAUCAACACCGCAAUUGCCUCAACCACAUUUAGUAUGAAGAAAAUCAUCUAGUCACCUGCAUAUGAAGAAUUGUAAGAAGUUUUCAAUAAAUAGGUGAAAAUUAGCCUUUAAGUUGUUUGACUGUAUUUAUUAAUUUUCUUGGAUCAUUCAAUAGCAACCCUAAACUUACUAUUUUACGAAGAUUUAAUGGCUAUGUUUUGAGAAAUUAUAUAUUACAAACAUAACAUGAUUAAGAGAGCAAAUGAGGGAGGAAAGAUUUAAAUACUGACAAGAGAUUUUAUUUUUUUUAUUUUUUUUAUUAUGUAGCAAAUAACCAUUAAGAGAAGACGAUGGUUUAGCCUAAGCCAUCAAAUGCCGAACCAAUAAAAGAUAUGCCAAAUAUGGUAAUUGAUUCACAUGACAAUUGACAAACUUUCCACCUUCAGAAAAAUUAAUACAACCUAUUGCAUAAAUUAUCAAGAAAAAAGAGGAAUUGAAUGACCAAAGGAGUCCAUUCCUCAUACAAAAAAAUCAACAAUUAUUUUGUGAUUUAUUAAACAAACGGUCAAGAAGAAGAGUUCUUUAAAGAGGAAUCAUCAUUUUGUAAAUUAUAACAAAACAAGAAGAAGAAUGCUAAAGAAGAAGAAGAAAAAUGAUAAAGCUAUAAUUUACAAAAUGAUGAUUAUUGUUCUACAGUAUAUAGGAUUUCCAUUAUCUUGAACCCAACCUAGAACUUAAGAAAAUAGCUUUAUCAUUUUUCAUGGUCUUUCAAAUAAGUAGAAAUGUUGAUGAAUCAAGUUUCAUAUAUUAUUAAACCUUUUCAUAAUACUUUUAAUUUUUUGAUAUUCCAAUGUCGAAUGGCAGGAAUGUGAGGAGUAUAUAUCAACUUGUAUUUAGAGUUUUUCUUUUUAAAGGAUUUGACUAUUACAACUUAUUGGGAAGUAAGGCUGUAAUUUGGAUUGGUUGAUCGAAUUGAUGGUUAAUUAGAAUACAACUCAAAUUAAAAAUUAAUCAAUCUAAACCUAACCCAACCCAAUUUCUAAAUCGAGGCCCUAAUCCAAUUUCAUCUUUGUAUGCUUAGAUUGAGUCCUAGUUGGUUGGAUUAAACUCGAUUGAUCGGAUUGAUCAAGUUGUAUUAGUCAAAAUCUAUUUAUAAUGAUUUUUAAAAACUUAUAUAUAUAAAUUAAAUAAUUAUAUAAUAUAAUUCCAAUUUGAUGUUUUUCUAAACAAUCUGAAAAGCAAUUAAAUAUUAUUAUAUAGGAUAAUAUUUAUAAAAAUGCUAAAUUAGGUUUAGGUUAGGCUUGGGAUAUUCAAACCCGAGUCUCACCCAAAUUGAGCUUGUAUUGAAAAAAGUUAGCCCUAGUCAAACUUUAAGUAUUGAAAAUGAUUGCCUAAACUUAUUCAAACAUUGGGUUAGAUUCGAAUUUGGUAUGAUUAAUCCACUUAAAUUACACCCCUAUUAGGAAGUAGGAUGGUCGUCUAAGAUGUCCUCUAAUAUUUGAUUUGUUGGGGCAUUUGUGAGAUUUAGGAACCGCUUGUUCUUAUUUAUUAUAUUUUCAAACUUUUGUUAUGAGGUAAAUUUUUAAUUGCACAUUAAUCCAACAUCAUUGGAAAUAAAUGAAUCAUUUUUAAUAUUUAUUUUGUAGUUUUUUUGUCUUCAUAUUAAAGAUGUGAAAUUGGAAGGAUAACUUCCCUUAAAAUUUCUAACUUUAUUAUAUGACUAUAAUUUUGAAAAUUUUAUCUUAUUCCUUAGACCUGAAGGUGGUAUGACACUCGUCUAAAACAAGGUCGUUCUAUAUACUCUUGCUUCUAAGAAUCAGGGUCCUAUAAAAGCAACAAAAUCAUACCUGGGAAGAAGGCAGCUCUCUGACGCCCUUGUGCCCAAGAAAAGCUACAAAUACCAGCAUUAUUAAAAAUAACCAAAUGGUACAAUCUUGUAGAAGGAAAAAUAACUUUUAAAUAAAGCAAUUGUUAUUUAAUAAAAUAAAUGGAAUAUAAUUUGGAUAAGAUGAAAUCAAGUGAGACAACAUUUAGGGAAAGUGGCUAAAUAUGACUCCCUAUCUACACUAAAUCAUUGGGAUCAAAGCUUUCAUAGGCCACUAACCCAAUGCAAACCUGCACUAUGAGUAGAACAACAGGAUUCUUGAUACAAGUUAAGGAAGGAGGGAAAGCAAUAAAAAAGAUGUCGAUAUCUAAACCUUUUGUGUUAGGAAAUGAUGGGCAAACAUGACAAGGAAUCAACUAGUGUAGAAGAGUAAGACUAUGCUUGGUUUUCAGAAAAUUUGAGGGAAAAUGUAAGGGAAAGAAAAUAAAGAGUAAAAGUAUAGGGAAAGAAAAAAUGAAGAAAAAUAAAAAAAUUGAAUUAAAGUUGAUAAAUUAUUUUUGUUUGUUACUUUAAACUUAUUUUAUUUAUUUUAACUCAUCAAUAUAAAGAUUAAAUAAUUUAAAAAUGUAUAAGUUUCUAACUAAAUUUAAUUAUAUUUAAUUUUCUUUGGAAUUUUUCCUAAGACAACCAAACAUGAGAAAAUCAUUUUCCUUAGCAUUUUUUCUUUCCUUAGUACUUUCCAAGAAUCAAACAUAACCUAAGUCCAUAAUUUCCUAGAUGGUUCAAUGGCAUCAAAAGUCAAUAUCCUAGGAGUGGAUUGAAAGCAAAUCAAAUAAAUGCUAUAUAAUUCGUAUAGGUGAAUAAAAAUUAGGAUUUUUUUUUCCUUGGAAGACGUUUUAUUUCUUAUGGACACAACUUGUUUUAAAGUAUGUAUCUUGUAUUUAAAAGACACAACCUCUUCCAAAGGAUGUGUUUGGUGUCUUAAGACACAACCCUUCAAAGGAUGUAUCUAGUAUUUUAAAGACACUUCUCUUCUAAAGGUUACCAUCAAAUUUAUAAAUAGGGACCUCCUAUGGCCAUUUCAUUCAUAAUUUUCUCCACUCUUUCUCCUUUAUUGUCAUUCAAGUCCUCUUUAACUUCAAAUCUAGUUAUUUAUCUUUUCUACCAAAUAUUUGGCACACAAAAGAGUACAAAUCACCAAGUGAUUUGUUAUUUCUUAUUAUUUGAAGUGCUCCUAUCAUAAGAAAAUUAUCAUUGUAUCCUAGGAAACAAUUGUCAAUAAACCAUAAGCACUUGAGUGAAACAAAUUUGUUUUAAGGACAUAAAGUCAAACUCUAGCCUUAAUCAACCUUAUUCGUAAGUUCCAAUUUUCUACUUCAUUUUAUUUGUAUAUUUAUUAUACAUACUUAUUAUUCAUAUAUUUUUCAGUGAUGUGGAUAACAAUCUUAAGGCCCCUUUUUAACCAAACUUCAUAAGGCCUUGUCCAAGUCAAGCUCAUUGGAGGGUAUUGACAAGAAGAAAGGAAUAAAAUUAUGGGAUUUAAUGAUAGAUCCUAAAAUUAUGGAUAUAAAUAAGAUUAUAUUUUAUCAGUAAUUAUAUUGAAUCUUCUCAUAUUAGUAGUUCUAUCUCUGCUUUUUUGGAACUCUCUUUCAUCAGCACCUAGGACUGAGUUUUUGUCAUCCUCCUUCUAGAUGUAAAUACAUAAUUAAACCAUGUAAAAUAUUAUUGUUUAUUUAUUUAUUUUUGUGGAUUACUUUUAUUAUCUACAAUAUUGACAAUCAACUUCCCCGACGAUUCAAAAUUCAUAUGCUUCUCGGUCUUUGACAAGGGACAAGGUCUAACUUUUAAGCAUAACAAGGAUCAAAGCAAGAUCUCAAAAUUUUGUUUUCAUUUUAAUAUGGAGUAAGAACAAAGUAUAGCGAUCCUUAAGUUUAGCUCCCAAACUAUACUCCAUAUUUUUGCCUUCCCACAAAGAUGGAGAUGGGAAUGAUAUUUCUGAGUCGUUGGGAAUCUAUGAUGUGCUGGUAUUCUAAUAUUCCAAAAUAAAUAGUGAAAUAAGACUAAAAAAACUUCAGUGCAAGACCCUUUGGAACUCAUUAUUUUGAUUUGAACAGUUCAUAACCCUGAGUAAGAGCUUUUAUGGAUUCCAGGCAUCAUAGUGAAAAUAUAACAGCAAAAUUAAUGAAAUGAAGAGAACACUCACAUUACACCUCCUCCAGCAGGACCUGCUGCUUUGAAAAGAGACAUUGUAGUCAUAGUGAUGCCAUUUGCAGCACCUCUCUGGUGUUGCUCCUGUUGGGGCAAUAUGAGUGACAAGUUAUCAUUUUGAAAAUCAAGUGAAAAUUGGAAUGAUAGAAAUGAACCUGGAGAAGCCCAGAAAAGAGUAUUACCACAGCUCUAUUUUGCAGAAUAAUCAAGCCAGUUCCAAUGGACACCUAAUCACAUUGAAAUUUUUUUACUAGUAGGAGAGACAUUACUAAUGAUCAUUUGAUUUGCCUACCUACAAGAGAAUAUUCAAGUUGUAGAUCAACUUACAGAUAAUACAUUCUUCAUCGCCGAUGCACAAUUCAAUGCCAAAGAGAGGCUGAACCCAGAAAGCAUGGCUAUAAGAGGGUAAAUUGCCAACAGAGGUAUAGACAAAACCUACAUAUUGGGAAUAGCAUUGUAUGCAGAAAAAAUAUAAAUGAAUAUGCAAGAAGAUAUUAAUUAGUUGAAAAUAGAGAAAGAGUUUAUUGAAUGUUCCAAGGUGUGGGAAACAUACACCGGCAAUGCGACAGAUGAUGAUGGGCCCAAGAAGCUUCUCCAAAUAUGGAUAGAGAGAAAGUUGGAAUACCAAAACCCCAAAACCUAAAAAUUGAAUAGAUGCCAGCAACUCAAUGUCUUGAAUACAUAUCAGACAAUACACUGAAUAACACACAAAAAAAAAAAAAAUAUAGGUCUCUCUAGGUGCACCAAUUCAACUAUAAGAUAUUGCCAACAUCUUAAAAGAAAUGGUUAAACUAUAUUUGGUUUCUAGAAAGUACUAAGGAAAGAAAAAAAAAAUUAAGAAAAAUAAUUUUCUCACCUUCGGUUUUACUAUGAAAAAUACAAAAGAAAAACAAAUAAACUUAAAAUUAGUAAGAAACUAAUAUAUUUAUGAAUUACUUUUUCAUAUAGAAGACUUAAAUAGGUCAAAUGAGUUUCAUGUAGGAUAUGAAAAUAAUUUAUUUACAUUAAAUCUAAUUUUGAUUUUCUUUUAUUUUUUCUAUUCUUCCAUUUUUUUCCCUCUAUUUUCUUUCUUUCUGCAUUUUCCCUCAAACUUUCGAUGAACCAAACAUAGCUUUAGAGUAUUGUCUCGCACAUUGCUAUAAGCAUCAUCAAAUGCAUACUUCUACAAGACUUACUUGAGACAAAUUUUCUUCCAAAUUCAACACUGGGUUCCACGAGUACAUAAUGCUUGAAUUGUCUCAAUUUCUAUUUUGGUUUAGUUUUAUAUCAUUGUUAUGUCUCAAUUUCUUUUAUUUUUCUAUCCUUCCAUUUUUUUCUCUCUAUUUUCUUUCUUUCUGUAUUUUCCCUCAAACUUUCAAGGAACUAAACAUAGCUUUAGAGUAUCGUCUCGCACAUUGCUAUAAGCAUCAUCAAAUGCAUACUUCUACAAGACUUACUUGAGACAAAUUUUCUUCCAAAUUCAACAUUGGGUUCCACGAGUACAUAAUGCUUGAAUUGUCUCAAUUUCUAUUUUGGUUUAGUUUUAUAUCAUUGUUAUGUUUCUUCGUAUAGAGAUUCCUGUAAAGAAAACUUCUUUUUGAGUUCUUAUAGGAAACAGAAUUCCUCAUCCAUAACAAACUAAGUUUGGUGACUCAAUUAUAAAACAAGUAGGAACUGCCUUCAAGUGUUUUAAAAAGUCAGUGGAGAUGAGAGAGAGAGAGAGGGAGAGGGAGAGAGGAAAACACCCUUCGGAGCAAGAAACAUGUUUUGCCUCUCUUGCAUAUGUUUACUUUCUUAUUUCGUUUUUGAGACAAAUAAUCUCCUAAUUAUGGAUGCUUUGCUAUCUCAGUCAUGACUUUAUCUCUCCAGCUGAUCAGCCAAUACAAAGGGUGUAAAAGAUUAGGGAAUCAUUUCUGUUUUGCUUUCCCAUUACAAAGGUUGAUUCCUUUUCUGGUAGCUAAAAUGUAGUGGCUUUCAAUUUAAUUGUCAAGCUUCUGAACAUGCAAAGCAUAAUAGAGUUCCUUAUUCAAAUAAAGGCUUAGCUUCUUUAUUACCAUUCUUAUACCUUCUUAUUAAUUCCACAAUUCAUUUUGUGGUACCAUGGUCUAUUACCUUGAGAAGAAAGGCAGGAUGAUGCUGCAAGCAGCAAGAAUCAAAGUUGUAGGCGCUUUCUAGGAGGCAUAAUUAUAAAACCAAGAUUAUAAACUGAUCCAGUUCCUAUCAUUCUAAUCAUUGAUGAUUUGAGUAUUAUUUUGAGCAUAGAUAUUAUUGCGAUUCUUCUUUCAAUAUGACAUCUCAAACUUUGGAAUUCAUCACUUGAUCUCAUCCUAAUAUUGUGCAUACGUAUCCUUUUCCAUAUAGCAAGAGCACUAUCAUACUUUAUGAUUUUAGCAUCAAACUAAAAACAAACAACUCACAUCCCUCUCACUCUUCUUCCUCUUUUAGUUUUUUUUUUCUUCUUUAAUUAAGCAAUCUAGAAUCAGAACCAUUUAGAUAUUCUCUCACGAGGAAAAAAGAAGCCCUUCAAAAUCUAUCUGAUUGAAGUUAUUUGAGCAUGAACAUCAGCAUUUCCAUAGGCAAAGAAGGAACAAGCAAGAAAUUCAGUCCAUGAAUGUGCUUCCCAAGCCUCAUGGUAGGAAUGCUGAAUGAAAUUCUUUCCGGCCAAUUUUGAUACCUUAAGCAUGGAUAACCAGAUAAUAGUAUACCUGAGAUUGCAAGAACUACACCUACAUCAUCCGUUGAAUAGCUCAAACCCCCAUAUUUUCUAGGACUGACAGCCCAUAAUGAGAAUAUCUGCAGAAGAAAAUUUUAGUUUCAUAUUAGAUAUAAGGAAAUUAGAUUAAGAUUCAAUGUCAAUAAGCAGUAGUAAAGUGGGGGCCACAAUUUGAGAUGGCCAAGUCUGUAUUCAUUGUUGGAAUAAUGGUGCCAAUGACAGAAAAACAUGUAGCCAAAGGAGGGGUUCGGUGGCAGAAAUAACAUCAUGGCAGCAUUGGCAGCGAUGAUAUGGUGGUAGACAAUGUGAUGACAAAAGCGGUGAUGAUGGUGGUAGCAAAAAAUCCAAAAUCUGGUAGAGGAUUUAGUCAUACAAAAGAAAUCGAGUUCUCCGCCAUUGAUUGAACAGCAUGAGAUUCUAAGGAAUCAAGCUACCACACUACAAUUGUCAAAGUAGAUAUAAACAUAAACUAUGUACACUGUUCAAUUCAAAUACCUUUCCAGAGUUGGUUAAAAUUUUCACUCAUUUUUUUUAUCAUUAAACAUAUAAAAUUGAAAAGAAUCAAUUAAAAAAAAUUCAUUCCUCUGAGAUAUCAAACAUGGAGAUUAUAAUGAAGCUCUGCAUUUAUGUUCCCUGUUUAUAAAAAGGACCAGAAAGUAACACUGGACAAAGUGUGUAAUAAGAAUGCAUUUAUUUAUAAAUGGAAGAAGGCUGUCUUUGAGGAGAUGAAGGCUUUAGAGAAGAACAACACAUGGGAAAAGGUGAAUUUGCUUGAAGGAAAGACGUCGAUGGGGUGUAAAUGGGUAUUCAUGGUAAAGUUUAAUUCUAAUGGAUCUUUGGAACGACAUAAAGUUAGGUCAGUGGCUAAUGGUUUUACACAAACUUACAUGAUAGAUUAUCAAGAGACCUUUGCUCCAGUUGCCAAGUUGAAUACAAUCCAAGUACUACUUUCUAUAGUUGUAAACUUGGAAUGGUCCCUACACUAGUUAAAUAUUAAGAAUACGUUUUUUAAUGGCAAUUUAAAAGAAGUCUUCAUGGAUGCUCUAGUGGGUUUUUCAGGAAAGCUUUGGAACCAAAGUAUGCAACUUGAGGAAGUCUUUAUAUGGUCUAAAGCAGUCUUCGAGAACAUGGUUCGAAAGAUUUACAAGGUCGGUCAAAAAUCAAGGCUAGAGUCGAGGAUAAAUGGAUCAUACAAUGUUCAUGAAGUAUAUUGGAGGAGGUAAGAUAACCAAUUUGAUCGUGUACGUAGAUGACAUCAUCCUUAUUAGAAGUGAUGAAGCCGAGAUAACAAGAUAGAAGAAACGCCUUGCAACUUAAUUUGAGAUUAAAGGCUUGGGGUCCCUACGAUAUUUUUUGGGAAUAGAUGUCGCAAGAUCAAAAAAGGGAAUCAUAGUCACAAAGAAAGUAUGUUAAUUUAUGUUAGAGAAACCAAGCAACUGAGGGUACAAACCAAGCAACACCCCAACAAAUCCAAACCUCAAGUUUAGAGAAACAAUCGAGAGAAUGGCAGUUGAAAUUGAAGGUACCAAUGACUUGUAGGGAAGUAGAAUUUCCCGCACCUCUUUACUUUGAUAGCUCAUAGGAAGGCGACAAUAGAAGAAAUGUGGGACCGGAAUUUUGGAGGAGGAGGGUGGAAUUUGAGGUUCAUUAAGGAUUUUAACGAUUGAGAAUUGGAUAUGGUAGACAACUUGCUUCAUGAGUUGAAGGGCCACAAUAUUAUACCUGACCUAAUUGUCCUUAAUUUCCCUAUUUUGUUAUGAGCUUAUUAAUUUAUCUAUUUUCUCUAAGACUUUCUUGAGUCCAUGAUUGUGACAAAGUGUCAGCUCAACAUCUUUGAAUUGUUGUCAUUUCUCCCUCAUUAUGUUUUAGAAAAUUUAAAAAAAAAAAAAAAGUGAAAAACAAAAUUAGUAUUUAUAUUUUUCCCAAUAUAUGGUUGUAGGGAAUAAGUUUUUCUUUGUCAUUAAUUGUUGAUAAAUAAGAAUUUUAUCCCCUUCCUAACCAGAAAUAAAUCUAUAAUAUUAAUCAUAUUUCCUUUUCAAAUCCAUUCACUUGACAAAACCUUACUUUGGGAGAGAAAUUUGGAAAGAUAUAAAGAUUAUAUGAUCAAAGAAUAUAAAGCUAUGUCGACAACUAUUUUCGAAAAUAAUUUUUUGUUUUCUAAAAAUAAAUAAAAAUACAUGUUUGACAAACAAAAAACUAUUUUUUAUUUUUUAUUCUUAAGAAUAGAAAAUAGUGUUUUUAGAUGACAUAUUUAAGGUCUGUUUGGUAAUUGUUUUGGAAAACGAUUCUAAAAAUAAUAAUUUUUAAAAACAAUUAUAUAACUUUUGUAGAACAAAAGUCUGUUCGGAAACCUAAAAUAUUUGAAAUAUAUUUUAAAAAUAAUUUUUAUAUUUAGUGUUUUAUUUUUAAUUAUUUUAUGUGAGCACAAUUAUUUUUUAAAACAACCUUUAGAAAACAAGUGAAAACAAUAGAAAAAAAAUUUUAAAAGAUGUUAUUUGAAAACACCUUAUUUUCUAUUAUUAAGAAUAGAAAACAAAAAACAAUUUUUGGUUAUCAAACAUAUUUUUUAUUUUUUUGUUCUAGAGAGCAUAUAAGUGUUUUAAAAAAUAGUUCCCAAACAGACCUGUAAUUAUUUUCAGUUGUUUUCACAUAUUCUUUAAGGAAUGUUGUAAAAAAAAAUUAAACAAACAUGUAAACUAAUUUAAAAUAAAGUACUAAAUAUACAUAUUUUUUUAAAACAUAUUUAAAAAUAUUAAAAAGAAGUUAAAAAUAUUUCAAGUUUUCAAACAAAUUUUUAUUUUAUAAAACAUCAAAGAAUAGAUUUCAAAAACUUGUUUUUAACAAUUGUUUCUUAAAAUUAUUUUAAAAAACAAUUAUUGAAUAGAGCCUAAAAUGCAUUGGCUUGAGACUCAAAAAUAUGUGAAGCAAUAAUCAAUUUAGCAUCAAGACACAUGUGCCACUCUUAUGAUAAGAAUGGGCCAACUUUUUUUGUGGGUAUUAAUUCUUUAUGGACACAUCUCUUCCAAAUUUUUAGUCUAUUCCCAAACAUUUUUUAAGUAUUUUUGUUGAAUGUUGAUAGGAAUAAAUCAAUUGGGUUUGGGAAAUUUUGCCCUUUUUGUCUUUGACUUUUUGCAUUUGGGUUGAGGGAAAUAAGUUACCAACUAAGAUUGUGUUUGACAUUGAUUAUGAGAAGUGUUUUUAAUAUUUUUAAUACUUGAAAAAUAAAAAAUCUCAAGUGUUAAAAAGAUUAGAAACGCUUUCUAGAAUCACUAUCAAAUGCAUUCCAAUUUUUCAAUAAAUUUGCGAACAUAAAUUCUGAAAAAAGCAUUCAAAUAAGAGUUGAUUUAUAUUAAAAUAAAUAUUAUUAUUUUAAUUUGGAAGAAAAAUAAUUUUUUAAUUUGAAGAAAUCUAGGGCGCAAUUGUGCGUGUUCCAUGUGGGUUUGACUACUUUUUUGUCCAUGUUCUACUUGGUAGACCCAUGCUUUUGAAUUAAAAGUUCAAUUAAUCAACGAUCACAAGCAUGUCAUACUUAAAAACAAUUUACUUGAUUUUUAAAAUCUUAAAAUAAGUAAAUAUGUAAGAAGGUAUGUAAAAAGUCAGUCUUUGGAUGAUUUUUGAGGGCUAAUGUUUGCCUAGUAUUGGAAGGUUACAAGGACAUUAAGAAGAUUUUCACCAUGGAACUUUGUAGAAAUCAAAAUUUUUAGUAAAAUAAAUUAUUAUUAAAGUUGUUCUUAAAAAAAAUGUGGCUUCCCAAUUUAAUAAAAUUUGGGAUCAACAAGUAAGAGGUCUUACACACACUUGACAAAUAACAUAUAUUAAAAAUGUGACACGUGAUGAAGUUUAGAAGACUACAAAUUUAGUCUUCCAAAUAAAAUUGAAAAUUUCAAUUGUAGUCAAAGGAGAAUUAAAUAAUAAUAAUAAAUAUUCUUUUGUUGAUAAAUUCUUAAAAGAAACAGAUAUUUUAAUUGAAGUCAAAAGAAAAUAAAAAAAUAAGUAAAUAUUCUCUCGUUGACAAAUUUUUUUAAUGAAGAAGAAGGCAAUUUAUUAAAAUCAAGCAAUUAAAUUUUGAGGAAUUCCAAAAUUUAAUUCCCUAAUUUCACCUAUAAAUAGGGGUAAUUUCCUUCAAUGGAGGAACUUCUUCAAUUCAACAAAAUGAUUUUACAUGAGAAAAAAAGGUUUCACAAAGAAGAAAAAGGCUUUAAAUAUCUCCCUACAAGUCUAACAAAUUACGAAAGUGCUAGACACGCGAUCCUUGACUUUCAAUGAGUUCAUUUGAGAAUAAGUCGGGUGUGACCCUCAAUCGAUCUCUAAACUCAAAGAAAUAUUUUCAUCAUCGUCUUCUAAAUUGUGAUCAAGAUGAAAAAAAUCAUAGGGAUAUAUUCUUUUGUAAAAGAAUAUUACCACAAAGAUUGUACCCCAUAAUUUAAUAAUUUUAAUAAAAUUUUUGUUUUACAUAUUUUGCCAUAAUUUUGCUUAUUUUGUAUGAAUUCAUGAAAUUCAUGCAUAAAAACUCAUUUUUAUUAUGUUGCAUUAUUAUAUUUUUGAAGAGUUUUAAAAUGUGAAUCUCAAUAGUGGAAUACACCUAGAGAAGGGGAGGGGAGGGGAGGGGGGAUGAAUAGGUGUUUUGACUAAUUAAAAAAAAAAUCUCAACUCAAAUUAGCAAACCUUAAAACUUUUUGAAUAUUUUUCUUCUCUUCACACAAUAUAAAAAACACAAAUUAUAAAUAACAUGUAUAUAUGAAUGUAACAAAACUCCCCAACAAUAUUAAAAUGCAAUUCACAUGCACAUGAUCCAACACUCCUAAACUCAAAUCAACUUAAACUAAAUCCUGAUAAAAACAAGAUCGAUAUAUCUCAAAAUGUCAAUGAUCAACAUUUAGAAACAACUUCAAAGAUGAUUCAUAGCCAUUUCUCUUCACCAUUCAAUUAAAUAGUACACAAUCAAAAUUAUAAUAAAUUGUUGAAACUGAAAAAUGAUGCUAAGAAGAGAGAGAGACAAUGAGACAUCAUAUUUUAACAUGGAAAACCUCCAAAGAGAUAAAAAACCAUCGGCCUACAAUCGAUCAAAAUCAUCCACUAUGAAGAAUAAAAAUUGAAUACAAGGUUUUACCUAACUCAAGCCAACCAAUCCUUCCCAAACCACUUGACUAGUAUGUUUCACUUUCAGCUUCUCACCUUCUUCUUUCGAAGCACACUUGGAGUCCACACCAAGCUCGAUCUUGGUAUUUUCUUGAACCCACACAAGAAGAAAAUGGGUUUUUGCAUAAAACUAAGAAAAUGAAAGAUGAAUGAUUUAGAAAUCAACCCGUGUUCAUUUCCAAAAAUUCCAUUAAAACAAAAUUUCUUGGAAAACUUGGAUAGGAUUUUCUUGGAGCAAACAACAUCAAAGAGAAAAUAAAAUGAGGAGCACAAGAACGGUUGUUGUAGUAUCUCCUUCCAUAAAUGGGAGAAAAUUGAUUUUAAAUGACAAAGAAACCCUUAAUCCAAGGGCUAAAAAUUGAUCUUAAAAACAUGUUAGUUGGAUCGAUCUGUCCCUAAACCUGGUUUGAUCCAGAAAUAGGGAAACAAAAGUCUUUUAGAAAAAAUAUUUCUCCCAACUUUUUUAACUCUUUUAAAGAUGAAAAAUAUGGUUGAUUUACAUUCAAUCACCACACACUCGGCUACAUACCUCCGCCUCUUAGCAAAGUCUUAAUCUUCAAAGGUCGAGUAGUAUGAAGAGGAAUUGGAAAAUCGAGUUAGAGGACAUUUAAGAAUUUUGUCCGAAAUUGCCAACCUAGCUAAACACUCACAAUCUUCCCUUUUGGAAAUUCUAGGACAAAACCCUUUACAACAUGAAUGAGUACAAGUAAGUAAGCCCCACCUACUUUCAUACAAGACCACUCACUUACCCACUCAAACUCACAACAUAAGUACUACUUAACCUGCAAUUAAAAUCUCACAAACAAAGCAAUUAGUAGAACCUGUGUGAAACAAUUGAAUAUCCAUAAUAUAUCAACAAGUAUAUCCAAAAAAUCCAAUGUAUAUUCAAAUCCAAAUGAGACACAAUCACAUAUCAACAUGUAUCUCAAAAUAUCCAAUAUAAAAAAUAAUCAUCAUGUGGAUAUCCAAUCGCCAAAAUAACAAUUAUAGUGUCUCUUCCACUUUUUGUCCCAAAAAGAGACAAAGGGCCACAAUUUCCCCCUUUAUAUCCAAGAAAAAAAGACAAAGAGAUGACAAUUCAAUAGCUGGAUAUCUAACAUACAAAUAAAAAAAUAUCCACAUUUCAACAAAAUGUCAAAUACCCAAAAAUCAAGUUUCCAUAUCAACAUCCAAAAAAAAUUUAUUAGAUAUAUACAAGAAUAUCCUCCUAAGUCCCAUCAUAAAAUAUAAGAAUCUCUCCAUAAAUCCCAUCACAUGGCUUCAAUUAAAAACUUUCAAAAAAGGCUUUAUCACCAUGAAAGCAUAUUCCAAGCAUGAAAAUGUAUGGAGACCACUCAAAACGAACAACCAAAGCCUAGGAUUAGCAUUCCUAGAAACCAAGAACACUCCAAGGAAAAAUGAAAUCUCAAACUAUUAAAACUACUGUGAGAGGACUCCACAAACAACAAGAAAAAUCCAUAUGAGACUAAUAGAGGAGAGAAGAAUGGGUAAACCAAACAAUAAUGGUUGUCGGAAAGCUUGAUUACAAACCAAGCUUGAGUAACUUGCCAGAAUAGAUGUAAACACUUGGAUGCAUAGAAAUAUGGACUAGAAUGGAUGAGAAGUGCAGAAAGAGGUAUCUGGCAUAAAUGGCCGAAAGAGAAAGUUGGCAACAAUGGUAGAAAUGCACAUAGGAAUUUUCAACAACAAAGAAUUGGAAGGUGUGUGCUGGAACUGAAAACAAGAAAAUAAGCACAGUGUAUUGGUUGUUUAGGUCACGAUUUUCGAUAGCACAUAUUGAAACCAACGUGACUAUAGUAAAGCCUCGCUGAAAAAGAGAAUCCGGUGGGAUUGGCUGGAAGAGAAAGGCUAGUAAUGGUCGAAAAUGAAGCCCGACAACAUUGGAUAGAGAUGAUGCAUAGAGAAGAAAAGUUCUCUUCUUUGGAAGAAAAAGCUUAAGGUUUUUUGAGAGAAAUGGAUGUGAAAGAAGUGCAUUUUUGGGGAUUUUGACUUUUUCAAAUUUUUUUACCUUUAAAUUAUGAAAAUACCCUUCAUCCAUUAAACCAUGAAUAUAACCAGCUGAGGGAAAAAAUGGAAUUUUUCACACAAGUGCAUAAGUGGUAUCAAUCUUGGUGGAUCGAUCUAGCUUUUGAUCGUGAGCUCUCGAUGAUACACAGUCACACAGGUUUGAAUAGGCCAAAUUUGAAAAAAAAAUGUGUGAGAGAUAAGGAAUAAGUGGUAUCAAUCUUGAUGGAUCGAUCUAGGUUUUGUUCAAGGGCUCUCGGUCACAAAACUGUGCACAUUGGAUCAAUCCACAAAUUCAGCAAAUCGAUCGACAUCCUACUGAAAAAUGACUUAGGCAAAAACUUACAAAAAAUCAUAAGAAACACACCAAAAAGCUUUCCAAAAACUGAAAAUUGAUCCGCUAAAGCUGAGAAAUAUUAGGAUGACACACUUAUGUUCCCAUCAAUGAGAUAGUAUUGAAUCAUAUUGAUUAAAAAUGCUAUCAAGAGCUUAACUUUAGACAAAAUUAAUGAACAUAGAGAUUGAGAAACCUUCCAAAAUUUUCAUAUGAAUAGGUAAAAGAACAAAUGAUUAUAAAUAUUCUAACAAAGAAGCUUAAGUUCAAAGAAGACUCGCUCAUGACACCAUAAAACAGUGAGAAUGUUAAUUACUUUCCACUUAUAAACCUAUAUCCACCCAUAAAGCAAAAAAUCAUUUUCAAGACACUAUUCUUUACUAGAGAAAUUCAAGAUAAUGUUCCAAGAAGUCAAUUUGCACAUCUCUUGGUCGGAUUUCUGUUUAACACGACCCAUUUACAUCCCUUUAACAAAGUUCAUACCUCAUUUGCUUUUCACAUUUAAUUUUGAAAUGAUUACAAAGAUAUAGACUUUACCCUUAGGAUCAAUUUUUGACCUGAGGAACACUAAGGAAACCUUUACAACAUAACAACAUAAGGAAUACCUUACCCUUGCAAUGGAAGCUUUUUAACUCUUGAAACAUUGCCAAGGAGCCAUAACCAUUCCGAGAAACUUCAUAUAUAUAUAUAUAUAUAUAUAUAUAUUUUUCUUUUCUAUUUUUCUCAUACUUAAUUUCAAAGAGAGGGCAAACAAUAAAGGAACGAUCUUCUCAACCACUCAAGGAAUUUUUGGGUGAUUUUAAUCACUCUUUAAUGCUCAUUAAAUAGGUAUAAGUCUACAUUUAGACUUUAAAUCACAAGGUUCAACCAUGAACUUUUACUCACUUAAAAGAAAUGAAGCUAACCUUUUUGUGGUUUAUCUAAUCAAAUCAACAUAGCAAGGAUUCAAUAUCAUGUUUAUCAAUCAAGCCAUGGAGAUAAAGACAUCUUGAAACUUUUAAGAUCAUUAUGAGUCAAUCUAAAUUUUAAACAAAACGAAUAAGCAUGUCACUCUCAUGAACUCAGCAAUUGUUGAAAAUUUAUGAAAAUUUGAGAAAAUAUUGAACCAAAACAACAAGAACAUCAACUUGGUGACAUUUAGGAGCUUAGAAAGACAACUAGGACUCAAGGAUACGCAAGAGAAUGUCUUAGACAAGUUCUAGAGAAAGUCAACUGAGUAUGCAUAAACCUGUGGAUUUUCUAAGGGAUUCAAACCUAGACACAUCUAAAGGUUUAGUGAAAAUAUCAGCAAUUUGACCAUCUAUUGGGAAAAACUCUAAUGAAACAACCUUUUCUUCUACCGAGUCUUGAAUGAAAUGAUAUCUAAUGUCCACAUGUUUUGACCUAGAAUGAAGAACUUGGUUAUUUGACCUAUCAAUAACAUUGACACCAUUAAAUUUUCUCCCCCUACUAAUCUUAACUUUUACAAUGGGAUGCUCUUUUUCAUUUUAAAACAACCUAUGUUGCAACAAGUGUUCAACAUAUGCAAUUGUAGGAUUUGCACACCCAAGAGAGGAGGAUGAAAGAGAUUUUUGACUAACAAUAUAGUAAUUAUCACAAGUUCUCAAGCCAAUCAUCACACAUACGUCGUUCAAGUCAAACACCUUGCACAAAUUUUGUGAAAAUUGGACAUUGAACUCACACAUUUGGCUUAUGCUAAUUAAGUUAGCCUUUAAACCUUCAAUGUAUAAGACCUCUUUAAGAUUAGGAAUGUUGGGGACACAAAUGGUACCUUUGUCUUUCACUCUAGCCGCAUUACCGUCUCCAAAUGUCACAUUUCCUCCAUCAAAUUCAAUGAAACUAGUGAAGAAUGAUUUAUUACCCAUCAUAUGGUGUGAAUAACCACUAUCAAGAUACCAUGGGUGUGUCUCACUAGCUUUAAGUGUGGUAUGGACAAUAAGACAUUUUAGCUCAUUUUUUUUCACCUAAUUUUGUUUGACAUUUAAGAUUUUUGUCUUUUAAUUCAAAGUGUUCCUUUUCACUUCACCAUUAUCAAAGAUCUUUGAGCUCUUCUUGGACACUCUCUUAUUCUCAUUUAACAACCUACCCUUCAAACUAUGAAAUUCAUUCAUGAGGUUGGUCAACUUCCUUUGAAAAUUAUCAAACAAUCUUGCAUAACAUCAAUUAAAAGUGUCCCAUUUUUCCACAAUGAUUGUAAUGAAAGUUGAUUUAGGAAUGAGUUUUCUUAGGAAAUUAUUUUUAGCAAUGCUUAACAAAAACUGUUUUACUACUACUUUGAGUAGCAUUUCCACCAAGAAAUCCUAAGCUUCUUUUAUCAAAAGAUUACGCCUUGAAUUAAUCAACUAGAGCUAUGAUGUAACUCUUUUUUUCCUAAUACUUAACUCAUCCUUGAAUAUUUGAUUUCCACUUUUCAACACAUCACAUUUUUUCUUCACUUCCAAAUGUAAAUUUUCAAGAAAUGCAAUUUUAUCAAGCAAAGCCUUCUUUUCUCCAUUUAAAACAACCUCAUUGGUUAAAAUCUUCUUAGAAGCCUUCCACUUGACUUGUUCUUGUUUAAGGCUCAAACACUCCUUAUACAAAGUAUCAUAUGCUAUGUCAAAACUCAUGUUAUCAUCAUUGGAGUCACUUGACUCACUUAACUCACUUGAAGCUUCUUUAAAGAGAGGUUCCUCAUUGACACUUGUAGAAAAGGCAAUGAAGUUAGUGUAUUCCUCACUUCCAUUGGAUUCUUUUUCAAUUAAUUGAUUAGACUCGGAGUCACUCUAAGUAACUUGCAUAGCCUUUUUAUUCUUUUUCUUUGAGGGACAUUCAAAUGCAUAGUGACCCUUUCCCUCACAUUUAAAGCACUCAAUUUUCAACUCAUUUUCACACAUUUUUCCAUCUUUUUCUCUUUUCCAAUUGAGUUCCUCCAUUUUUUUACCAUCAAUUGAUUCUUUCUUGGAUUUUCUGAAUUUCAUGUGCUUCUUGAAUUUUUUUUAGCAAACUUAGUAAGCUCACCUUUUGAUAUUUUCUCAUCAUCCUCACUUUCGGAACUUAGGGACUCUUCUUUAAUACCUUUUAAAGCAAUUCCCUUAGCUUUCCUAGGUGAUGCAAAGGUCACCUCAAAGGUUUGAAGGGAACCUACAUGUUCAUCUAUUUUCAAGGAACCUGCAUCCUUAGACUUUUCAAUGGUGGUGAUCUUAGCUCUAAAUCUUUCCAGGAGAGGUCUUAAAAUUUUUCUAACCACCUUAGAGUUAGAGAUGGGUUCACCUAGAUUGAAACUAGAAUUCAUUAUAUCCAUCAAUUUUGCAUGAAAUUCUCCAAAAGUUUCAUGAUCAUCCAUCCUAAUGGUCUCAAACCUAGAUGUCAACAUUUGAAACUUGGACACUUUCAUGACAUUAGUUCCUUCAUGAGUCACUUGGAGGAUAUCCCAAGCCUCCUUAGCUAAAGUGCAUAUAGCAAUCCUACAAAAUUCAUUCAUACUAAUGGCAUUGAAGAUGGAGUACAUGACUCUAACAUUAUUUUCACUAGUUUCACUUUCACUUCUAUCCCAUUCCAAUUUAGGCUUGACAACAUUUGUUGAUCUACUUUCUCUAUCCAACACCAUAGGUGGAGACCAACCAAAUUCAAUGACAUUCCAAACUUUUUCACUUUGCAUUUUGAGAAAAUAUUGCAUUCUCACUUUCCAAUGAGAAUAAUUUUCAUCGGUUAAAAAAUGAGGUCUCCCAAUUGAAGCACCCUCUUGAUGAGGUUCCAUAUUUGAGAUUCAAGGAUCAAAAAUGAUUUUUGCUUUAAAAACCCACUCUGAUACCAAUUGAAAAGGUGAAUCUUAAUAGUGGAAUACACUUAAAGGUGAAGGGAGAGAAGGGGAGAGGGGGUUGAAUAGGUGUUUUGACCAAUUCAAAAAAUCCUCAACUCAAAUUAGCAAACCUUAAAACUUUUUGAAUGUUUUUAUUCUCUUCACACAAUCUCAAAAACACAAAAUAUAAACUACAUGCAUGUAUAAAAGCAACAACACUCCCCAACAAUAUUAAAAUGAAAUUCACAUGCACAUGAUCCAAUACUCCCAAACUCAAAUCAACUUAAACUAAAUCCUGAUAAAAACAAGAUCAAUAUAUCUCAAAAUGUCAAUGAUCAACAUUCAGAAACAACUUUAAAGAUGAUUCAUAGCCAUUUCUCUUCACCAUUCAAUCAAAUAAUAGACAAUCAAAAUUAUAAUAAAUUGCUGAAACUAAAAACUGAUGCUGAGAAGAGAGAGAGACAAUGAGACACCGAAUUUUAGCCUGGAAAACCUCCGAAAAGAUAAAAAAACUAUGGGCCUACAACCAAUAAAAAACAUCCACUAUGAAGAAUAAAAAUUGAAUACAAGGUUUUACCUAGCUCAAGCCAACCAAUCCUUCCGGGACCACUUGACUAGUACCUUUCACUUUUAGCUUCUCACAUUAUUUUUCUAGAACACACUUGAUGUCCACACCAAGCUUGAUCUUGACCUCUUCUUGAAUCCACACAAGAAGAAAAUUGGUUUUUACAUCAAACCAAUAGAAUGAGAGAUGAAUGUUUCAGAAAUCAACCUAUGUUCAUUUGCAAAAAAAAUCCAUUAAAAACAAAAUUUCUUGGAAAACUUGGAUAGGAUUUUCUUGGAGCAAGCAACCUCAAAGAGAAAAAUGAAUGAGAAGCAUAAGAACGGCUAUUGUAGUCUCUUUUUCCAAAAAUGAGAGAAAUUGAUUUUAAAUGAGAAAGAAACCCAUGAUCCAAUGGCUGAAAAUUGAUCUAAAAAACAUGUUAGUUGGAUCGAUCUGCCCCUGCACCUAGAUCGAUCCAGAAACAAGGGAAUAUAAGCCUUUCAACAAAAAUAUUUCUCUCAACUUUCUUAACUCUUUUAAAGAUGAAAAACAGGGUUGAUUCAUAUUGAAUCACCACACACUCGGCUACAUACCUCAGUCUCUUAGCAAAGUCUUAAUCUUCAAAGGUCAAGUAGUCCGAAGAGGGAACACUAAAGAAUUUUGUUCGAAAUUGCCAACCUAGCUAAACACUCACAAGCUUGUUGUUGAAGAAUCAUUGGAGGGUUUUCUUUUCAUUAUCUAAUGAUUUUUAAGACUAUUUUUUUCCUUUCAAAAAUCUCUCGAUUGGAGAAGGGAUUUUAUCUAGUUACGUUUAAUUAUAACUAAAACAAGGGUGUUUAAUUUGUAAGAAAUUUGACUUCUUGUUUUAAAAAGUUUGUGAUAUGUAAGAAAUUCUUUUAAUUCUCUUCUUCAUUUUAAUUUGAUUUUGUGUAAUGCAAUUGAAGUAUAUUUCAAAUUUAGGACAUGAGUAUUAAUGAAGCCCACCCUCACAUAAGAUAAAAAAUAAAAACUAGAAAUAAAUGCAGUAAAUUCAAUUUUCAAAAUAGAAGUAUAGUUUUUUUUUUAAACAUGGAAUUUAUUAUUAUCUAUUUUUAAAAUAAAAAAAAUGUAUCUAAACAAAUAAUAAUGUAUUGACCAUAGUUCUUUUUCCAAAUCAAUCAACUUAAUUAAAACUUUACUAUCGUAUGGGGUCAGAGGUAGGUUGAUUCGAAGAAUUGUGGUGAUAUCCAUAAUAUUGAGGUAUUCUUUUGAUGCUUGAACCUGACAUCCCUUUUUUUCACUCCUAACACUUUAUGAAAAAGAACUUUUGUUGUUGAGUGCACUAAUGUACUAGUGUAUGUGAUGCACAUUGGAUAGGACCUAUGGUGAAUCAUGAUGUAAGACUAUCGAUUGUCAUGAUUUAUUAAGCUAUUAUAUUGCAUGGACUCUCAACUUUGAGAGGAUAUUAAGUCUAUGCCAAAGUCAAUAGAAGGCUUUGACCUAUGGGUGAAACCCCAAAGUGGUCACAUAUUCCUAUGAAUUUGGUCACUAUUGAUGGAGGUUGGUGGCAACAUGGAUUUUUCAAUAUAGACACCAUGAUAUCUUAUGGAUUGAGACAAUGUGUUCUAUCCAAUGGACAUGUGAUUUAGGAGACUAUGGUCAUAGCAUUUUCCUUAAUGAAAAUUUGACAUAUACUCUUUGGAAUUAGAGUAUGUCAAUUUAUAAUACAAUAAGUGGAAUAUGUAACUGAAGGAUUAGAAAGGUAAUCUUGAUAGGUGAUAUCACUACCUUGUUAGAUUACGGGCAUCAAUUCAUAGGAAGCUUGCAUGUAGUGGAUAGUAAGGCAUGAACCUGAACUUCGUCUCGUUGUUAUUUACAUAGGGUAUUAGAGUGCGGUUGAUUCUUUUUAGUGGAAUGUUGAAUCAACUUUAGAAAUUAAUUUUAAGAGAGGCAAUACUCCUAUAGGUCACCGCUCUUAGCUUAUAUACCAUAAUGACAUGGUUUAUGAGGGUUAGAAUGACUCUAGGUUCACUUUUGUGCAUAAGGAUAUUUUGGUAAUUAUACAAGGUUGAGUAAAGGAUAGUAAACAAGUUCUCUGCAUUGGACUAAUUGAUUAAUUAAAUGGUCCUAUAUGAUUAAUCAAUUAGGAUCAGUUUUGGGUUAAAUUAAGUGAUACAAGUUUUGGUGGGCUCAUGUCAUUUAAGCCCAAUAGGGGAACCUUAUAAAUACCCUUUAGGGGGUGUUUGGUGCAUAGGAAUGAGAAGUGGGAAUAGUAAUUUCAUUCAUUCCCUCCCUCAUUCCCAUGUUUGGAUAAAUUUUAUAAAGGUAAGAAUGUAAUAAAAAAUAAUUCCGGUAGAAAUCAAAUCCCACUUUGAAGUGGGAUUUCAAUUUAUCGUAAGUAGGUGGUAUUCUAACUCAUUUAUCCAAUAAGAAAAUAUAAUAUAAUCUAAAAUUACUAUUUUAUCCUUGAAUGUCAUUCAUCAAGCCUCGAUGCCUUUUCAUCCCAUAAUAAGACUAUUUUUUAGUCUUAUUAUUUAGAAGAAAAAAAAAAAGCUCUCAAUUUUUUUAAUGAAAAAAAAAAAAAAAAUUAUUGUAAAUUAUGUAAGGAUAUUAUAAUCAAUUUAUUUCUUUUUCAUUUUCAUUCCUAUUAUUACCAAACACUAUAAUGGAAACAAAUAAUCUUUCAAUCUUGAAUUCCUAAGUUCAUCCAAACCCUAGAAAUAGAAUCACCAAAUUCAUUUCCAUUCACCAAAAAAUAGGAAUGGAAACAAAAUAUUCAUUUCUAUUCCCUAUUCCUGUGUACCAAACACCUCCUUAGGGGUUAAGGUUUCCAUCACUUUUAGUAUGAGAGUCAUCUUCCACCUUUGAGCAGAGAAAGAGAGAGCUUAGGAUUCUUCCAUUCCAAAACCCAUGCUUUGAAAUAUCAAAAUCAUGAUUCGAGUCAUCGGGCGGAAGAUCUUGGGUGUAUAAGACCCUCAGAUUCUUCCGGCUUCAUCUUAACCAAGUGGAAUUGAUUUGGGAACAUUUAAAUCGAAGGUAAGUUUUUUAAUGUCUUUAAUCUAAAUCCUAAAAUGUUAAAAAAAAAUGUUAUUCUUCACUUUUGUUACAUAAGAUUUAGAGGCCUAGUGUAGUUAGCAUGUUUUUAUUUGAUCUAGGGUAUGAGAACAGAUAAAUCCAAGGUUCCCAGUAACUAACACCCUAACCAUAGAUCUAGCUUUUGAAAAUACUUUUACUUACACAAUCUAUCAAACAAGUUAGCAACGAGUGUAAUUAGGUGUCUAUUCUUACUUGUUACCUUGUUUAAUGCAUAAUAGUCAAUGAAAAUUUGCAGUAACUCAUCUUACUUCUUUUGCAAAAAAAUAGGUGCCCAUAUGGUACCCUUAAAGGUUAUAUCAAGCCUGAUUCUAACAAAUCCUUCAACUACUUACUAUGUUUCACUAGCUUUAAAAGGGGACACUCUAUAUGGAACUUGUAAGGAUACCUGAAUCUCUUAUUUCUCUAUACUCGAAUUGGGUUAAGAGCAUGAAAUUCUUCCUAGGGGCUCCAGAUCCUAGCAACAAAAGCAAAAGAUACAUUUUUAAAAAUAAAAAAAAUCUAGAUUAAUAGUUAUAAAAACCUUUAACUCAGAUUUGAACUUUCCUAAAUUUAUUCCUUUUGAUGUAGAUGGAGAUCGAAGUCAGAGGUCUCAAAUACUAAAAAUCUUCUACCCAAUGACUCUUCCUUGAUCAUGGUACACAAUUAAUGGGGAGGAUUAGAGGGUAGAGACUAUGACUCUCUCUCUCUAGAUGAUGGAAGACAACUCACUUCAAAAGUGAUGAAAACCCUAACCCCUAAGGGGUAUUUAUAAGGUUCCCUAACUAGGCUUAAAUGACUUGAGCUCAUCAAGAGCUUCGGUCAUUUAAUUUAGUCCAAAAUGGAUCCUCAUUGAUUAAUCAACUCAACAAGGCUUAUAUCAACUAACCCAAUCUAUGAACUUUGUUCACUAACCCCUAUACAACCUCGUAUAAUUACCAAAAUGCCCUUAUGCACAAAAGUGAACCUAGAACUAAAGCUUAUCCACAAAAUUCCCUUAUGCCUAAUCUAUCACCCAUUCCUUUCCAUUAUGAAGUUAUGGAAUAGGCUUCCAUCUUGUAUUCCACCAAGUAAUAUGUAACAACCAUUGCUACAUAUAAAUCUCUUAAAUCUUGUCACCUUAACUCAAUUUGAGCCGACCCAUGCUUGAAAGCUAGACAUGAAGUUGAACAACUUGUCUUCCUCAAACAAAUUCUUGGUUUCUAACAUCAAUAUUGAACUAAUUACUUCACAUAAUCCUUGAUAAUGCUUAUAAGCUUUAGUUUCAUAGGGGAUUCAAUUCUUUAGCCAUCCAUGCAUUGUUGGAGGAGAGAAAUUGAUCUUUUAGUUUCUUUUUAGUAGCUAGGUCCUAUCUUGAGACAUGAGGAUGCCUUGUCAUCUGUCGACAUUCUCCACCAUAGUUUGGUAUCACCAGCUAUGUACAUUAUUGUAAUGGAGAGUUAUUAUUUCUUCAAAGUAUGAGCAACUUUGAAAAUCCUCCUCCAUAUCUUAAAAGAAAUUCUCAAGAUCCUUUGCAUUGUUUACACCCUUGAAGUUUUUCAACUUAGGUACACUAACUUUCAUUGGAGCAUCAGAUUCAUCAAGCAUGCUUUGCACCACAACCUUUUUAAGCACGACUAGUUCAUUCUCCACAAACUAUAUUUUGGCAUGAAACCCAUCUAUGACUGUCAUGAAAUUAGUUUUGCAUUCUACAAGAAUUUCCUUUGCAAACUUAUCAUGUUCCUUUAGUAGAUUCUUUUAAACUUCAAAUUCAUAAGAGAACUCAUCCAUCCUAGGUAGUAGUCUAGACUUGGUGUCAACUAAGGCAUUUCUAGGAUACACCUUUAUUGAGCUACAUGUUCUCCCGAUGCUUCCAUAGAAAUUUUACCAUCCAUUAUCUACCAAAAAUCCUUGCUCCAAUACCAAAUCAUCACAAGAAUUCACCACCAUAAAUUUUUUUUCUCAUGAUGGCCUUGAGACUCAAUUUAGCUAGCCCAUCACAUAGCAACACAAGCCACACAAAAGAAGUACAAGGAACGCAUAGGAAAUCACUUCUCAAUUUGAACUAUUCCUGUCACAAUACAAGAAACCAAUGCUUACAAGAAAACAGAGGCUCUCUACAUUUUCCAUGUAUAAUAAACUAUUUAUAGGCAACUAGUGGCCAUUAGUUAUUCGAAGUAAUUGUCCAUAUUUUAGAGACCUUAGCCUAUGUUCUACCAUGUCUUAUCAAUUUCUCUAUGUUCAUAAUUUGUCCUCAGGUGUUGUUAGGUGUCUCACACACUUUAGCCUUCCCUUAGGUAGCAUAAUCCUAUGUUUCCUAAUCAAUAGGAAGUUGCCUUUCCAUGCAUUAGUUGCCCCUGUCUUUGCUGAUGACUAGGUGUAGUAUUUCCAUUGAUCAAAUAUCUUAGUAACUACCUUCACAUGUCAGCCAAAUGCCUAUGCUUUAUGCCUCAACCAUCUAGCCCCACAUGUCUUGCAUGCUCCCAUCCUUAGGCUUGCAUGCCUUAGCUAACUAACUCUAUGUGUCUCGCAUACAUGUACUUACAUGCUUAUUUUUGGCUUACCAAGCCAACCCUUGUUUAGCAUCAUAUCCUUUCAUCAUGUGAUGGGUCUCAUGACCUUGGUUAUACCUAAGGUUCAUGCACAUGGUGUCAUCCACAUGUAACCCAUGCACCAAGUUCAAAACAACUUGCCUUAUCUUGGCCACACUAACCACAUCCACUGUGUCAUGCUCUUUGCUUACGGUUUUGUGUCCACACUCUUAUGCCUCACCUAAGCUAUUGCAUACUUGGGUGUGUGCAAAUUCUCAUGGUGCCUUGCACUUGUUGAUGGAGUCUUGGUGUGUUUCUAGUGUGCUCCUGCCAUGCGCCCAUAAUCUUGGGUUACCUCAAGUAAGACUAACACCCCUCCCUAAAGAGCAUGAUCAAUAGGAGACAUCAAGAGUGCUUCCAUAAGUAUAAUAGAUUUUUUCUAACUAAAAUGAUCUUUUUUUUUUUAAAUACCCUAUCACUAAGAGAAUUCUUGGCCAUCAAGAAUGCUUCCAUAAGUGUAAUGUAUUUUUUUUUAAUUAUAAAAAAUCUAGAAAAAUACCCUAUAACUUAGAAAAUUCCUUUUAAGCCUCCAACAACUUUUGGAACCCAUCAAAGCACCAACACCGAACACUUGUUUCAAGUCCACAUGAGUAUGCCAUCACAUAUUGUAGCAUGUGGUCCCCACAAGUCAUGCAAUGCCUACUAGCAAUAUUGUGUUCACAUACAUACUCUGCAACUCAUGUCACUCAACCCGAUCCCUUAGGUUAUGUUUGAUUCCCAAAAAUGUUAAGAAAAGAAAAAAAAAAUUAAGAAAAAUGGGUUUCUCAUAUUUGGUUCUAUUAUAAAAAGAAAAUAUAAAAGAAAAUUAAAUAUAAUUAAAAUUAAUUUGAAAUUUAUAUAUUUUUGAAUUAUUUAAUCUUGUUAUUGUAGAAAGAAAUAAGUAAAAUGACUUUGAAAAAAUAUAUAAAAAUAAUUUAUCAAAUUUAAAUCUAUUUUUUAUUUUCUUCCACUUUUCUUCUCUAUUUUCUUUCCUUCACAUUUUCCCUCAAAUUUUCUAAACCAAACAUACCCUUAAUAUUGUCUCAAUCGAGUUCCCACCAAGACUUGGUCUUUGGAAAUGACAAGCCAUGCAUAUGUUUUCCAAGCCACAGAAUGUCAUUGGAAUUAAGAAAUGCAGCCACAAAUAUAUCUUAGGCCAUGUGUGAGCUGCCAUACCACAUAGCCGUACAAAUUUAUUAAUUAUUUUCUUGAUUAGAUUCUCCUGAAGGCAUGAUCCCGGGGCUUUAAUUUAGAGGAGAAGGUGCAUUCCAUCAUACCCACCCACACCUCUUUCUCACUCCUUUUCAUGCAUUAAAUGAUAUAAGUAUACUUAAAUUUUAAUUUCUCCAAACAGGUGGGCGCAAGUGAUGUGAGAUGGAGCAAAUAAAAUAGUGGGCACAUUUAACACGAGACAUAGACUUAAUGAAUAAUUAAUUAAAAAGUUAUUUUGAAUGGUCUGUCCUUUUCCUGCAAAGAUUUUUAACCUUAUUUGAAUCUUGGCGGUCCACAUGUGUUUUAAUUUCUUAAAAGACUUCCUUUUAGGGUGAGGGUGGAAAAUUUUGUUUAGUUCUUUAGGCGCCACUCUUGAUCAUGCUUCUAUUUUUAUUUUUAUUUUUAUAUUUUAGGAAUUAAAACAACUGCUACCCUAUUUGAUUAAAAGGAUUUGUAAAAACUCAAUUUUUGAAAUUUAAUUUUCUAUAAUUUUUUUGUCUUAUUUUGAUAAAAAUGUCAUCGUUAUUUUCUUAUAAAAAUAACAUUUUAUUUGAAAACUUAUAUGUAAAUACACAAAAUGAUAAAUGAUAUUUAUGUAAAAAAAAAAUAGAUUAAUUUAAAAAAAUAAAAUAUAAAAAGAGUUAAAUUCAUAAUUCGAGGGUUAUAUCAUUCAUUUUAACUAAAUAUUUCUAAUUAUAUAUAUUCAAGAAAUCAUAUUUUAAUUUGUCACAUCCACUGGACAUAAAGGUUAAUCAUAAAAGUGUAUUUUUUUAGUAUAAAAGUAAAAGAUCAAUUUCAUUCAUUUUUUCUAUGGUUUAGAAAAAAUGAAUGAAAAUAAUAAAUGAAAAAAAUAGAAAGUUGUUUGAUGAAAUUUCAAAUAAAUGAUAGUUAAAUGUAUUAAAUCAAAAUUUCAGAGGAAGUGAAUGAAAUUAACUCAAAAAAUUAUGUAAAUAUAUAAUAAUAUUUUAAAUUUAGAAUCUUGUAAAUUUUUUCUAUUCGUAUGGGGUUGAUAUGAUAAAAUAGGGUAAAAAUAUUUAUAAAUAGAUCUAAUACAUUAUUCUUUCACUUAUAAAUUGGAUUAGGGAAUGUUUGAAUUUUAAAAAGCUUAAUUCAAAAAUGAUAAAUAAAAAAAAAGGAAAAAACCAGGAAAAAAUACUAAAAUUUAUCACUUAUUUCAACAAAAUAUUUUGUGAGGAAAAAAAAAUUGUAACCUAAUACACUUUCUCCAUAAGAAAAAGGGAGACAAAGAUCUUAAGUUCUUGUUUGAUGAUGGUUUUUGAAAACAACUUUUUCUUUUUUAGGAAAAAUAAAACACGCAUAAUACCUAGAAAACAAAAAAAAAAAAAUUCUUAAAAACAAAAAAUGGAUUAUUUUUAAAGAAUAUUUUUAAUUAUAAAAUAAUUAUACAAAUAUUAUAUAUAGCAUUUAUCUUUAAAAUUAUAAAAAAAAUAUGUUAAGAAUAUUUGAGAUUUUCAAACAAAUUUUUAUUAAUACGUACCACAAUUUUGAGAACUUAUUUUUUAAACAGAAAACAAUUUUCACUUUCCAACUAGAGCCAAAAUCUCUAAGCAAUUUUUUUUGCCUUUAAUUAUUUUGUGUUUUUGGUUUUUUUUUUUUUUAGUCUUUUUCAUAAUAUCUAUAUUAAGAUUAUUUUUCCUUUCCAAUAAAUGUUAUGUAAAAAAUAAUUGUUCCUACUAUAUUUGAAUAGUAUAUUCUCUUAUAUUCCACGUCACCCCACACAACACCCUACCAUCCAAACAAGAGCACAUACGGUACCAACUAAACUCAGCCUUCAAAUUCUAUCAUUAACAAACCAAAGAUUGUUUUUUAACCAGCUUUAACCUUUAAACUUCAAUGAUCUCGUCAACUUGUUAGCCAUAAAGAAUUAAGAAUGAGUGGAAGCGCCUGUGGUAAAUGCCAUAAAACCAAAAAUCAAAUACUGAGACGUCUCUUUAUUAUUUACUUUAUAAACUUGCUGGUAUGAUGUGAUGCUCGCUUUCUCAUCUCAACCUGUUCAUUUCUAUCUCUUCUUAUCUCCUUGUUUCCUUUCGUAGGCUUGGGUUAUACGAUCAAAUAAAAUAUUUGGACCGUUUAUACUUAUAGUGUGGCUUUGGUACAUCGGCGGACCCCUUGUGACAAAGACCCAUUUCAAUUUUCAAUUAAUGGCUACGGACUCGUGCCCUUAAAUGCAUUGAUCCUCGCCACAUCCUCCAUCUGUUCAAUCACAACUUUUCCUUAUCACUUUUGUCUUCUCCGGUUCUGUUUCGAAUACGUUUCCAAUUUUUCUGUGUUUUUGUUUGGGUUUUGAAUAAUGGGGUGGGGUGGGGUGGGCGGAGUGACGUAACUGCUUAUGUUACAAGUGAACAGCCAAGACUGUCCUUUUAAGCUCCACCAGAUCCACAGCCUUUUGCAAACACCAAGUCUGCACCACCCUCUUACAUUAUUUGCUUCCUUGUCUGUCUGCAUCUUGUUUCCCCGGGCUCCAAACGGCGCUGGUGCAACUGCAGCAUUGUUUUGGGCGGUCCGGGAGCAAAUGGCGGAAGAGCAGCAGGUGCCGCUGUUGAAGAAGGUUUACUAUCAGAAUUGCUCAGGGUGUAGAGUGGAACAGCUUAAAGAGACCAGACGCGGUUUACCCAUUAGGGAGCUUGUUUCUAUAUGGAGUGUGGUGCUAUGUACUGGUAAGUAGUAUCGUUUUCUUUGAUCUCAAUCGUCUUUGCAUUAUACUAUGCCUUUUUCCGCAGCUAUUUGGUGGCUUGGUGUUGGAAGUUGAAAAGUAGAGAUGGGUGAAGGAGUGUAAGGUUAAGUGAAAAUGGGUACAUUUUGUCAAUCAAGAAAGAGCUUUCUGUGAAGCGUGAAGCUGAAUUUGAUGUCUUCUUAAUAUUUUCCGGAAAAGAUAUUUAAAAUAUUUGGUCAUAUUUUUGUUUUUAAGCUGUAUUUCAUGUACCUGGUGCAGAAAGGAGGAAAGCAGAAUCAUGGGCAGGUACAACUGAGUUGAUUUUCUAAUCGUUGAUUGGAAGAGAAACUACCUCUGGGUAUGCUCUUAGAAGGUGGAACAAAAGCAAUCAAAAGAGGGAGGAAAAUAAAAAAGUUCUUUGACAUAACAUAUUUUAUGGAAUGUUCUUUUUCCUUUUUCAUUUUGGUUACAACUGAGUACAGUUUCCAGUGGUUGAGUGGCUCUGCUUAAGGAUGAUUCGUAGGUCCAAUUUACUGGAUUGGGCUUAGUACCAGAUGUAGGGAAUUAAACCGAAUUCCCAACCCGUGAGAAACAAAAAAAUAGAGAAAACACACGCCAAAGAAAAAACAAUCACACACACAAGACAGUAUUUACGUGGUUCGGCAAUUUGCCUACGUCCACGGAAUUGCAGGGAUAUCACUAUUAUCAAGGAAGAAUAUAGAGUACAACCUAGCGGCUACAAUAUUCUCUAUAUAUAUAUAGCACGGCAACCCCACCAUACUAAAAAACCCUAAUUACAAAAGGUGGUUCCACAAUGGGCUAAACGGGCCCAACAGGCCUCAAUAAAUCUCCCAUUAAAAAGCCAUGCAAUAUUAUUCGGGUCGGGUCGUCAAACCAGAUCAAACAAAACUAGGCUCCACAAAGCCCAACAAAUCUCCCACUUGGAGACUAGUCCAAUCACCAACAUCAAACCGUUAUCCUCCAAGAAACAAUCCCUCAUCCUUACAACUCAUCCUCCUGUCCUCAAGCUAUAAGACCAAUUGAAGCUGCGCACAGCUUCAACUUCUCAAUAGUGACACCCUUAGUCAACAUGUCUGCAGGGUUCUUAGAUCCACAAAUCUUCUCAAGUAUUACCAGUUUAUCCUCAACAAGAUAACGGAUAAAGUGGUAUUUUGUUUGUAUAUGUUUCGACUUUGAAUGAAAAGCCGAAUUUUUGGCAAGAAAAAUUGCACUCUGACUGUCACUGUGUAGAAUGCCCAUCUCCUGCUUCUUACCUAAUUCAUCUAAGAAACCAUGUAGCCAAAUCAUCUCCUUUCCAGCUUCAGUUGCUGCAACAUACUCAGCUUCUGUAGUAGACAAAGUAACAAUCUUCUGUAGAUUUGAAGUCCAUGAUAUAGCUGUACCACCUAGAGUAAAAACAAACCUAGUAGUACUCUUUCUACUAUCAAUAUCACCAGCAAAAUCAGCAUCUACAUAACCCUGCAAUUUCAAACUUGCACCUGUGAAGCAAAGACAUGUAUCUAAUGAACCCUUCAGAUAUCUUAAAAUCCACUUGACUGCCUCCCAAUGCUGCUUUCUAGGCCUACUCAUGAAUCUGCUCACAACUCCCACUACAUGUGCAAUGUCUGGCCUUGUACACACCAUAGCAUACAUCAAGCUGCCAAUAGCUGAGGCAUAGGGCACCUUGCUCAUAUGGUCUCUUUCUUUUUCUGUCUUGGUGACUGUUCUUUGCUUAGUUUGAAAUGACUACCCAAGGGUGUGCUCACUGGUUUAGCUUCAUUCAUGUUGAACCUGCUGAGAACUUUCUUCACAUACUCUGACUGUGAAAGCUUCAAUGUACCAUUAGCCUUGUUUCUAAUGAUUCUCAUACCAAGGAUUUGCUUUGCAGCUCCCAAAUCCUUCAUUGCAAACUGUUUGGACAAUUGCUUCUUCAGAUUAUUAAUCUUCUCAAUGUCAGACCCUACAAUAAGCAUAUCAUCCACAUACAACAGUAAUAUGAUGUAAGAGUUGUCAAAGGACUUAACAUAGCAACAAUGAUCAACUUCACAUCUCUUGAACCCAAUUCUAUGCAUAAAAUUGUCAAACUUCUUGUACCACUGUCUAGGAGCUUGUUUAAGGCCAUACAAGCUCUUUCUCAGUUUGCAGACUAGAUUCUCUUGUCCCUGAACAAUGAACCCUUCUGGCUAAAUCAUGUAAAGGUCUUCCUCCAAGUCACCAUGAAGGAAUGCUGUCUUCACAUCUAACUGCUCAAGAUGUAAGUUUUUUGCAGCCACCAUUCCAAGUACAAGUCUAAUUGUUGACAUCUUCACAACUGGAGAAAAUAUCUCUGUGUAGUCAAUGCCCUCCUUCUGUUGGAACCCUUUAACAACUAAUAUGGCCUUAUAACGUUUGCUACCAUCAUGCUCAUUAUUUAUUCUGUAUCCCCACUUGUUGUGCAAAGCCUUCUUUCCUACUGGCAAUUCAAUCAGUUCCCAUGUCUGAUUCCCCAACAGGGAAUCCAUUUCAUCCUUCAUGGCUAACUCCCACUUGCUUGAAUUCUCAUCUUGCAAGGCUUCAUCAUAACACUCUGGCUCACCACCAUCAGUCAACAGGAGAUAAUUUAAAACAGGUGAAUAACGCUGCGGAGGUCUAAUGUUCCUAGAAGAUCUGCGAACUUCAACUACAGGUGUACUCGAUCUACCUGUGAAUUUACAUUCUCCUUAUCUUCUUCACCCCCUUUUUGGACAGUACUUUCAGUCAAUCCAUCUAAGUUGACAAACUUAGAUUUCUUUUGAUCUAUCUCUGUAACAUCUGACACUGCAGAUGACCUGUCUUUGUACAUAACCUGUUCAUUAAAUAUCACAUUUCUACUUCUGAUGAUUUUCCUGUUUUGUUCAUCCCAAAACCUAUAGCCAAAUUUCUCAUCACCAUAGCCAAUGAAAAAACAUAUUUUUGACUUUGCAUCAAGUUUACUACGAGCAUCAGAAUCAAUAUGAACAUAAGAAAUACAACCAAAAACUUUUAAAUGUGAAAACUUCACCUCUUUACCGCUCCAAACCUCCUCAGGAAGUCUGAACUCCAUGGGAACUGAUGGUCCUCGGUUUAUCAGGUAAGCUGCAGUGCUAACAACAUCAGCCCAAAAAGUUUUUGGUAGUCCAGCAUGCAUCCUCAUACUUCUAGCAUGUUCAUUGAGAGUUCUGUUCAUGCGCUCAGCCACACCAUUCUGCUGUGGUGUCCUAGGAAUGGUCUUCUCCAUCCUAAUUCCCUGUGCAGCACAAUACUCACUGAACCCUCCAUCUAUGUACUCUCCUCCAUUAUCUGACCUCAAACAUUUUACUUUCAAACCUGUUUCUAUCUCAACCAUGGCCUUCCAUUUCUUAAAAGUUUCAAAUACAUCAUAUUUAUUUUUCAGAAAAUAAACCCAUACCUUUCUACUUGAGUCAUCAAUAAAAGUGAUGUAGUACCUUGAACCUCCUAGGGAUGCAACUGGAGAAGGCCCCCACAAAUCAGUAUGUACUAGUUCCAAUUUUUCAGCCUUCGGUGUCCUGCUAGUUUUCAAUAAGCUCACCUUUUUUUGCUUUCCUAAGAUGCAACUUUCACACAUGUCAAAAUUAAUGGACUUCAAUUCUGGUAGUUUUCCUUUUGACAGCAACAUCUUCAUCCCUUUCUCACUCAUGUGACCAAGUUUGCGGUGUCAUAGGCUUGUAUCAGUACUUGCAUCAGCAACUGCAAUUGUGUCUCUUGGACAUGAGGUCAUACACAGAGUGCCAGACUUCUUUCCACGAGCCAAUACCCUAGCUUCCUUUGUAACCUUCCAAGUACCACCAACAAAUAGUAUUGCAUGUCCUUCAUCAUCAAGUUGUCCAACAGAAAUCAGAUUCCUCCUCAGGUCAGGAAUAUGUCGAACCUUCUCCAGUAACCAAACAGACCCAUUGGGCAACGAUAUCCGGACAUCUCCCAAACCCACAACAUCCAAGGCUGAACCAUCAGCCAAAUACACCUUACCAAAAUCACCUGCAACAUAAUUCUGUAUGAUUUCUCGGUGUGGAGUGGUAUGAAACGAAGCUCCUGAAUCCAAAACCCAAUCAUCAAGUGGAUUGUCUAUUGCAAGAAGUAAUGCAUCAUGUACCUCUUCUGUUACAGUAUUAGCAUAAUCAUCUUUCAUCUUCCUUCUAGGGCUUUUGNNNNNNNNNNNNNNNNNNNNNNNNNNNNNNNNNNNNNNNNNNNNNNNNNNNNNNNNNNNNNNNNNNNNNNNNNNNNNNNNNNNNNNNNNNNNNNNNNNNNGCUCCAAACCUCCUCAGGAAGUCUGAACUCCAUGGGAACUGAUGGUCCUCGGUUUAUCAGGUAAGCUGCAGUGCUAACAGCAUCAGCCCAAAAAGUUUUUGGUAGUCCAGCAUGCAACCUCAUACUUCUAGCACGCUCAUUGAGAGUUCUGUUCAUGCGUUCAGCCACACCAUUCUGCUGUGGUGUCCCAGGAAUGGUCUUCUCCAUCCUAAUUCCCUGUGCAGCACAAUACUCACUGAAUCCUGCAUCUAUGUACUCUCCUCCAUUAUCUGACCUCAAACAUUUUACUUUCAAACCUGUUUCUGUCUCAACCAUGACCUUCCACUUCUUAAAAGUUACAAAUACAUCAGAUUUAUUUUUCAGAAAAUAAACCCAUACCUUUCUACUUGAGUCAUCAAUAAAGGUGAUGUAGUACUUUGAACCUCCUAGGGAUGCAACCGGAGAAGGCCCCCACAAAUCAGUGUGUACUAGUUCCAAUUUUUCAGCCUUCGGUGUCCUGCCAGUUUUCAAGAAGCUCACCUUUUUUUGCUUUCCUAAGAUGCAACUUUCACACAUGUCAAAAUCAAUGGACUUCAAUUCUGGUAGUUUUCCUUUUGACAACAACAUCUUCAUCCCUUUCUCACUCAUGUGACCAAGUCUGCGGUGCCAAAGGCUUGUAUCAGUACUUGCAUCAGCAACUGCAAUUGUGUCUCUUGGACAUGAGGUCAUAUACAGAGUGCCAGUCUUCUUUCCACGAGCCAAUACCCUAACUCCCUUUGUAACCUUCCAAGUACCACCAACAAAUAGUAUUGCAUGUCCUUCAUCAUCAAGUUGUCCAACAGAAAUCAGAUUCCUCCUCAGGUCAGGAAUAUGUCGAACCUUCUCCAGUAACCAAACAGACCCAUUGGGCAACGAUAUCCGGACAUCUCCCAAACCCACAACAUCCAAGGCUGAACCAUCAGCCAAAUACACCUUACCAAAAUCACCUGCAACAUAAUUCUGUAUGAUUUCUUGGUGUGGAGUGGUAUGAAACGAAGCUCCUGAAUCCAAAACCCAAUCAUCAAGUGGAUUGUUUAUUGCAAGAAGUAAUGCAUCAUGUACCUCUUCUGUUACAGUAUUAGCAUAAUCAUCUUCAUUCUUCUUCUUAGGGCUUUUGCAUUGCCUUUUAAAGUGACCUGUUUUCCCACAAUUCUAGCAUUGUACUUGUUGGCCUGAUCUAGAUUUGCUUCUGUUCCGAUUAGAAUUUCUGGAAUUUGAUCUACCCUGAUUUGAAUUUCUGUUAUUACCUCUGCCUCUUGUCUCAAGGUUUAGGGCAGAACCAGAUCCUGAGGUUUCACUUGCAUCUCUUCGGCGAAUUUCCUCAGCCAGAAUUAAAUCUCGUAUAUCAUUGUACUUGAGCUUUUCCUUUCCCGUAGAAUUGCUUACUGUCAUCCUCAUUGCCUCCCAACUGUUUGGCAAAGAAGCCAAGACGAUCAGAGCACGAAUCUCAUCAUCAAAAUCAAUUUCUACAGACGACAAUUGAUUUGUGAUUGUAUUAAAUUCAUUCAGAUGUUGUUCUACUGAUGCAUUCUCUACCAUCUUCAAAUUGAACAAUUUCUUCAUCAGAUGCACCUUAUUGUUUGCGGACGGCUUUUCAUACAUACCGGACAAAGCCUUCAUCAGAUCUGCUGUGGUCUUCUCCUUUACAACAUUGUGUGCAACAGACCUAGACAGAGUUAACCUAAUAACUCCUAGAACAUGUCUGUCAAGAAGCGCCCAUUCCUCAGCCUUCAUACUCUCAAGUUUUGUCCCCAAAAGAGGCAGAUGCAAUUUCCUCCCAUAGAGAUAAUCUUCAAUCUGCAUCCUCCAAUACGCAAAGUCUGUGCCAUCAAACUUUUCUAUUCCAGACGCAUUUCCUGCUUCCUCUGCCAUUGCUCCCACUCAAACCUAACCCUAGGCUCUGAUACUAGUUGUUGUGCCAGCGAAAGCUUUGAUGCCAACAAUGUUAGUUCAAGAACACAAAGAUAAAACAAUCACACAUACGGUACACGAGGUUUUAACGUGGUUCGGCCAACCAUGCCUACGUCCACGGAUGAGAGAGAAUAAUUCCACUAUACAAUAAAGAAUAUUACAAAGGAUAGAACCAAAUACAACUAUUGGGUUCCCGAAACAUCCCAUGUUUCCCCACUACGAGCCCUCUCGCUCCACCAGGUACCUCCCGUUCUUCCUCACAUCUUUAUCCACCUCGUAUAGUCUCUAUAGAUCCAUCUCCAUUUCAUAACUUUUUUCCCCUCAUGACCUAGAAUAUUUAUAGAGAUAUUUCCAACAACCUUCCUUAUUUUAUAAGGAAGUCUAAUAUUACAAUAAUAUAUCAACCUAAAAAUAUUCUAUAUAAUAUUCUUUACAAAAAGGAAUCUAUACUAAUUAGGAAUUUGGGACACUUCCUAACAAUCUCCACCUUGGACCAAAUUACAUGAAGUUAAUCUUCAAUCUCUCCAUGACACAAACCUUUUUGUAUCAUAUCACCACGAAAGAGCAAUCGACUCCACCUUCAGUGAAAAUUCCUUUUGUUUUCAUCUUGUGUACUUUGUGAUCUUUUACUCUUCCAGAAAUCUUCAACCCAAGCUCUGAUACCAAUUGUUGUGUCAACGAAAGCUUUGAUGUCAAUAAUGUUAGUUUAAGAACACAAAGAUAAAACAAUUACACACACAGUACACGAGGUUUUAACGUGGUUCGGCCAACCAUGCUUACGUCCACGGAUGAGAGAGAAUAAUUCCACUAUACAAUAAAGAAUAUUACAGAGGAUAGAACUAGAUACAACUAUUGGGUUCUCGAAACAUCCCAUGUUUCCCCACUCCUUGUAUCCAUACCUUACUACGAGUCCUCUCACUCCACCAGGUACCUCCCGUUCUUCCUCACAUCUCUAUCCAUCUCGUAUAGUCUCUAUAGGCCCAUCUCCAUCUCAUAACUUUUUUCCCCUCCUGACCUAGAAUAUUUAUAGAGAUAUUUCCAACAACCUUUCUUAUUUUAUAAGGAAGUCUAAUAUUACAAUAAUAUAUCAACCUAAAAAUAUUCUAUAUAAUAUUCUUUACAAAAAGGAAUUUAUACUAAUUAGGAAUUUGGGACACUUCCUAACACCAGAAUCACAGAGUCAUUUGCAGCUUGGAGAGAAAAUGUGUGAGGCUGCCAAUCUGUUAGCGUGGGAGGCACAUUUAGUCUGAAGUGUUUUUAUUAUGAUUACCAGGCCAUUAAUGAGAUUGAAAAUUCUUCUUUCUGGCCAUUUGUUGAUAAAUAAUGGUCAACUAAUGCUGCCUAAGGACAUAGUUGGCAAGCAAAUUGUUGAUUCAGUCUAUGGAGUUAGCCUCCUUUUCCUCUCUUCAUGGAGAAACUCAUUCAAUUCAGAGAUACUGACUUAUCAUUGGUGGCCAGAUGCAAAGAUAAGUGGACAAAGUUUCCUCUGCCUCAGAGAGCAGAGAGAGUAUGGCAUUUCAUUGGAGAAUGCUCCUGAUUGGAGCCAGAUCAAGCCCAAUUAUCAAUUUGUACCUUUUUUCUCUGGGUCAUGUGGUUAAGAGCUCAUGAAGUUAUGGGUACUAUCAUCAUAUUUAUGUCCAAAAUCUUUAACCAUUUCAAGAUCAUGCUAGUCUUUAAUUUGGGGUUAUUUUUACUUGUUAUUAUACAUUCAAGAGUACCCAUAGUCCACCACUUAAGCCAUACAUUCAUUCUCUAAGAUCUCUUUCUGUUUUUGCCUUUUCAGCAUUGCCGAUAUCAUCUCUCUUUCCAUUCCUUUAUUUCAUGGUGAGUUUAUUUUGGAAUCCAUAAUUGUUAUCUUCCAGCUUGUUCUCAGCAUAAAUUAGGAAGAUGAUAGUUUAAUUCAUCAUUUUAUUUGCUCACAUUAGUCUGAAGGUGUUUAAUUACACUUUAAACCAGCCAAGAAAGCUAACAGUGACAUGAGUCCAGUGGCCUAUUUCAAGAAAUCUACAUCUUUGCUUUGUUUCAAGAGGUCCACAAAAAAAGAAGAAGGACCAGGCUGUCUGAACACUAAAGAAAGCGGCAUAUCAAAAUACAAAGUCAGGGGGGUAAAAGGUACCGUUUGCACAUGAUAGUGACUAGAUGCUGUAAACAGGGUCGAUAUAUCAACUAAAUAUUUUGCAUUAGUAGGUUGAUUUGUGGGAUUCAUAUUAACGUCGAGAUUUUUUCAGUAAUGUAAUAAUGUGAAACCUCAUGUCGAUUUUCAUCUUCGCAUUAGUUAGAAUUCAAGAUACUGAUAAUGUUGAGAUUUUGGAUCAUGCAUGCUAACAGCUCCUCUAUCUUUUUCCUCCUUUCUUUACAUUAAAUAAAUCCUCAAUUCAACAUCCAACUUCUAUAGCCAUUUGGAUUUCAGUACCUUCUUUUUUCCUGAUAAAAUAUACCAAUAAAUCUGUACUGUCUAUUUCUAAAUAAGACUUCCUUGUUUUGUUUUUAAUUCUCUGUCUGCAGAUUAGGGACUUCCAUAUAGCAAAAAGAGAGGAAGACAUUGGUUACUAUGCUGGUUAUGUGGGUGAGCCUGUUAUAUUUUCAUAGCUUCUAUGUUGGAAGUGUAUAUCCAUGGAUAAUCUCAUUUUAGUUCCAAAUAACGUGGUCCUAAUAAUCCCAUAAUAUCAUGAAGGGUCUGCAUUUAUGCUUGGAAGAGCAUUGACAUCUGUUGCCUGGGGAAUGGUGGCUGAUCGAUAUGGCCGAAAACCUGUUAUAAUGAUAGGCACUAUCACAGUGUUAGUACCCAGAAUUACCUAUGAAUCUCAGCUUGAAUUUUUCUGCAAUCAAGUAUUGCUGUUCGUUCAAAAGAUUUUUUCUACCUAGUUUUCUCACAACAAUCUUGUUUAUUUGGUUUCAGGGUUAUUUUCAACACUCUUUUCGGUCUUAGUGUAAACUUCUGGAUGGCCCUCUCUACAAGGUUUCUUCUUGGAAGUCUGAAUGGUGUACUUGGGCCAAUUAAGGUAUUUGUGUCAUCCUGCAUAUGAUUUUUUGAAUGAAUGUUUAGUUGUUCUAAUGCAUUUGAGAUAGUGGGUUUAAUGGUUUAGUUCACUGCGUAUCCCCCAAUGUACAUUUUCAAAUUUCUUCCAUGAUCAGGCAUAUGCAGCUGAAAUUUUCCGUGACGAAUACCAAGCUCUAGGACUGUCAACAGUGAGUUAGUCUUUUUUCUUUUUUUUUUAUCAACAGUUUUUUAAUUGUGUUGUGCCCCACCAUUGGUUCAUAAUGGGGAGUAUUAAUUUUAUUUUAGGUUAGUACAGCAAGGGGCAUAGGAUUGAUCAUUGGACCAGCUUUGGGAGGUUUCCUUGCCCAGGUACUUGUUUUUCCUUUCCUCUUAUGCAGAAAGAAAAUGAUUCCUGCAGAAAUUGCAAUUCAACAAUGUUGAAAAUUAGUAGCAGUUAGAAAUAGUAACCAACAGCAACCAAAAGUGAAAGUCUCAACAUUUUCAAAAUUAGUAUUUACAGAAUGAACUAUUAGUGAAAUGAGAUGAAUUAUACAUUUCAGAAGAGUAUGAAUCGGAUUAUUGAAGUCUCCACGCGUUUUUUGAAGUUUUUAUUUUUUGUUUCUCAAGUACUUUUUACAUUUUGCACACUUCUUUUAUGUCACCAUGUAUGCGAUUGGUUUAUAUCUCUGAAUGAUUUCAUAAUUCAGCCUGCAGAAAAGUAUCCGGAUAUAUUCUCUGAAGAUUCUCUAUUUGGAAGGUAAGCUUGCCUCAUUAUAGUGAUGCCAUUUUGCAUCUCAUUUCAUCAAUUUUCUAUUAUUUUUUUGGAAUUUGGAGUAUUAUGAUGAUCCAAAACAUUUAUCUGUGAUGCAGAUUUCCAUACUUCUUGCCCUGCCUGUUUAUAUCAGUUUAUGCAAUGAUUAUAACCGUUGCUUGUUGUUGGCUUCCGGUACGUUUCUGAAGCAGAUGUUUGGUUCCUUGGUCAUUUCUGUUUAGCCUUUCAGAUGCAUCUUAUUUUCCAUAAGAAAGAUACUUAUUCUUUAUUCAGGUUGAGUCAUCAUUGCUUAAUUUCAACCAUUUGUUUUUGCCUUUUUUUAUGCCACAAACAGAGCUUGAUUAUUAAGUAGUCUCUUUCUCACCGGUCAAGAUUGAUGUGAAUUUUUGUAAUGGAACUAGAGCAUUGUUGGAAUGCAUCAUUGAAAUGAUCUAGAAUUUCUUUUAGAAACUUUUGGCAUAAAGACUGUCUUGUGGACACUGACUGAGAUUCUAAGUGUUGUCUUCAUCGGAAGGGCAGGAGAUAAAUAUGAGGCUGUGAUACUAAUUCAACCAGGAAUUCAUCACUUCUCUUUUAAGCUCAUGCUCUGAUUGAUAUACAUCCAAAUAACAAACGGUUCUAGGUGUCAUUUCUCCGAUUUUAUUUCAAUGUGUCUUCAUGGUUUUUAUUAUCUAUGGUAUGUGACUAAAAAUUAUAUUACUUAGCAGUUGACACUCUCCUUCUCAUAAAAUUUUGUAAGCACAACCACUUUGAAUUCCUUGAUGUGUUAAGUUAUCCUCAGCAGUUUUUGAAAAGUAGCAUUUAAAGCCUUCUCCUUUUCUUCAAUCUGUUCAAGGAAAACUUAUUUUAUCCUCUUGGGCUCGGAAGCUGACCGACUGAGAACAGAAAGCUCAAAACUUUUGCUUAUUAUAGUGUUCAUAUAUGUAACCGCUCAUCAGUGAGAUGUUUCUAUGAUACCAUGGCUUCUUAUUACUGCGAUUCCAUGUCUAACAUCUCAAGAUUAAUGCAGGAAACAUUGCACACACACAAUGAAAACAAAAAAUCAAGAGAAGACUCAUAUGAUGCUUUGGAAGGGGCCAAUGGUGGGUCUAAUGCAAAAGAAAAAGAACAAGAAAUUGAAGGAAGUGAACCAACUUCUAAUGAAAGCCUCUUUAUGAAUUGGCCUUUGAUGUCUUCUAUCAUUAUCUACUGUGUUUUUUCACUACAUGAUAUUGCUUAUAUAGAGGUAUGCCUCAAACCUAAUUCUCAGUUUCUGGAAUAUGUUUUAAUCUUACACUUGUUGAGCCGAAAUCUUCUCCAUUAACAUAUCUUGGUUGAUAAUUGGUGUCAGAAAUAAUCUCUAGUUUGGACCCAUUAGUCCAUUCUAUAUGUUAUCUGGAUGAGCAUAUAAGCAUUAAUGAAUAAAUAAAACAUUCACAGUUGUUUGCUUUUUGUGACUGACCCUUUUGGUUCAUUAGAAAAUGUGAAAAAGAUAAGAUAAUUUUCUUUAUUGCUAUGGAUAUGUUAUAGAACAGAGCCUGUUAGAGACAAAAGCAACCAUGAUGGUGGACAUGUGUCUCUUCAUUCUGGAAACAAAAAUGUUUGAACAACUUCCGGUUAAUAUGUUUUCAAGAAAGAAUAUGCUCAACAUGAUGGGAAUGAACCACAUAAUGGGGAAGAAUGGCCACCAUAAUUUCUGCCACCACCAUUGUCACUGUGACCACCUACACUCCUUUGGCUACAAACAAUUUCUUGCCAUUGGUACCAACAUUACUACAACCAUAUCUUCAGACUUUUGACCGCCACAAUAUAAAAUAAAAAAAAGACACUCCUAGUUCACUUCUGAUCUUUUUGAUGUCAAAUCUACUAUAUCUGGCAACUAAAUUUUCUUUCUGCAGAUAUUCUCCUUAUGGGCUGUGAGUCCUAGAAUACAUGGGGGUUUGAGCUAUUCAACUGAUGAUGUUGGUGUUGUUCUUGCAAUCUCAGGUAUACUAGUAUCUAGUAUCUAGUUAUCCACCUUUUGGUAUCAAAACAUGCUGGAAAAAAAUUCACUCUGCUUUGCUAUCACUGAGGCUUGGGAAACACAUUUGUGAACUGAGAUUCUUUCUUGGUCCUUUUUCUUUCCAUUAUGAGAUAUGUCUAUGCUCCUUUACAAUUAAAUUCCAGUGGAGUUUAGCUUAUUUAUGAUGAUAGGAAGAUUAAGUUGGUUCUGUUUCUAGGCUGCUUAAAUUUAAGAGAGAAAGAAGAAAAACAAGUAAAGAAAAAGAAGUGGAAUGACAGUUGUUAAAUUGCUCUCCCCCUUCAUAAUAUUUCUACACAGUGAUGCUAAAAGUUUAAAAGUAGAAUACUGCCCUUGGUGAAUCAAAGGAUAUAAAUACACAAUUGAAAGGACUUUAUUAGGAACCAGGUAUUGGAGGUCUUACCCUUCUGCCUGUGGGUGUUUUUGCACUUCAAGUUCAUUCCCUUGAGGCACUGGACCUAAUUGAGAUAAUCAAAAAUGUUUUUCACAUUUUCUGGUGACAAUAUCCUUUGUGGUUGAAUUGAUGCAUACACGGUUUGUUUAUUGUGCUUUAUUUCAUGUAUUUCUCUCGAAAUAAUCAGGAUACUGAGUUACUGACUAUGCAUCUUAUAUUUAGGUUUUGGCCUUUUUGUCUCCCAAGUUACUCUAUAUCCACUUGUGGAGAGGUUUCUUGGGCCUGUGAUGAUCUGCCGCAUUGCUGGUGUAUGCUCCCAAUACCUUGUGACAUUCAGUGCAAUCUCUUCUUUCCAACUACUUUCAUGUUCUGUAUUCACUUAUUUUAAAAUUUUUGUAGGUCUUGUCCAUACCUUUGUUGGCGAGUUACCCUUUAAUAGCCAUGCUUUCUGGGUCCACCCUCUCAGUGGUGUUGAAUUGUGCAUCUGUGCUAAAGAAUGUUCUAUCUGUGAGUGAAUUUACAACUUGAAGGUUCUCUUCCCUUGCUAGUAACUGGAUUAUAGAUGUUAAUUGUAAGUCUGUCUGUUAGCAGAAGUAUGCAUCUUGAUAGAUUUCAACACACAUUCUUGAUCCUUCUGCCUCUAAACCUUCUACUUCUUGGCCUAAAAUUAGUAAUUUUGAUCAUCAAGUCAUCAAAUUAAGACUGAGUAACUAGGUCUUGAAGAGUGGGGAUGUGGGUUCUAUAACAGAUUUCUAUUGACAAUCCAUUCUGCUGCCAUGAAGUGGAAUCAAAAGAAAAAAAAAAUGUAAUAUUACAUGUUUGUAUGCAAAAUGAAUAGCACGGUUUAGUACGAUCUUAAUUUUCGUGUAAGAAUAUGAUGAAUGCAUUAAUUGAUCCUGAUAGUAAAUUUCCAACAGCUGUUAUUUCAUUAUCUUUUACUAGUAAACUUCUCAAUGUGAUCAGGUGUCCAUUAUAACUGGCAUGUUCCUUCUGCAAAACAGUGCUGUGGUAAUUUUCUCCUCUUGGUUUCUCCAGUUUCAUUUCUAUUUUUUGCUAAAAUAUGUAGUGCAUUGAUCUAACCUAAUAUUGUAACAACAGGACCAACACCAGAGAGGAACUGCUAAUGGCAUUUCUAUGACUGCAAUGUCUCUUUUCAAAGCAGCUGGUCCUGCUGGAGGAGGUGCACUGUAAGUACCAAUUUAGUGUCUCUUAACAUACAACCACUCACAGUAGGCGUCCACAAAAAUCGGACAACUAAAAUGUAAUGUCUGUUUGAUAUAAAAGAUCUUAUUUAUGAACUAGGUUGUGAACUACAAAAUCCAGAGAAUGUGUUUUAAAAGCGUCUUUCACCGAAAUCUUCAUGGCUACUGAAAAGAUACUCUGGCUGGAAUAUUAGGAUACUGAUACAAUAAGAAUUCCUAAUAUCAGACUGAAGUGAGAUAGCAGAUCAAGGGUUUUUUGUAGGUCUUUUAAGUGUAAAAUGGAAUAAUUUGAUUAGAAGGCAUAUUAAGACCUGCAAGAUAGAACAAACUUACAUAGGUUACAUAAAGGGUACUUCAUUUCAUACUUUGCUUAAUACAUUUGCAUGACAUACAUGGCAAUUGAUCUAUUUUUGGACCUAUGAUUAUUCAUGAUGUUGUUGGUAUUUGCAGCUUUUCUUGGGCACAAAAGCGACAGGAUUCUGCUUUCUUCCCAGGUAUAAUUCUGAAUUCAGGGGAAGUGCCCUUUCAAUUUCAGAUCAUCCACUCUUUGAAAAAAGAACCAUAAAAUGAAUUCCAGUUGAUGAUGCUUCAUCCAUUUCCGAUUCUGGUGUUGUAUGCAUUGUGGUUGUGAGCCUGCAGAUUUACUUACAUGCAGUUAGAAAUUUACCUUCACAGAAAUGUCCAAAGAAUGAUAAAUGACCAAAUGAUUCUGAACUCAGAACUCAGAACUCAGAACUACAAAUCAACAUCCUCCCCUGGCUAGUUGGAACACUGGAUAACUAAAAAUACCAUGCUAAACUGGGUAACUUUAUGGAACUAUGAAGCCUGAUUCCUCAAAAACUUUCUAAAAAACCAUGAUUUAUGUCUCAACAGUACUUCCUCCUUCAUUGGCUUUCUCAAACUUGCUGUGUUUCUCAUAUUUAUGGUCUUAAAACAUAAACAUGCCUUCCUCUUAGUAAGAUAACAAUCAUAGAGGUACAUUGAAUGACCCCAAACAAAUUAAUGAGGUCCAGCAACCAACAGGCCGAUGGCUAAUUUCUUCCUUUGAAAUAUCUUCACAUCUAAGCUCUUCAAAUGCAGGUGACCAGAUGGUUUUCUUAAUCCUGAAUGUGGUCGAGGCAAUCGGACUGCUCAUGACAUUCAAACCAUUUCUAGUUCAAAGGCGUCGAUAGAGGAAAAUCAGUCUGAUUCAACUCCAGGCCGUCAAGAUUAUCACCUCGAUCAGUAUGACUCUUUGGUAGCAUUGCACCUGUCUCCAUUCAUUAUGGGGACGAUAACUUGCAUCCUGUAGUAACCCGUUUGGGGGGUAUAUUAGAUCAACAACAAUGUGCCCUGUAUCUACUGCAUUUUGUACACCAGUAAAUUACUGCCUACCUGCAUAUUGUUCGACAUAUUUGGUUACCAAUGAGCACUUCAUGAGUUAGCAAAACUCUUGUUUGAUGUCUAAUACUUUUUUUGUUUCACUUAAUAUGGGGCAGCUCUUGAUGAAUGUUUGUGAACAUGACUUUAUCAUCUUCAUUUAAUUAGUUACAUUAUGUAUAGUCUUAAUUGAAAUCUAAAAUCAUGAAACCUAUCUUUCAUGUUCUUUCUAACUGAAUAUUUGCUAGAAGAAAAUUUCAAAAAGAAACCAUCAACUAAAUAUCGGUAAUCGGCACUAACUACAAGAUAUUUACCACUCGUUGUUUGAUUAACUUUUUUCUAAUUCUAUAAGUAUCUGAUUAGGUAACAACUAAUAAUUAUGUUUGGUGAUUGAAUGAGAAGAGAGUUAAGCAAAUCAAAGCAAGCCCCUGUUAUUUGAAAUAUUUUUAAAGAUUUUUUAUUUUGAUGUAUCUACUUGAUCUUUGGCAAGUUCAAAAUAUUAGCUCAACUUCUACUUUGGAAGCCAGAUUUCAUAUAUGCAUAAUGGAAGUUUUGGAAGAUUAAUGUUAUUGUACUGGUACAACUAGCUAGAUUAAGGUAGUAAUUUUAUUCCAAAAGCCCUUGAUCCAAACUACUUCUAAAAGGACUUAUUAGUUUUUAGAGCAAUAUUGAAAACUCAAGGAAGUGAAGUAGAUCAAGAUAAAUAUAUAGUUUUGGAUUUGAUUAAAUGAAUAAAUUUAAUAAUUGAAUUUAACAUAAAAAGAAGUUUCCAAAGUUUAAGGAAGUUUAAACUUUUGUUUACUUAGCAGUUCCUACUUUUCAACUAUUCUAUGUUACUUAUACUAUGUUUGGUUCCUGAAAAAUUUGAGGGAAACUAUGAAGGAAAGAUGAUUGGAGCCAAAAUAUGUGCUUCCAUAGCAUAUAUAUAUAUAUAUAUAUAUAUAUAUAUAUAAUAUUAUUUAUGCAAUAUAAAAAGCUCAAAUCAUCCAACUUAACUCAAAUUGAUGUUAAGACCCUAAUUAUGAAUCUAACUACUAUUUUGACCCUAAUUAUGGAUCUAACUACUAUUUUGAGCCUAAUUUUAGAUUUAAGGGAUGAAAAAAAAGUGAUAAGUGCAGAAGUCAUUAUCAACCAAGGAAGUAGAAGGGGUUAAACAUGCCUAAUUGAGAGAUCCGAGACUUGUGAACCAUGAAGAGUCCAAGCAAGGGUGUGAUAAGCAACUUGAAUACUAGUAAUGAAUAUUAUGAAGUGAGAUAGGGGGCAAACAACCAUAAUGGAGGAGGUUCGAAUAAAAUGCGAUCAAGUUCACAUGGGAAUUUAGAACUCAAAAUUUGGUAACAACACAUACUCUUAACUUUGAGAUAAAAUUUAGAGCACUUCUUGAGAUCAAACUAAUAUAAGUGUAGAAUACUUAAAUUACCUUUCAAAUAAAAAUUAGACUUUGCACAACUUAACAAAAAGAUGUUGGAAACUUAUGAAAAUUUGAUGCAAAAAGUGCUAGAUGUGUGCUUAUAGGCUAUUCACUCAAGCUAAAGUCUAUGGAGUUUUCCUUAAUGAAGGAAGAACAAGCUUCAAGAACAAUGACUAAAUCUUUAAAUGUAAUGAUAAAUGAUGUUUUUAGGAGAUAGUCUUUGUUAUGAAUUAAGAUAAAUUCCAAUUUCCAUCAAAAUCUGGAAUAAGUCUUAACCAUAUUAUCUUAACUAAGGGUAAUAAGUAGAUAGAGCUAAAAUCUAGCUUGGUAGAUUGAGGAAUCCGGUUUGGUAGAAUUGCUCCUUAUAUCUAACUUCUAGCAAUGCAUUUGGCUAGAUGGACCACUAAAUUUCGCUAGCCAACUUCAAUCUUUGAAGAUACUCCCUAAUUUGCUUCAACUCAACUGUCCAUAUGAUUUGUUCUCGAGAUUCCUAGCUCAUGAUUUGUUCUCAAGAUUACUAGCUCAUUGAUGAUAUAAAUAGCAUUUUCAUCUCGUUAAGAGGAGCUUUUGGUAGUCUUUUGUAUUUCUAUUCUAUUUUAGGGUUUUUACCUUCUAUAUCUUUUUCUUGUAGAAACUCUAAGGUUAUAUUUGUUCUCAAAAAAUUUGAGGGAAAAUGCAAAGGAAAGAAAAUAUAAAAGAAAAAUAGAAAGAAAGAAAAAAUGAAAAACUAAAAAAAAUAAAGUUCAAUAAAUUAUUUUUAUUUGUUACUUUAAGCUCAUUUUAUUUAUUUUAACUCAUCAAUAUAAAGAUUAGAAAAUUUUAAAAUGUAUAAGUUUUUAACUAAUUUUAAUUAUAUUUUACUUUCUUUAAUAUUUUUUAUAGGACCACCAAAUAUGAGAAAAUCAUUUUCUAUAGUAUUAUUUUUUAUUUCCUAAGUAUUUUACAUAAAUCAAACAUACCCUAAAGUCAUGUUUGAUUGAUUGGAUAUAGCAUGUGAUACGAUAAGAGAAGAAAUAUUAUAUCUUAUUUUAUAUUUGGUUGGUAAUGGAAUAAAAUAAGUUAUCCUAUCAUUUAUCACAUAUUCAAUUAAACAUAGGAUAAGAUAAAAUAGUAUAUGAUAUAUUUCACCUUCUUUUUUAUAUUCAUUCUAUAUAGGAUAUGUUAAUCUUAUGCUAAGAUAUAAAAUAUGCAUAUCUUAUGUAUCUUAAUUUAUUUAUUUAUUUAUUUAUCAAUUAUAUUUUUUAUAUUACUUAUUUUUCAAAAUAAAAACUUUUGCUAUAAAAUUAAAUUUGUGAUUAAAAAAGAAAAAAUAAAAAUAUAUUAUAAAAUAAUAUUAAUAUAUGUAUUAUUUAAUAUAUAUAUAUAUAUAUAUAUAUAUAUAUCUAUAUAUAUAUAUAUAUAUAUAUAUAUAUAUUCAUGUAUGUAAAUAUGUACCAUGUAUAUUAUUUCUAUGUAUUGAAUAACACAAUAUAAAAUAUUUUUAUUUAUAAAGUUUAAAUAUUUUAAAAAUGAAUAUGAAGGCAUGUUUGAAUGAAUUCAUAUAUAUACAUAUUUCAUGUACGUGUGUAUGGUAAUAAUGGAGAAUGAACGUCCAUCAAUUGGUAUGUUCCAUUUUCACCAAAAACAAUCUUUAAAAACAAAAAUGAAAGAUUCAAGGGAAACAACAGAGAAUCUAGGCCAAUAAAAAUAAUAAUAAAAAAGGGACAAUUGCGUUUUGGGCCCAGUUGGGUCCAAAAAUUAACAUUUGGUCCAUAUAACUUACAUAAUUAAUAGAAAGGAUAUAAGAUGUUAAGAGACCAAUAUACCCUUCAAAUUUUUAUAUAUUACCUUUUAAGAAUAUAAAAUCAUGAUGGACUAAAAUACUCAAUGACCUUUCAUAUAAACUUUUUUAAAAUUUGGAUUUUAACAAUUUUCACACCACUAUUCACGCAGCCAUAAUAAUUCUAUUUUAACAAUUUGGAUUUUUCAUUGUUUUCAAUUUUUUUUUUUAUAAAUAAUCGAAAAUCAGCAUUAUUUUCUAUUUUAAAUUAUAAAUAAAGAAAAAUUAUGUUCAAAAACUAUUUUAAAAAAUACUUUCUAAAAAAAUGGUAAUAUGAUUUAUAUUUUUUAUAUUUUCUUUUUGAAAAAACAUUUAAUUAAAAAAUGAAAACUAUGUUUAAAAAUAAAAAUUGAAAACCUUGUUUAGUACUACUUUUUAUAUGAAAAUAAUAAAAAGAAUUAAAUUUUAUUCAUUGAUUAUCCAAUUUUUUUUCCAUUAUUUCUUUUAAUAAAAAAAAAUAUAUAGUAUGUUUACAAUUAAACAAAGGAAUUGGUCAGUUAUGUGUUUUUUGUGUGACUAUCUAUUACAUGAAAAAUAAUUAAAUAACUAAAUUAUAUAUAUUUAUUACUAUUUUUAAUUUUAUUUUCUUUAUUUAUUUUUUGUCUAAUAGAAAAUUUGAAUAUAGCCAUAAUUAACAAAGUAAUAGAUUAAUUGUGCUCAUUUUGAUAUAUUAAAAUAAAUUACUUUCUAAUUUAAAUAAAUAAAAUGAAAUAAUUAAAUAAAUUUGGGGUUGUUUCUAUUUUUUAACAUAUCUUAUAUUAAUAUUUUUUAUGGUUAAAUAAAUUUUUUAUUAUUUUUUCUUUAAUUCCAAAAAUAAAAUGAAAUAAAUAAAUAAUUUUGGUAUUUUUUAACUGAUUUUAUAUUCAUAUUUCUUAUGGUUAAAUACAUUUUUUAUUCUUUUUUCUUUAUUUCCAAAAAUAAAAGGAAAUAAAUAAAUAAACUUGGCUUAAAUAAUAGUUUUUAAGUAAUUUCUUUGUCUUAUUUUUAAUUACAUUUUGCAUUCAUAUAUUCAUAUUUCUUAUGGAAUUUGAGUUACUGUACAAGGUAUUUACACUAAGUAUACAUGAUAAAUAUACUAACUGUACAAGGGUGUACAAGGCUAUUAUUUGUGAAGGAUUUUAAGUGAUUCUGAAAAACUUAUUUGUUUAUUUCCCCUAACCGAGGAUAGAUGACAUUCCUUACCCACAUUGGUUAAGCAUACAUUCAUCUCAUGUACUUUAUCUAACUUGUAUAUGGUCAUUUGAAUAGGUACCUCACUUAUGAUGAUUGUAAAACGAAAUUAUACAACAAUUUUUCUUCUUUUUUAAAACAAAACCAAUACAAACAUGGUUAACCGACUUAUUGUCAAAUAUUUAUGAGAUGAUGUAUGAAAUUUGAGUUAUUGUAUAAGGGUAUUACACUAACUAUAUAAGACAAAUUUACUAAUUGUACAAGGGUGUACAAGACUACUUUUUGUUAAGGAUUUCAAGUGAUUUUGAAAAACUUUCCCAUUUUUUUCACUCAAAGAUUUUUCCGCACUCAACUUCUCUCACUCAAGAAUUGUUUUGAAUUUUAUUUUUAAAUUUCAUCAUAAAAAAUUUGUAAUUGCAUAUUUUGUUUUUAUAGUUUUAGCAAUGUUCUUUCUUUCCACUAUUUUUUUUUUUUUUUUGUGAAAUUUUAUCCAAAUGAAUCUAUAUUUAAAAUUAUAAUCAUAUUUAUCAAUUUUUUCUACUAAAAUUAUCUUUAAUUCUUUUAAUAUAUUUAUACUCAUUUAUUUAAAAAAUGAAUAACUAAUUUUUUUUGUAAACAUGUUCUAUUACCUUUCAAGUAAAAAAUUAGAUAAGUUUGAAAGUCAAUAAAAAAAAUUAAAUAUCACUUUUAACCAUUUUUAGAUAAAAUUUUAUAUUAAUAUUUUAUUUGAAAUUUAAUUUCUAAAGUUUCACUAAAAAAUUGUUUUGACAAUUUUCUUAUUGUGAGUCAAAAUACUUUGCAUUAGUCUAUCUAUAUAAGAAACUUUAUUAACAUAAUAUUAGAACUUCAUAUCUUAGUUAUUUUUUUCAAUAAAUUUAUCUUUUAAAAACUUAAAAAAAACAUUAAAAAUUAAAAAGCUAAAAGGAUAUAUAUAUAAUUUUAGAGAGUGUGUUUGACAAUAAUUUUAGAGAGUGUUUCUAACCUUUGUAACACUUGAAAAUUUUUAGUUUUUAAGCAUUAAAAAUGCUAGAAACAACCCUAGAAUCACUAUCAAAUUCAUUUCAAGAGUCCGUUUGAAAGUGAUUUUAAGAAGCAUUUUUAGUCUAAAAUGAGAUUUAUUUAUUUAUUUAUUUAUUUAUAAAUAGAAGAUGUUUGGUAAAAUUUAGGUAACGCUUAUAAAAAUUUGAAAAAUCAAUUGUUGUGUUUUAUAUGGAAAAACACUUGAUACAUAAUUCUCCUAAAAACACUUUUAAAGAAAACACUUCCACUAAAAACACUUCGAGUAAAAAUACUCCUAAACGCAUUCAACAAAUUAGAAUACUAAUGAAAUUAUGUGAUGCAAACCACCUUUAAGAACUAUCUUAUUCUCAUAUAAGUGAAAUGUCACACCUCAUUAAGAGUGUCUUUGGUAGUGAUUAUAGGAAGUGUUUUUAGUUUUUCUAACACUUGAAAAUUUUUAUCUUUCAAAUGUUAAAAUGAUUAAAAAUGCUUUUUAUAAUCACUGACAAACAAACACACAAAUACACAUACAUCAUGACCUAAUGCACAUUGAUCUAAUAAAGAAACUCAUCGAAAGAAGCACUUUAUUUUCUAAGUGCUUCUUGCUAAUCAAAUAUGACAUGAACCAUAAGUAGGUAGAUGGGUAGUAAAAACCUUCAUAUGCUUGGAAGUCCUUUCACAAUCAUCUAGUAUAACCAUUGGUGUACAACAUGCACUUGAUACAUAGCACAUUGUUGUUGUUUGAAUAUAUUGCAAUUGUUCCUUGGGUGCAAGAUGUUAUCAUCAUCUUCAUUAAAAUGAAUAAAUAGAAAUACCAAGCUACCAAAGAAUUAUGCUGGAAUUGAUCCUUAACUUAUUAGUGUUGAAUAAGAUUGAUUUUCCUCUAUUGACUCCUUCGAACUAAAAAGGGUUUGAAUGUCAUCAACACCGCAAUUGCCUCAACCACAUUCAGUAUGAAGAAAAUCAUCUGGUCACCUGCAUAUGAAGAAUUGUAAGAAGUUUUCAAUAAUUAGCCUUUAAGUUGUUUGACUUUAUUUAUUAAUUUUCUUGGAUCAUUCAAUAUCAACCCUAAACUUACUAUUUUACGAAGAUUUAAUGGUUAUGUUUUGAGAAAUUAUAUAUUACAAACAUAACAUGAUUAAGAGAGCAAAUGAGGGAGGAAAGAUUUAAAUACUGACAAGAGAUUUUAUUUUUUUUAUUUUUUUUAUUAUGUAGCAAAUAACCAUUAAGAGAAGACGUUGGUUUAGCCUAAGCCAUCAAAUGCCAAACCAAUAAAAGAUAUGCCAAAUAUGGUAAUUGAUUCACAUGACAAUUGACAAACUUUCCACCUUCAGAAAAAUUAAUACAACCUAUUGCAUAAAUUAUCAAGAAAAAAGAGGAAUUGAAUGACCAAAGGAGUCCAUUCCUCACACAAAAAAAUCAACAAUUAUUUUGUGAUUUAUUAAACAAACGGUCAAGAAGAAGAGUUCUUUAAAGAGGAAUCAUCAUUUUGUAAAUUAUAACAAAACAAGAAGAAGAAUGCUAAAGAAGAAGAAGAAAAAUGAUAAAGCUAUAAUUUACAAAAUGAUGAUUAUUGUUCUACAGUAUAUAGGAUUUCCAUUAUCUUGAACCCAACCUAGAACUUAAGAAGAUAGCUUUAUCAUUUUCAUGGUCUUUCAAAAAAGAAGUAGAAAUGUUGAUGAAUCAAGUUUCAUAUAUUAUUAAGCCUUUUCAUAGUACUUUUAAUUUUUUGAUAUUCCAAUGUCGAAUGGUAGGAAUGUGAGGAGUAUAUAUCAACUUGUAUUUAGAGUUUUUCUUUUUAAAGGAUUUGACUAUUACAACUUAUUGGGAAGUAAGGCUGUAAUUUGGAUUUGUUGAUCGAAUUGAUGGUUAAUUAGAAUACAACUCAAAUUAAAAAUUAAUCAACCUAAACCUAACCCAACCCAAUUUCUAAAUCGAGGCCCUAAUCCAAUUUCAUCUUUGUAUGCUUAGAUUGAGUCCUAGUUGGUUGGAUUAAACUCGAUUGAUCAAAUUGAUCAAGUUGUAUUAGUCAAAAUCUAUUUAUAAUGAUUUUUAAAAACUUAUAUAUAUAUAUAUAUAUAUAUAUAUAUAUAUAUAUAUAAUUCCAAUUUGAUGUUUUUCUAAACAAUCUGAAAAGCAAUUGAAUAUUAUUUUAUAGGAUAAUAUUUAUAAAAAUGUUAAAUCAGGUUUAGGUUAGGCUUGGGAUAUUCAAAUCCGAGUCUCACCCAAAUUGAGCUUGUAUUGAAAAAAGUUAGCCCUAGUCAAACCUUAAGUAUUGAAAAUGAUUGCCUAAACUUAUUCAAACAUUGGGUUAGAUUUGAAUUUGGUAUGAUCAAUCCACUUAAAUUACACCCCUAUUAGGAAGUAGGAUGGUCGUCUAAGAUGUCCUCUAAUAUUUGAUUUGUUGGGGUAUUUGUGAGAUUUGGGAACCGCUUGUUCUUAUUUAUUAUAUUUUCAAACUUUUGUCAUGAGAUAAAUUUUUAAUUGCACAUUAAUCCAACAUCAUUGGAAAUAAAUGAAUCAUUUUUAAUAUUUAUUUUGUAGUUUUUUUGUCUUCAUAUUAAAGAUGUGAAAUUGGAAGGAUAACUUCCCUUAAAAUUUCUAACUUUAUUAUAUGACUAUAAGUUUGAAAAAUUUAUCUUAUUCCUUAGACCUGAAGGUGGCAUGACACUCGUCUAAAACAAGGUCGUUCUAUAUACUCUUGCUUCUAAGAAUCAGGGUCCUAUAAAAGCAACAAAAUCAUACCUGGGAAGAAGGCAGCUCUCUGACGCCCUUGUGCCCAAGAAAAGCUACAAAUACCAGCAUCAUUAAAAAUAACCAAAUGGUACAAUCUUGUAGAAGGAAAAAUAACUUUUAAAUAAAGCAAUUGUUAUUUAAUAAAAUAAAUGGAAUAUAAUUUGGAUAAGAUGAAAUCAAGUGAGACAACAUUUAGGGAAAGUGGCUAAAUAUGACUCCCUAUCUACACUAAAUCAUUGGGAUCAAAGCUUUCAUAGGCCACUAACCCAAUGCAAACCUGCACUAUGAGUAGAACAACAGGAUUCUUGAUACAAGUUAAGGAAGGAGGGAAAGCAAUAAAAAAGAUGUCGAUAUCUAAACCUUUUGUGUUAGGAAAUGAUGGGCAAACAUGACAAGGAAUCAACUAGUGUAGAAGAGUAAGACUAUGCUUGGUUUUCAAAAAAUUUGAAGGAAAAUGUAAGGGAAAGAAAAUAAAGAGUAAAAGUAGAGGGAAAGAAAAAAUGAAGAAAAAUAAAAAAUUGAAUUAAAGUGAUAAAUUAUUUUUGUUUGUUACUUUAAACUUAUUUUAUUUAUUUUAACUCAUCAAUAUAAAGAUUAAAUAAUUUAAAAAUGUAUAAGUUUCUAACUAAAUUUAAUUAUAUUUAAUUUUCUUUGGAAUUUUUCCUAAGACAACCAAAUAUGAUAAAAUCAUUUUCCUUAGCAUUUUUUCUUUCCUUAGUACUUUCCAAGAAUCAAACAUAACCUAAGAAGUCCAUAAUUUCCUAGAUGGUUCAAUGGCAUCAAAAGUCAAUAUCCUAGGAGUGGAUUGAAAGCAAAUCAAAUAAAUGCUAUAUAAUUCGUAUAGGUGAAUAAAAAUUAGGAUUUUUUUUCCUUGGAAGACGUUUUAUUUCUUAUGGACACAACUUGUUUUAAAGUAUGUAUCUUGUAUUUAAAAGACACAACCUCUUCCAAAGGAUGUGUUUGGUGUCUUAAGACACAACCCUUCAAGGGAUGUAUCUAGUAUUUUAAAGACACUUCUCUUCUAAAGGUUACCAUCAAAUUUAUAAAUAGGGACCUCCUAUGGCCUUUUCAUUCAUUUUCUCCACUCUUUUUCCUUUAUUGUCAUUCAAGUCCUCUUUAACUUCAAAUCUAGUUAUUUAUCUUUUCUACCAAAUAUUUGGCACACAAAAGAGUACAAAUCACCAAGUGAUUUGUUAUUUCUUAUUAUUUGAAGUGCUCCUAUCACAAGAAAAUUAUCAUUGUAUCCUAGGAAACAAUUGUCAAUAAACCAUAAGCACUUGAGUGAAACAAAUUUGUUUUAAGGACAUAAAGUCAAACUCUAGCCUUAAUCAACCUUAUUCGUAAGUUCAUAUUUUCUACUUCAUUUUAUUUGUAUAUUUAUUAUACAUACUUAUUAUUCAUAUAUUUUUCAGUGACGUGGAUAACAAUCUUAAGGCCCCUUUUUAACCAAACUUCAUAAGGCCUUGUCCAAGUCAAGCUCAUUGGAGGGUAUUGACAAGAAGAAAGGAAUAAAAUUAUGGGAUUUAAUGAUAGAUCCUAAAAUUAUGGAUAUAAAUAAGAUUAUAUUUUAUCGGUGAUUAUAUUGAAUCUUCUCAUAUUAGUAGUUCUAUCUCUGCUUUUUUGGAACUCUCUUUCAUCAGCACCUAGGACUGAGUUUUUGUCAUCCUCCUUCUAGAUGUAAAUACAUAAUUAAACCAUGUAAAAUAUUAUUGUUUAUUUAUUUAUUUUUGUGGAUUACUUUUAUUAUCUACAAUAUUGACAAUCAACUUCCCCGACGAUUCAAAAUUCAUAUGCUUCUCGGUCUUUGACAAGGGACAAGGUCUAACUUUUAAGCAUAACAAGGAUCAAAGCAAGAUCUCAAAAUUUUGUUUUCAUUUUAAUAUGGAGUAAGAACAAAGUAUAGCGAUCCUUAAGUUUAGCUCCCAAACUAUACUCCAUAUUUUUGCCUUCCCACAAAGAUGGAGAUGGGAAUGAUAUUUCUGAGUCGUUGGGAAUCUAUGAUGUGCUGGUAUUCUAAUAUUCNNNNNNNNNNNNNNNNNNNNNNNNNNNNNNNNNNNNNNNNNNNNNNNNNNNNNNNNNNNNNNNNNNNNNNNNNNNNNNNNNNNNNNNNNNNNNNNNNNNNAAUCACAUUGAAAUUUUUUUACUAGUAGGAGAGACAUUACUAAUGAUCAUUUGAUUUGCCUACCUACAAGAGAAUAUUCAAGUUGUAGAUCAACUUACAGAUAAUACAUUCUUCAUUGCCGAUGCACAAUUCAAUGCCAAAGAGAGGCUGAACCCAGAAAGCAUGGCUAUAAGAGGGUAAAUUGCCAACAGAGGUAUAGACAAAACCUACAUAUUGGGAAUAGCAUUGUAUGCAGACAAAAUAUAAAUGAAUAUGCAAGAAGAUAUUAAUUAGUUGAAAAUAGAGAAAGAGUUUAUUGAAUGUUCCAAGGUGUGGGAAACAUACACCGGCAAUGCGACAGAUGAUGAUGGGCCCAAGAAGCUUCUCCAAAUAUGGAUAGAGAGAAAGUUGGAAUACCAAAACCCCAAAACCUAAAAAUUGAAUAGAUGCCAGCAACUCAAUGUCUUGAAUACAUAUCAGACAAUACACUGAAUAACACACAAAAAAAAAAAAAUAAAGGUCUCUCUAGGUGCACCAAUUCAACUAUAAGAUAUUGCCAACAUCUUAAAAGAAAUGGUUAAGCUAUAUUUGGUUUCUAGAAAGUACUAAGGAAAGAAAAAAAAAAUUAAGAAAAAUAAUUUUCUCACCUUCGGUUUUACUAUGAAAAAUACAAAAUAAAAACAAAUAAACUUAAAAUUAGUAAGAAACUAAUAUAUUUAUGAAUUACUUCAUUAUAUAAAAGACUUAAAUAAGUCAAAUGAGCUUCAUGUAGGAUAUGAAAAUAAUUUAUUGACAUUAAAUCUAAUUUUGAUUUUCUUUUAUUUUUUUUAUCCUCCCAUUUUUUUCUCUCUAUUUUCUUUCUUUCUGCAUUUUCCCUCAAACUUUCGAGGAACCGAACAUAGCUUUAGAGUAUCGUCUCGCACAUUGCUAUAAGCAUCAUCAAAUGCAUACUUCUACAAGACUUACUUGAGACAAAUUUUCUUCCAAAUUCAACAUUGGGUUCCACGAGUACAUAAUGCUUGAAUUGUCUCAAUUUUUAUUUUGGUUUAGUUUUAUAUCAUUGUUCUGUCUCAAUUUCUUUUACUUUUUCUAUCCUUUCAUUUUUUUCUCUCUAUUUUCUUUCUUUCUGCAUUUUCCCUCAAACUUUCGAGGAACUAAACAUAGCUUUAGAGUAUCGUCUCGCACAUUGCUAUAAGCAUCAUCAAAUGCAUACUUCUACAAGACUUACUUGAGACACAUUUUCUUCCAAAUUCAACAUUGGGUUCCACGAGUACAUAAUGCUUGAAUUGUCUCAAUUUCUACGUUGGUUUAGUUUUAUAUCAUUGUUAUGUUUCUUCGUAUAGAGAUUCCUGUAAAGAAAACUUCUUUUUGAGUUCUUAUAGGAAACAGAAUUCCUCAUCCAUAACAAACUAAGUUUGGUGACUCAACUAUAAAACAAAUAGGAUGAACUGCCUUCAAGUGUUUUAAAAAGUCAGUGGAGAUGUGAGAGAGAGAGAGAGAGGAAAACACCUGUCAGAGCAAGAAACAUGUUUUGCCUCUCUUGCAUAUGUUUACUUUCUUAUUUCAUUUUUGAGACAAAUAAUCUCCUAAUUAUGGAUGCUUUGCUAUCUCAGUCAUGACUUUAUCUCUCCAGCUGAUCAGCCAAUACAAAGGGUGUAAAAGAUUAGGGAAUCAUUUCUGUUUUGCUUUCCCAUUACAAAGGUUGAUUCCUUUUCUGGUAGCUAAAAUGUAGUGGCUUUCAAUUUAAUUGUCAAGCUUCUGAACAUGCAAAGCAUAAUAGAGUUCCUUAUUCAAAUAAAGGCUUAGCUUCUUUAUUACCAUUCUUAUACCUUCUUAUUAAUUCCACAAUUCAUUUUGUGGUACCAUGGUCUAUUACCUUGAGAAGAAAGGCAGGAUGAUGCUGCAAGCAGCAAGAAUCAAAGUUGUAGGCGCUUUCUAGGAGGCAUAAUUAUAAAACCAAGAUUAUAAACUGAUCCAGUUCCUAUCAUUCUAAUCAUUGAUGAUUUGAGUAUUAUUUUGAGCAUAGUUAUUAUUGCGAUUCUUCUUUCAAUAUGACAUCUCAAACUUUGGAAUUCAUCACUUGAUCUCAUCCUAAUAUUGUGCAUACGUAUCCUUUUUCAUAUAGCAAGAGCACUAUCAUACUUUAUGAUUUUAGCAUCAAACUAACAACAAACAACUCACAUCCCUCUCACUCUUCUUCCUCUUUUAGUUUUUUUUUUCUUCUUUAAUUAAGCAAUCUAGAAUCAGAACCCAUCUAGAUAUUCUCUCACGAGGAAAAAAGAAGCCCUUAAAAAUCUAUCUGAUUGAAGUUAUUUGAGCAUGAACAUCAGCAUUUCCAUAGGCAAAUAAGGAACAAGCAAGAAAUUCAGUCCAUGAAUGUGCUUCCCAAGCCUCAUGGUAGGAAUGCUGAAUGAAAUUCUUUCCGGCCAAUUUUGAUACCUUAAGCAUGGAUAACCAGAUAAUAGUAUACCUGAGAUUGCAAGAACUACACCUACAUCAUCCGUUGAAUAGCUCAAACCCCCAUAUUUUCUAGGACUCACAGCCCAUAAUGAGAAUAUCUGCAGAAGAAAAUUUUAGUUUCAUAUCAGAUAUAAGUAAAUUAAAUUAAGAUUCAAUGUCAAUAAGCAGUAGUAAAGUGGGAGCCACAAUUUGAGAUGGCUGAGUCUGUAUUCAUUGUUAGAAUAAUGGUGUCAAUGACAGAAAAACAUGUAGCCAAAGGAGGGGUUGGGUGGCAGAAAUAACAUCAUGGCAGCAUUGGCAGCCAUGAUAUGGUGGUAGACAAUAUGAUGACAAAAGAGGUGAUGAUGGUGGUAGCGAAAAAUCCAAAAUCUGGUAGAGGAUUUAGUCAUACAAAAGAGAUUGAGUUCUCCGCCAUUGAUUGAACAGCAUGAGAUUGUAAGGAAUCAAGCUACCACACAACAAUUGUCAAAGUAGAUAUAAACAUAAACUAUGUACAGUGUUCAAUUCAAAUACCUUUCUAGAGUUGGUUAAAAUUUUCACUCAUUUUUUUGUCAUUAAACAUAUAAAAUUGAAAAGAAUCAAUUGAAAAAAAUUCAUUCCUCUGAGAUAUCAAACAUAGAGAUUAUAAGGAAGCUCUGCAUUUAUGUUCCCUGUUUAUAAAAAGAACCAGAAAGUAACACUGGACAAAGUGUGUAAUAAGAAUGCAUUUAUUUCACAAUUAUCUAGUGUGGAUGUCCCUAAGAAUACACAGGAAGCUCUAAGUGUUCCAAAAUGGAAGGAGGCUGUCUUUGAGGAGAUGAAGGUGAAAAGAAGAAGAAUUGGCUGAAUUACAUUCCAUUGAUGUCAAUUGAUGUAAUUAUACAGAAAGUAAACUUCGAUUACACAUUAGUCUCUCCUAUAAUUAAGCUAUCACCAAUCAAUCUAACUACAAUCUAGGAAUACAAAGGGGAAACUAUUAUAUACAGAAUAUAUCUUCUUUAUAUAAAAGAUUUGCUAGAUUAAUUUCCUAACACUCCCCCUCAAGUUGGAGAGUGGAUAUCUUGUACUCCCAUCUUGCGAAUCAUAGGAGUAAAGACUUCUUUUCCCAGAGCUUUAGUCAAGACAUCUGCCAAUUGAUGUGCAGAGUUCACGAAUCUUGUAGCAACGGAUCCAUCUUGAAUCUUAUCUCGGAUGUAAUGACAAUCCAUUUCAAUGUGUCUGGUCCGCUCAUGAAAGACUGGGUUUGCUGCAAUAUGCAAUGCAGCUUUGUUGUCGCAGUAUAACAAUGUAGGCUCUCGAUGCAAUACUCCCAAAUCUCUGAGAAGGUACCUCAGCCAAGUUAACUCACAACAAGCACCUGUCAUAGCACGAUAUUCUGCUUCAACUGAAGAAAGCAAGACUGUUUUCUGACGUUUAGAUCUCCAUGAGACUAAUGAGGGGCCAAGGAAGACAUAGUAACCUGUGGUUGACCUUCUAGUGAUUGGACAUCCUGCCCAAUCUGAAUCACAAUAGGCUCGCAACCUGAAAUCACUGUUUGAGGAGAAGAACAAUCCUUGCCAAGUUGCGUUCUUGAGAUAGCGCACAACACGAAGUGCUGCUUCCAUAUGAAGCUUACGAGGCUGAUACAUAAACUUGCUUAAUACAUGCACAGAAUAUGUAAUAUCCGGCCUUGAGAUAGUAAGAUAUAUCAAUCUACCAACCAACCUCCUAUAAUGACCCGGAUCCUUGAGUAAAUCACUUUUAUCAGACAAUUUCAAACCUCGCUCCAUAGGAGUAUCAAUAGGUGCCGCACCUAACAAUCCCGCAUCCUUAAUGAUUUCUAAAGCAUACUUACGUUGAGAAAUAAAAAUCCCAUUCUUAGAAGAAGAUACUUCAAUGCCAAGGCAAUACUUCAAAUCACCAAGAUCCUUAAGACGAAAUUGACUAUGGAGGAAUUUCUUAAUUGCAGCAAUACUCACAGAAUCAUUUCCAGUAAUCAAAAUAUCAUCAACAUAUAUCAGGAGGGCAGUGAAGGACUUGCCUUGUAUUAUGGUGAAUAAAGAGUAGUCAGCUCGAGAUUGAACAUACCCUGUAGCUUGAAUAGCUUCCGAGAAUUUUGAGAACCACUGUCGAGAUGCUUGCUUCAAGCCAUAUAGUGACUUAUGUAAUCGACACACCAAGUUUUCCUCCCCCUGUCUCCGAAGCCUUGGCGGCGGUGACAUGUAAAUCUCUUCAUGAAGAUCGUCGUGAAGGAAGGCGUUAUUAACAUCUAAUUGGUGAAGUGACCAUCUUCGAGCAGCAACCAAGGCAAGAAGACAACGAACUGUGAUGAUUUUGGCAAUGGGAGAGAAGGUAUCCUGAUAAUUGACAGCCUCCAAUUGUGUAAAUCCCUUGGCAACUAAUCGUGCUUUGUAUCUCUCAAUUGAUCCAUCAGAACGGUGUUUAAUCUUAUAGACCCACUGACAACCUAUCGACGUCUUCCCUAUUGGAAGAGAUGUGAGAGUCCAAGUACCCUUAGCCUAGAGAGCCUGCAAUUCGGACCCCAUCGCCUCUUGCCAUUCAGGAUGGACAGCAGCUUUAGAAUAAUUUCUGGGUUUUGUGACUUGACUAAUCUGGGCAAUAAAAGAGCAAUGUGCAGGCUUGUAGCGGUGAUAUGAAACAUAAUUGGCCAAAGGAUAACGUGUACCUUUAGUCAGACCUAGAAGCAAGGAAGGAGAUUGGUCGGAGCAAGCGUGCAUGAUGUGAGAGCAUACAUAAUCAUGUAGUUUCGCUGGUGGAUUAUAGGAGCGGUUGGAGCGACGAAGGGUCUCGGUUGGGGCUGGUUGUGGUGGGCCAAGGAGAGGUGGGGAUGGUUCGGAGGGAUUGGAUGAAGAUAGAAGCAAGGACAGUGAUGAAGGAAGGGAUGAUGUAGUUGGCAAGAGUGUCUCCAUAUGGGGAAGGAGGCGUUGGGAUUUCCAGCAGAGGUGAAGAAGCAUUCUUAGGGUGGCGAGUGUAUGUUUUGAGGAGAGCUGGAGUUGGAUUCGCAGUGGGCUGCUCAUCAGGGAGGGAGGGGAGAUCAGAAAUUGUGGAUGAAGAGAUGGGUGCGACGGAAUUGAGUGUGUCUGAAUUGGGUGCGACAGAAAAAGAGGGAGCAGAGUCUGUGGUGGGAGGAGGGAUAAGGCGAGAAUGAUUAGUGACGUGAAAGGGAGUUGGGUCAUGAAUUGGAGCAGAAAUUGGACCUGAAGAGUAGCCCAAAUUAGAAGUAGGAAGGACAGACUCGAAGGAAGCAUAAGGAAAGUGAUUUUCGUGAAAACAUACAUCCCUGCUGGUGAAUAUUUUUCUGGUGGAGAGAUUAAACAAUUUGUAUGUUUUUUGUCCAACGGGAUAACCAAUGAAGAUACAGGCGAUGGCACGGUGAUCGAAUUUGUGAGAGACAUGGACAUUGGUAGCAUAAGCGAGACAACCAAACACACGGAGGUGAGAGUACGUAGGUGGUUUCAAGUAAAGGCGUUCGAAUGGUGUUUUGAAGGAGAGAACGGGUGAAGGUAAGCGGUUGAUGAUAUGAACGGCGGUGAGUGCAUAUUCUCCCCAAAAUUGAGUAGGGAGUUAAGCUUGAAAUUUCAAGGCUCGUGCAACUUGGAAAAUGUGGCGGUGUUUGCGUUCCACCACCCCAUUUUGUUGGGGCGUGUAAACACAAGAGUGUUGGAAAAGAACAUCGUUAUCUUUGAAAAAAGAUUGGAGUGAAAGGAAUUCUCCACCAUUGUCACUUCGAAAAAUUUUGAUAUGAGAUGCAAAUUGAGUGGAAACAUAACUAAAGAAAUGUUUUAUAAGAGGCUGUGCUUCAUCUUUGUGUUUCAUCAGAAAAAUCCAAGUGAAGCACGUGUAAUCAUCAACAAUAGUAAGGAAAUAAUGUGCACCAGAAAGUGAAGAAUGUUUAUAACGACCCCAAAUGUCACAAUGAAUAAGAUCAAAUGGUUUUUCGGAUGAAAUUUCACUAGUACCAAAAAGUAAACGAUGUUGCUUUGCCAAAGGACAAAUAGGGUAAUCAUUAUUAGACUAAACUGAAAAAUUUAAAAAGUUCUUAGCAAUGAAACUCAGACGAGAAUGGGAAACAUGCCCUAAACGGCUAUGCCAGAGAUCAGUAGAUGAAGUGGUGAGGUUGCAGGUUGGUUGACGAUUUGGUGAUGAAUAAGAAUUGGUCUCGGUUUUAUUUGUCGUUAACGCCGCUAGGUAAUACAAUCCAUCACGCUGCUUACCCAAACCAAUCAUCCUCCUCGUAGCCAGAUCUUGCAAAACACACCAAUGAGGGAAAAAUGUUACUGAACAAUUCAGGCCUCUUGUUAGACGACUAACUGACAUUAAAUCAACUUUGAAUGUAAGUACACAUAAUACAUCACACAGAUAAUAAACAGAGUUUAGCGGCAAGGACCCUUUGGCGACAAUGUUAGCAUUUUCUCCACUAGGUAACAAUACUGGAGGCAAUGAAAUAUUUUUAUCUUUAUGCAAGAACAGCUUUGGAGAUGAAGAGAUAUGGUCUGUUGCGCCGCUGUCGAUGAUCCAACGGUGUGAAGAAAUUUUAAACAAACCUGGUUUUGCUACAGCUGCAUUUGCUUGAGAACUUGUACCUCCAUCUUUGUUAUUCAGAAAGGACAAGAGCUGUUGAAGUUGUGCUUCUGUGAUUCCAGUCAACACUGACUUCCCACCAUCUUUGUUCGCACCAUCAUAAACUUGAUUAGCCACAGAAGUAUUCUUGUGGCGGUUAAAAUUGGAACCUGUUCUUGCCUUUGGGUGUCCUGGAGGAUAUUCGUGCAGCUGAUAACACUUCUCGACAAAGUGUCCCAUUUCCCCACAAUAGGUGCACUGAGGUCGCCUCUGGAAGAUCCUGAACGACGUUUGUCUUGAUCAAAUCGUCGUGAAUCUUGCGAAUUGUUGUAGAAGCGGUCUAAACGAUCUGACCUUGCGUUCCCAGCAGAGUUGUUCUUCAUUUGAUUGCUCCUUACGACCAUGGCAACGCUGGAGUUAGACUCUACAGCUGUGUGUGUCACACUAAGAAGCCUCUGUUUUUCUUCUUGCCACACAGAGGAAUAUGCUUGACGGACAGAGGGAAGAGGAUUCAUGAGAAGUAUCUGCCCACGAAUUGCACUGUAGGAUUCAUUCAACCCCAUUAGAAAUUGCAUCAAUCUUUUUUUAUCCUGUUGUGCUUUGCUUGACGCAUCAUUGUACGAGGCCAGUUCAUUCCACAAGCUCUUGAGUUUUGUGUAAUAAACCGAGAUAGAAAGUUGCUCUUGUCGAUGGUAAGCAAUUUCUCGCUGGAUCUCAAUUAUGCGAGGUGCAUUGCUUUGAGAGAAUCGCUCACGAAGAUCUUCCCAAACCUCAUGAGCAGUUGCAUAAUAGAUUACAGAAUCUGAAAUUUCAGGAUUGAGAGUGUUGACGAUCCAGGAAUGCACCAUAUCAUUGCAACAUGACCAAGUUGCAUAGUCAUUAGGAUGAGUUUCUUUCGAAGGCGCCUUGAUGGUGCCAUUGACAAAACCCAAUUUGUUCUUGGCAUUUAAAGCCAAGGUCAUGGCUCUGCGCCAAGCUGAGUAGUUAUCUCCAUUCAAAGGUUUGGAAAUCAAAACCAAACCUAGAUGAUCUGAGUGAUGAGUGAAAUAAGGAUUUGAGAGAUCAGACUUUGAUGCAUCUGAUGGAAGGACAGAGGAAUCGACUUGUUUUUCUGUCUUUGAUGAGUAUGGUUUUGAUGUUCUAGAAGAAGUAGGAUUCCUUUCAUCAACCAUGGUGGCCAAAGGAUGAGAGAUUGCUGCACGAGAAAGUAGAGUGCAGCCACAAUAGAGUUCAGGAUUUUAGUCCCUACUCUGAUACCAUGAAAAGAAGAAGAAUUGGUUGAAUUACAUUUCAUUGAUGUCAAUUAAUGUAAUUAUAAAGAAAGUAAACUUCGGUUACACAUUAGUCUCUCCUAUAAUUAAGCUAUCACCAAUCAAUCUAACUACAAUCUAGGAAUACAAAGGGGAAACUAUUAUAUACAGAAUAUAUCUUCUUUAUAUAGAAGAUUUGCUAGAUUAAUUUCCUAACAGAAGGCUCUAGAAAAGAACAACACAUGGGAAAAGGUGAAUUUGCUUGAAGGAAAGAUGCCGAUGGGGUGUAAAUGUGUAUUCAUGGUAAAGUUUAAUUCUAAUGGAUCUUUGGAAUGUCAUAAAGUUAGGUUAGUGGCUAACGGUUUUACACAAACUUAUAUGAUAAACUAUUAGGAGACCUUUGCUCCAGUUUCCAAGUUGAAUACAAUCCAAGUACUACUUUCUAUAGUUGUAAACUUGGAAUGGUCCUUACACUAGUUAAAUAUUAAGAAUAUGUUUUUUAAUGGCGAUUUAAAAGAAGUCUUCAUGGAUGCUCUAGUGGUUUUUUCGGGAAAGCUUUGGAACCAAAGUAUGCAACUUGAGGAAGUCUUUAUAUGGUCUAAAGCAGUCUUCGAGAACAUGGUUCGAAAGAUUUACAAGGUCGGUCAAAAAUCAAGGCUAGAGUCAAGGACAAAUGGAUCAGACAAUGUUCAUGAAGUAUAUUGGAGGAGGAUAACCAAUUUGAACGUGUAUGUAGAUGACAUCAUCCUUAUUAGAAGUGAUGAAGUCGAGAUAACAAGAUUGAAGAAAUUCCUUGCAACUGAAUUUGAGAUUAAAGGCUUGGGGUCCCUACAAUAUUUUUUGGGAAUGGAAGUCGCAAGAUCAAAAAAGGGAAUCAUUGUCACAAAGAAAGUAUGUUAAUUUACGUUAGAGAAACCAAGCAACUGAGGGUACAAACCAAGCAACACCCCAACAAAUCCAAACCUCAAGUUUAGAGAAACAAUCGAGGGAAUGCCAGUUGAAAUUAGAAGGCAACAACAGCUUGUAGGGAAGUUAAUUUACCUUCCACACACAAGGCCCAACAUAGCAUUUGCAAUCAAUGUUGUGAGCCAUUUUAUGAACUCACCAUACAAGGAACAUCUUGAAGCCGUGUACAAGAUCCUAAGAUAUUUAAAGAGUACACCCAAAAAAUGUGUAUUGUUAAAGAAAAGUGAUCAAAGAAGUGUAGAAGUAUUUACAGAUGCAGACUAGGGAGGUUCAGUCAUAAUAAAAAUCAACUUUUGGUUAUUAUGUCUUUCUUUAGGCAAUCUCGUUACAUAUGGAGAAGCAAAAAGCAAAAUGUGGUAACAAAAAGUGGUGUAGAGGCAGAGUUCAGGGUUAUGGCAAUGGAGUGUGUGAGAUAUUGUGGUUGAAAAGAAUUCUUGAAGAGCUUAAAUUAAAUUUAGAACAUCUUAUGAAAUUGUUUUGUGACAAUAAGACAACAAUUAGCAUAACAAACAAUCCUAUUCAAUGCAAUCAUGUGAAGCAUGUUGAGAUUAGUAGACAUUUUAUUAAAGAGAAACUUGAAAGUGGCAUUAUUUGUAUGUCAUUCAUCACCACACGACAAUAGAUAGCAGAUGUUCUAACUAAGAGUCUUUCUACACCAGGGUUCGAAACUCUAGUCAACAAGUUAGACAUGAUAAACAUCUAUGCGCCAACUUAAGGGGGAGUGUAGAAAUAUUAGGAUCGUUUGUUAAAGUUCUUAUUUUAUUUUCAAAUAAAUCUGAUUUGAUUAUAUUAAUCAAAUUUGGAAUUUCAGAUAAGGUUAAAGUUGUUAGGUCCUAGAUUUGUAGUUUUUUUUGUUACACAGUUAAUAUUCAAACCUUAGCCUAGUUAUUCCCAUGUAAUUUCAUAAUUGUUUAAUAAAAAGAAUAUCCCUUUUUAUUCUCUAUUAUGCGUAGAAAGUAAAUGCUUAUAAGCAUGUAAAGGUAGAGAUAUCCAAUGGGUUGGACCGCCCAUUUUGGCUCAUGCCUCGGCACGGCCCGAAUAUUGUAGUGAGAUGGGUCGACACAGUCCAAAUGAGCGGGUCAUGUUAGGCCUAAGAAGAUGGCCUGACGUGCCACUGUGCCAGCCUACUCUGCUGCAAGUCGUGCUGGUCCACCUUGCUAGCCCACUUGGCCCUUUCAAAAUAUCAUUUUUUUACUUUCUACUUUUUCCUUUUUUAUUACAUGUUAAAUGUCUAUAAUAUCCCUCUCAACAACUAUAUAACAACUAGUUUGAGGGGUAAAAAAGUAAAUCAAUAGUUAUUUUGUACUUUUGUCAUGUCAAAUGUCUAUAUUACCCUCCUAACAACUAUGUAACGAUUAGUUUAAAGGAUAAAUAAGUAAAUUACUCAUUAUUAAUAUUUUUAUAUCAAAUAUCAAUAAUAUCCCUAUCAACAACUUUAUAACAACUAGUUUGAGGCAUAGUUUUAAAAGGCUCAAGGCACAUCAAGGCGCAAAGUAGUCCUAGAGCCUGAGGCGCAUGGCGCAUUAAGGUGCGUGCUUUAGUGAAGCGAGGCGCACCCUAAUUUACAUAUAUUUUUCUCUUAUUUUUCCUCCUCUUCUUCGUCUUCUUCACUUCUCCACUACACGAUUGAAGCUAUGGCAAAAUUUGGGAGAGUUGUCAAGUUGAAAACAACCAGAAAAUGGGGUUGGAAGAGAAAACAGGGCCAAAACGGCGUUGUUUUAGCCUAUUCUUUUCAAAAUAAAAAAGGUCAAAGCGACGUCGUUUUGGUCCCAAAAAAUAAAAAAAGAAAUUAGGGCUUCUCAAUGCCCUUUGCAACCUGAUGCUGGAGAAGAAGAGAAUGAGAAGAAAAAGAAGAAGAAGAAGUAGGGGAUCGAGGCGCACCUGUGGACCGCGUCACGCCUUGCACGCCUAAGCGGUGCCUUCGUGAAGGGAAGUCGCCUACCUUCAAGCGAGGCGCCGGAGGGUGGCGUCGCGCCUUUCACAACUAUGGUUUUAAGGGUAAAAAAGUAAAUGAUUCACCAAUUAUUCUCUAUAAAUACCCCUCAUAUUAUUUAUUUCUCCACAAAUCUUUAUUCUCUCUAAUCUCUCUUACUACAAUCUUCUAAGUUUAAAUUCUCUACAAGUGCUCCAAUUCAAGGCUUUAAGUUAUCUACUAUCCAUAAGUUUCGAUUAGUUACAAGUUAUUUUGUGCUAUCUACGAACUCUACAAGUGGUCAUCAUCACAAUUCACAAGGUUGAGGUAUUUAUAUCCAAUUAUUUCAUUUAUUUAUUUUAAUUCUAAAUUUCUUUUAAUUGUUCUCUUCCUUUUACCUUAUUUUUUUCUUCUAAAAUUAAAAAUGGAUCCUCGUCACCUAGAUCUUGAAAACCUUGACUUUAGUACUGAUGAAUGUAAUGAAUUUAAUCCUUUUGAAGAUGAGGAGAUCCCCACCCCCUCUAGUGUCCCUCCCUCUAACCGUCCCCAACACAAUCCCAUAGGUAAAAGACUUAGGGCUAGUAGACACACAUCUAUAGUUGGAAUCACUUCACUAUAAUAAAUAGACAAAAUACAAAAGGAGAGGUAGAAAAUCUAGCAGAAUAUAAAUAUUGUAAAAAAGCAUAUAGUUACAAAGCUAGUGGUGGCAUAGGUCACUUUCGAAGACAUGCUGAACAAUGUACCAAAAAACAUGGUGCAUUAGACCCUAGGCAAUCCCAAAUAAGUCAAAUUGAAAUAGGAUCUAGUACAUCUUCAAUGUCCCCUUUUAUAUACAAUCAAGAAUUCAUGAGAGAAAGGUUAGCUGGAAUAGUAGCUAGUGUGUGCCUUCCAUUGACAUUUGGUGAAGAUCCAAGAAUUGUAUUUCAUAGAAUUCCUAGGACUACUCCUCAUAAUGAUGUAAUUAAAUGCUACAAAAAAGAAAAAAAUAAUAAUAAUUGAAGAGUUUAAUAAUCAUAGUGGUAUUGUAAUUGUGACCUUAGAUAUAUGGACUAAUCAACAUAAUGACCCUUUUACAUGUGUGAUAGCACAUUAUACAAAUUCAAAUUGGAAAUUAAAUAAGAAAAUGUAUAUUAGGCUUUCGUGAAAUAUUUCAUCCUCGUGAUGGACCUAUCAUAUAUGAUUAUUUGACAAGUGUAUUCAGAGAAUAUGGCAUACAAAGCAAAAUUUUUAGUAUUACCUUUAAUAAUGCUUCAAACAAUAAAAGUGUCAUAAAUUUAUUUAUAAGAACAGUUAGAGAAGGCCCACUAAGUGAAGUAUUUCAUGUGAGAUGUGUUUGUCAUAUAAUUAAUUUAAUAGUACAAGAUGGUUUAAAAUUAAUAUCACUCUUAUUGGAGGCUAUUCGAUCUACUUUACGAUUUCUUGAUUCAUCUGGCAAAUUACAAGAAUUUUAUGUUUUAUGUAAAGAGAAAAUUCCAUCAUGAUUUCUUUCAUCGUUGGAAUUCUACCUACCUAAUGUUAAAAUCUUGUGUAGGAUAUCAUAAUGUACUAUCAGAUUAUGUCAAUAGUAAGACAGGUGAAAUUAAAAUAACUUCGGAUAAUUGGGUCAAAGGUUUUUCUUUUUAAAAAUUCUUUAGAAGGUUUUUUAUGAUACUACUAACAUAUAUUCUAUUGUAUAUACUCUUACAUCUUGUAAAGCACUUAGAUGUAUUUGCAACACGAGUAAUGUGUUUCAACAGUAUAUGGAAUAUCCCCCUUUUAGUGAAAUAUGCGUACAAAUGGAUUUUUUUUUUUUUUUGAAAUAUUGGAAAACCAUUCCACCACUUUAUUGUUUAACUGAUUAUAUGGAUCCAAGGGCUAAGGUUGAAGGUGUAGAAAAUAUUUUAAAUUUCAUAGCUACUAGUAUGAACCAACCAUCUAAACCAAAGUGUAAGAUAUACGAACAAUUAAACAACUUAUAUAAAUAUUAUGAGAAUAAAUAUGGUAGUGCCUCUUCAAGUACUAUAACUCCAUCGACAUUUGGAAAUGAUUCAUUCUUUAUGCAAUUAGCUAAGGGAAAGCGACAAGUUGGUCCUUCAAGUAGGUGUGAUCUUUCAAAAUAUUUAGAUACUGAUUAUCGUUCAUACCUAUCCCCUAAUGAAGUAAAAAAUAUUGAUAUUAUGAAGUGGUGGAAAUCUCAUGAAUUCACUUUUCCUAUGCUAUCUAAAAUGGCACGUGAUCUACUAACCCUAUCGGUGUCUACUGUACCAUUGCAAUAUGCUUUUUCUAUAGCUGCAAAUAUAAUAAGAGACAGGAGGACAACUCUCGCAGCAGAGAUGCUAAAAACUUUGAUAUGUUUGAAGGAUUGGGAAGAUGAACGCAUAAGACUCCAAACUUUGGAAGAUGAACUUAAAAAAGACCUCAAGAAAUUGGAUCUCAACACAAACAAUGAUGUUCAAGAGAUUGAUGACGAUUGAAGAUGAAGAAUGAAGAUGAAAAAAGAAGAAUGAAGAUCGAAUAAGAAGACAAAAGUGAAUAUGUUGUUCGUUUCUUUUAAAUAUAUUAAAUGUAGUUAAUUUUUAAAGGUUGAGUAAAGCAUAUAAUUGAUAGUUGGGUGGGUGUCAACCUAGUUGGGAUGUACUCAAACUAUAGUGAUGCAAUUCUCACCUUUAUUUUCUUCCUAUUUUUUCAUGUAAUUUGUUGAAAUAUUGAAUAAAAGAAUUAUUUUUUUUAUAUUUCAUUUCCUUUUAUAUUCCAUUAUUUUAAAUUUAUUGUUAUUUUGAUUAAAACGAAAAACCAAUUGAAAUAUAAUUUUUUUAAGUAAAUAUUUCUAUAAAUUUUACAAUUACAUACUCAAUAAAUAUAAAUAUAUGAAAAUAAAAAUUAUAAUUAUUAGAGUUGUUUAAAGAAAUUUCAUUUCAUAAUGAAAAAAAUGUAAGACAAAAUGACUAAAAAAAUUUAAUUAAAAAUUUUAACAAAGUGAAUGGCCCACCGACACGGCACGACACAACAUAGCCUGGCACGAUUGGCUUGCAAGCUUAUGGGCCGUGUUGGGGCACCUAUUUAGCAUGCGUGGGCCUGGCCGGGCCGGCACGAUUUUAAAGUGGGCUGUGUUGGCCCGGCACGUUGGCCCGUUAUGGCUUGGUAAACAUUGGACACCUCUGUGUCAGGGUUCACCAAACAGUCACAAUAAGCAAAUGAAAAUAGCCCAAUCUCACUUCACAAGCCCGGACUAACAAGAAGUUAAAAGAAUAUGAUAUUAGCUAAAUGAAGCCUGCAAAGCAGUGGGCUGUACUGCACAAUAUAGUAAUACAUUGUUCUCAGGAAUCAAAUCACAAGCUUGUUUGAUUCCUCAACCUGUAUGGGUUGUAGGGCAGCAUACACAGAGCACUCUCAGCUAAAUUUACAGAAAAAGGAAAAGCAUCUAUGGAUGGAUGUGUGCAAACAUUUAGAUUAUAACGAGCCCAAAUAGGGUCACCUAAGCAUGAAAAUAUAGAAACAAGAAAAGUAGAUGGUGAAAGGUCCUCCCAACCCAAACUAUUUAGUCAAAGGCCAAGUUAAAUUGAGUGAAAUUAUCCAAGAAAAGAGUAACAUGCAAAUCAACCAAAGGAGUAUUCCAACAGCAGUAGCAGCUCCACCAAUCCCUCAUUCCACAACAUUUUCUAGUUAGGCCAGAGGGAGAGUUUUCGCAUCAAAAAGAAAAAAAAUGUCUAAUAUUCUAUUUAUUCAGUAAUUGUUUGUAUGCAUGCGGACAACAUACACAAUCAAGUAAUGGGCUCCAAACUAGAGAUUUAUUUUGUGAAUCCAUUAUCAAUCAGAAACUGUAGAUUAAGAAAUGUUCCAGAAUCUGAAGCUAAGUGAGAGACAUACCUCCGAGUAAGCCAUAUCAUGAAGUGAGAAAACACAGUAAACAAAGAUAGAAGACAGCAAGGGCCAAUUCUUUAUGAGGCUUUCCUUAGAAGUUGGUUUGUUUGCCUCAAUUUCGUUUACUGUUUCUUCUGCAUUAAACCCACAGAAUGGAGCUUCCAAAGCAUUGUAAGAGUUUUUUCUUAAUUUGUCGUUUUCAUUGUGUGUGUGCAGCGUUUCCUGCGUUAGGCCAGAGAUUUGGAUAUCAAAUGCAGUAACAGGCAGCAAUAGCAUAAAGAAGUGAUUCCAUGAACAUGCAACUAUAUAUACAACACCAGAAAUAUUCAGGAAAUUUGGAUACAGAUUGACAAAAAGAAAAAGGUUGCAGUGCAAUUUCGUAAAAUUCAAGCAUCAAAGAAUUUCAAAGUGAUGCAUUGACAUAAAGAUAAUAAUAAGAAGAAUAAUAUGCAUUGAUUGUCAUUAACAUAUUCUGUUGUGCUUAACCAGAAAAAGAACUUAGAAGCUACAUAAGAAGAAUAAGAACAGCCUAUAUUUUACAGGUUGGUAGUCAAGAAAUCUGAAAGAAGAUAAUAUGCAACAGUUUCAUUUUAGUAAGACUAAAAAUCUUAAUGUGCCAAGCAAAAUUCCAAACCCUGAUCUAAGUUACAGGGGAAGACUAAAAAUGAUGAAACAAUGGCUAGAUAGCGCUUGAAGAUGAAUGUUUAACACAAUGUUGAGCUAUGUGGAUUGGAAAGGCAAAGAAGUGGUUACAUUCACAAACCAAAAUAAUAUAUCACCAUAAAACAGGGAAUAUAACUGGAUGACAAGAUGGAGAGUACCAAUUAAUAUCAUUUUUGGUCAGGAAUUACAUCAUAAUUAAUAAUAUUAAGAAGGUACAUUGUGAUAAAACUGGAGUAAAAGAUCUAGAUUCAUUUUGCUGUUAGGAUGCAUACAAAUCAGAGCAAAAGGUUAUAUGAGAAGUAGGAGAGUAAAGUCCUAGCUGAAAGCAUCAUGCAUGGUUGCAUAUCUGCUUUUCUGCCCUUCUGGUGAAUAGAAUGCUCAAAAUCAUGGUCAGUGUUCUAAUACAGUCUUCAUGCCAAAUGAAGCCCCAAAAGCUUCUUAAAAAAUCUCUGGUCAUUUCAAUAAUGUAUUUGAAUGAUGUUCUUUUUCCAGUAUGGAAAUUUACAUCCAUCCUGACAAGUGAGGAGAAUACUACUUAAAUCAAGUUCUGUUGGUAAUACAUGAAGUGACCAAGGAACUGAACUGAUUGAGAAACCUACCUGAAGCCAGCAACAGGCAAUAGUUAUCCCAAACGCAUAAACAGAUGUGCAAAGGCAGGGCAAGAAGUAUGGGAAUCUGCAUCAAAGAUUCAUGUUCUGUAACAUCAAAUACACCAAAAUCCAAAGAGCAAGAGAAAAAAAAAUGAUACCAUCAUCUAAGGAGGCAAAGAUCUAUUUACCUUCCAAAUAUAGAUUCUUUGGAGAAUAUAUUCGGAUACUUUUCAGCAGGCUGAAUUAAUAAAAUCAUCCAGGAAUAUCAAACCAUUAGUUAUGUUAUCAAAUUUACUGAAAGGAAAACAAAAACAGAGAAAGUACUUGAGAGAGACAAAAGAAGCAAACUUCAGAGACACAAGGAGGGGUAGCAGCAACUUCUAAUUGGUGGUACAAACAAAUAUGGACAUUUCAUUAGUAACUUCUUAUCUACUUCUUAGGAGACCUUUUAGCUACAAUUCUCACAAAAAAUCACAUUUCUUUGGCCAUUGAUAAGUGUGUUUAAGGUGCUUAUGGCUUAUCUAUUGCCUAAGUAUGUUGUUAGUCCCUCACUUUUUUGUGUUUGAAUUGUUUUCUUGUUAUUUUCAGGUUUUUGGAGCUAUUUUGGGUGGAAAUAUUUAUGAAUGAAGUACCAUGGGAGGAGCCAAGAAGGUUGGAGGGAGAAGGACUUGAAGAAUUGAUACAAAAGUGAUGGAUUUGGAGUUGGUGGGAUGUGCAAAAGCAAGGCAUACACACACUUAAGCCAAUGCAAGAAUUUUGGAUAAUUGAGCACAAUGAGUGAACACAGAGGAACACAAGACUUUGUGUAUGUAAAGGCUUUGGCAUCCAAAAACCCAAUGCAUAUAGCCUACGCAUGGAAUCUGCGAAGGUAACAUCACCACACUCUCUUCACAUUACACAUCCACAUUCAAGUUCUACACAUAAACUCAAGCUCAGCAACCCUGCACAUGUCUCAAGCAUAAGAGCAUGUGCGCAUGUCUGUGUAGCUCCCUUCAGCAUUCUUCUAUGAAGUCUAGUCAAAGCCACAUACAAACAUAUUAGUUCUUUAACAGGCCAUUUUAUUUAGGCACAAGGCCCAAAUAGCUGACAUAUGGAAUUGAUUGAUUAAUUGAAUUUUGAGGAUUUUUCUCUUCAAAUUGUCUCGAAUGCAAACUAAGUAGAUUCAUUAAAUUCUUAAAGUUAGAUUUGAUGAGAUCGAAUAGUUGUAUUAUGUGAAUAAUUAGAAGAUGAUUUAAGAUGAAUUGAAUAUGUGGUUUAAUUUGAUCUUUUGGAUUAGAUAAUCUAAUUUGAAGAGAAAUUAGAUCUAGACCUAAAGCUAAAUCAAAAAUUGGUUUAGAUGAUAAUUUAGAUUUUCAAUUUAACUUAAUGAAAAAUAGAUCUCAAUAUUUAUUCACCAUAGAGAUUGUUUUUUAGAAAAUCCUAACUCCAAGAGUUUCUUUUCCUUAUUAAUUUCCUUUUACUUUACAUUUUAUUGUUCCUCUCAAUUUGAAAUCAUUGUUAUUUUGAAUUUUUAUCAUGAAUUGUCAAUCUAAUUUCACUUGAUCACAAUCAUUUUUUCCCCUAAUUCAAGCCUUAAUUAUAGGAAAUAAUUCAUCCCAAUGGAUGACACCUAAGACCAAAAUACUACCUUAACUUUUGCGAAAAACCCUUUUUGGUCGGGCAAACUGGAUAUAGAAAAAGCGUAUGAUAAAGUGGACUAGAAUUUUAUUCUCACAGUUAUGCAGAAUAUGGGUUUUGGGGAGAAAUGGAUCAAGUGGAUUAAGUGGUGCAUAUCCACUGCAAGUUUCUCCGUGUUGGUUAAUGGAACCCCUACAGGCUUCUUCCAAAGCUCCAGGGGUUUGAGACAAGACGAUCCCCUUUCCCCCUACCUCUUUGUCAUGGCUAUGGAGGUCUUUAGUGCUUCCAUCAAAAGGGCCGUAGAGGGAGAUUUCUUAUCAGGUUGUAGGGUGAAGGGUCGGAGUGAAGAAAGGGUCCUAAUUUCCCACUUGUUGUUUGCUGACGAUACACUGGUGUUUUGUAAACCUUCACAAGAUCAGUUGACUUAUCUCAGUUGGCUACUUAUGUGGUUUGAGGCUGCUUCAGGAUUGAGAAUAAAUUUGGAAAAAAGUGAACUCAUUCCAGUAGGGAGGGUGGAGAAUAUGGAUGAUCUUGCUUGGGAAUUUGGUUAUAGUCUGGGUAGUCUUCCAACCACCUAUUUGGGGAUGCCCCUGGGUGCUCCUUUUAAGUCAGUUACAGUUUGGGAUGGUGUGGAAGAGCGCUUCUGAAGAAGGUUAGCCAUGUGGAAGAGACAAUAUUUAUCCAAGGGAGGAAGGGCGACUCUUAUUCAAAGUACGUUAUCGAAUUUACUCAUCUAUCUAAUGUCAUUGUUGUGCUUACCAAGCUCAGUUAGACGGAGAUUAAAGAAAAUCCAAAUGGACUUCCUUUGGGGUGGGGGCAAUCUGGAGCAAAAGCCUCAUUUGGUAAGAUGGGAGUUGGUGUGCUUAAGCAAGUCGAAAGGAGGAUUAGGGGUCAAAAGUCUUUCCUUUCUCAACAAGACUCUUCUUGCUAAAUGGAACUGGCGUUUUACAAAUGAGAGAGAGGCCUUGUGGAAUCAAGUGAUUAGAGGGAAGUAUGGAGAAGAUAAAGGGGGUUGGUGCUCGCGGGAAGCUCAUGGUAUGGGUUUGUGGAAAGGAAUAAGGUUGGAUUGGAAGUUGGUGAGCGAUAGGUUGGCUUUCAAAGUUGGUAAUGGGAUAAGGGUGAGUUUUUGGAGGGAUAGAUGGUGUGGGGAGUCUCCUCUGUGUAUGUCCUUUCCCUCUCUUUUUGCUUUGACUGUUGAGAAGGAAGCGUGGGUGGCAGAUAUUUGGGACCCCUUGGUUGAGGGGGGUUGGGGGGGUUCGAACCCCUGUUUUUUAAGAGCGUUCAAUGAUUGGGAGGUAGAGGAGGCGGAGAGAUUUUUGGAGAGGCUUCAGGGUAAGAGAGUUAUUGAGGAUGUGGAGGAUAUGGUGUCCUGGAUUGAAACCAAGAGUGGUAAAUUCUCGAUCAAGUCUCUCUAUGUAGCCCUUGAAGCGGGUGGUUCAUCUUUGUUUCCUUCAAGCUUUAUUUGAAAUGUGAAUGUGCAGCCCAAGAUUAGCUUCUUUGCAUGGGAGGCUGCGUGGGGCAAAGCCUUAACCUUGGAUAUGCUCCAAAAAAGAGGAUGGGCUUUGGCAAAUAGAUGAUUUAUGUGUCUUGAGAAAGAGGAGAACAUAAACCAUCUUCUUCUUCAUUGUUCAAGAACAAGGGUGUUAUGGGAUCUACUUUUUACUUUAUUUGGGGUGUCUUGGGUCUUGCCUUCUUCAGUUACAGAGACCCUUCUAAGUUGGAAUGGUUUUUUCCUAGGCAAAAAUCGCAAGAAGGCGUGGAGAGCUACUCCUCUUCACAUUUUCUGGACUGUUUGGAAGGCGAGGAAUAGAUUGGCUUUCAAAGAUGAAUCGUUGUCAAUUCAAAGACUGAAACACUCUUUUAUUCUUACUUUCUGGGCUGAGGCUAAGUUGUUCAUAGAUGAUUGCCCUUGAACUAUAGCUAAUUUUAUUGAUUGGUUGGGUUCUAAGUAGGUUUGUGGUAUUGGGUUUUCUUUUGUCUUUUGGCCUGGUUGAAGGCGGGUGUAUAGGUAUUGUAUACUUAAAGUCGCUAUUUUAGCGUCUCUUUUUUAAUGAAAUAUUAUUUACUUAUCAAAAAAAAAAAAAAGUUACUUUAGCAUGGAAUACCCUAGAAGAAAGUCCAAUGAACCUAAGGUUUCCAGAACUUCCGUCUGAUGAUGAUGAUGAUGAUUUUGGAGGGGCUAUGAAAGAUUUUAAUGACAUAAUGAUAAGGAUAUAAUGAUUAGAUGCAAAAGCCAUAGGCUGAGAGGGAAAAGGAAUCUGAGGAAAAUAUUGAUAAAAGAACUGAGGCUGCUGAGAUUGCCAAAGAGACUGAUGAUGCUGCUGAGGUUAAUAUUGCUGAGCAGAUGGAUGUUGAAGAAACAACUGAAUAGAAAGGAGAGAAAUUUGUUGAGAUGGAUAUUGAAAAAACUGAGGAAGCUGUAGGCGAGGCUGUUGGAAUAGUAAAUAUCAAGAAGACAACUGAGAAAAUAGAGGAAGAGCCUGCUCAAAGGCAUAAAACUGAUGAAGUUGCUGAAAAGGAACCAAUUAGAAAGGAUACUACAGAGGUUGAGAAAGAAUUUAUGGUUGAAACUGAUGCAUACCCAACUGUGGACAGAAUUAUGAGCAGAAUUUUGAAGCAUUUGGAAGGCAUAUCUGGCAGUUUUGGCUCACAAGGGGAAGCUACUGUUGUUGAUUCUAGUACACCCUAGUGUUGCCAACUGAGCCAGUGAUAUUCGCCCAAUCUGUGUUGAGGAAAUCUGAGGAGCUACAACCUCCAAGAAUUCAAUUUCUAUGAAGAAAUCAAGAAAGGCAGCUUCAAAAAGAAAAGCUUAAAAGCCUCAACCCGAAAGAAGAAUCAACCAAAAGAAGAAAGACUGGAAUUAUAUUGAAGAACCUCCCCAAUCGGAGUAUGAUUUUACAAUGGAUGAAGACAGUUGAAAGAAGAAGAACCCAGGCGAAUUAUUUCUUCUAGGGAGAUAUAAUUGAAGCUCAGAAGAAGAAAUUUUCUAUGUCAGAUGAAGACAUUUCUGAGCUGAUGGAUCUGUUACAACAUGAAGCUUCAAAGUCUAAGCAGUCAACUUCCAAAUCUAGCCCUAGGAAGUCAAAGGUGCAAAUAAUUGUGGACUUUUUCGAGAAAAGAAAGGAAAGGGCAAAGGUGUUGAAUUUGAAGAGGGAGGAUGCAUACAAAGAGAAAACCAGUAGGUAAGAUAAGGAAAAAGCUACUAAAAUACAAGUCUUAGAAUUUAAACAGCAAAAGGAGCCGAUAAGCAAAGAUUUGGGAAACUCUCAGAAGUCAGAAUAUAGAAGGAAAAGGACCUGAAGUCAUUGAGACAACUGAUUCUGAAGCCCAAGAACAGCAGGUUAUGGAACUGGAAAGCACAAAAAUAAGUAGGAAGGGAUCAGAGACCUAUGUUACAAAAGGGACUAAUAGAAGAGGUGCCUAUAAGUUCAAACUCUGAAAAAGAGUCCAUUCAGCAGUCUAGAGGAGACCUCUACCUCCUCCUGAUCUUUCCUUAAUGCCCAUACAGGUGAGAGAUCAAAAUGUGGGAUGUAUAUGCUGAUGCUAGGAAAUGGCUUGUGGUGGUUGAACAACCAAAUAAGGAAGAGAAAGUUGAAGAACCUGAACAGAAAUCAGAGGAUUCAUCAAACCAACCUUCCUCACCCUCCAGUAGCUCUGAAGGCAGUGAGGACCCAUAUGAAGACAAAUAUGUAUAAUCCGAGGAGGUGCUGAAGGCUGAUCCACCAGAAUAUGAGGAGCCUGACAUCCCAGAGUUUAUCUUACCUGGAUCUCAAGAUUCCAUUCCGCACUUAAAGUCCUUACCUUUUAUCCUCAAUAUGAAUGAGCUUAAAACAGAGUUCCAGGACAAGGUGGUCAUGGAGGCAAGCCUCAAUAUUGAAGAUUUGAUGAAGAAUCAAAGGGCAGCAAGUGGAGCUCAGUAACUUAUCUACUAUUCAAGUAAGGAGGCCUUACAGUUGCUUGAUCUUGCUUAUCCUGGACUGGCAGGAGCUUUUUAACCAAGAUAUGGUAAUCAUCAGAGACCUAGGAGGGAAGAGGUUCAUGACUGAAGUGGAUAGAAGAAGCUAUGAGUUGACCACAAAAGACAUUGCCUUUGUUAAGCAUAUUCCAUUCCAGAUUUUCCAGAUGCAGACAGGAGGCCAAGAGUCAAGCCUUACAGCAUGAGGUAGGUGGCAUAUAAUUUUGUCCCCCAGCUACUACAAAGGAUGGAGGCCAAGUCAGAGAUAUAUAAUGAAUUUCAACUUGCCUGAAAAAAUGUGGCUCCAACACCUAGUCCUCACCUAUAACUUCUACCCAUAUGGCUCCAGCAAGGUCAGAAAGGAGACGAGCUUAAGGCUAUUGCACCACAUGCUCAAAGGAGAACAUCUCACCUUCCCCAAGGUGAUCUUUGAAGCUAUGGUUUAGCUGCAUGACUGUAUACACGAGAGGGCCUCAAAUAGAUGCUUGGAUCUAAAGUUGCCAUUUUCAAGACUGAUCACUCAGCUGCUAAUCAUGUGGAAACAUGUCUUUGAGCCAGAUGAGGAAUAUUGCUCUACAGAAGAUGGUGGUCCAGAUGCAUUUGGAUAUGAAGCUUAUUUUAAGGAGAUGCAACAAAAGAGAGAGGUGGAAGUGAAGCAACAGAUGACAACCAUGGACUAUCCAGUCAUAGCAAAUUUUAGAUCACAUAUUGGAGCAUCAGAUGAGGAUACUGAAAGAAAAGAAGAAGGGCCAGAUUGUGAACUGGAAUGCUCCAUUAUGGGGUAAAUUUUCAUAUUUUCUUUUAGUUUUAGUGGACUGAUUCUAUUUACUCUUCUUAUUCCCAAUUUUCUAUUUUGGAGACAAUGCAAAACGCUGGUGGGAGUGGAAAGACUGAAGGUCAGUCCAGUUUCUUUUUGUUUAUUUUGUUAGCCUAACUUUUGUUUACUUAUAUUUCUCUUUCAGUUCCAGUUCGUUUUAAUCUUUAGUCAGCUUAUUUUCUGCGUGUUCACUAUGUUUUGAGUCAGUUUUCAGUUGUUAGUAGAGUUGAAUCAUAAGUUUCAGCUAGCUUGACCUUGUAGUCAGUAGUAAGAAGAGUCUUGAGGGAGGAUCAAACUCUUAACUUAGGGCCUCCUGCCCUCAUUGGUAAGUGUAGUCCCAGUUAUCUCAUUAGCAACUUCUAUUACCUUAUAAAAUGAGUCUGAAUAGGGCUGAAUGAGUAAGGGAUAGUUCUUGAACAUCUAAGGACCUGUUUGGGAAUGUUUUCAAAAUUAGUCAUCAAAAACAGUUUUUAAGAACAGUUUUAAAAAAAUAAUUCUAUGAUGUUUUUAAAAAAGCUUUGUUUGAAAACUUGGAAUGUUUUUAACUUAUUUUCUAUAUUUCCAAAUAUUUCUUAAAAAUAGAUUUUUUUUUUUUUAAACAACACAAGAAAAUAAAUUAAAAUAUUUAAAAUAUAUUUUACAAAAUACCCUGUUUUUAGAACAAGUUCUCAAAAUACCCUGUUUUUUUUUGUCUGGAAAACAGUUUUCUUAAAAAAGUUUCUAAACAGACUCUAAGAGUUCUUGAAAUCUAAUGGUUCUACCUUUCUUCCUUACACGCACUGUGUAGUCUACUCCAUCGUUCUAAACUACUAAGUUAGACUUUUAUCAGGUGGGAAAGACUUCAAAUAAGCUGUCAUUAGUUUUAGGAAUAAGAAAUAAUCAGCCACUUGGAUCCUAACUGAGUGUCAAGGCAUCUUCUCCAUAGGCAAGAGUUGUAGUUCUCCUCCAAAGGGGAGAAUCUGAAGUGUGCAGCUAGGUGGUCUGCUCUUAUUCUUUUGAGGCUUGGUAGUAAGAAAAUCAAGAAAAAUGAGAAAAGUCGAAAAGAAAGAAAAGAAAGAAAUAAAAAAGCAACAAAAUAAAGCUUCAAGUACCAAAGUUAAGUAUCAACUAAGCAACAUUAAAGCUAGGGAGUAAUCCAAAUUAACAGGAGAGAGAUACAGAAGACCUUGAAGGUGCUCUAGGCCAAGCAAGAAAAUUUGAAGGCCCUCCUAAGCUUAGUUUUUUGAGCUAAAAGAGGUGUCUAAGGGGUAAAUUAGCACCAAUACAUAUUAAAAGGAAAAGUAACCAUUACCAGGUUUUGAAACUAUACAUCUAUUUUUGCUGCCAUGAAAUUGAGCUAGUUUGUUCUAAGGAUUUAUCUUAGUUUGAGCCCUUUUCUUGUUGUUUUGCGUUUAGUUGUUGAGGGACUAGCAACAAGCUGGUGGGGGAUGGUGACAAGGACCCAAACUCAGCACUCUAAUGGGGCUUAUUGAGCUCACUUAAGUGUGUUUGAGGUGCUUAUGACUUAUCCAUUGACAGUCUGUUUUUAGUGCCUUAGUUUUUGUGUUUGAAUUGUUUCCUUGUUAAUUUCAGUUUUUGGGAGCUAUUUUUGGCGAAAAUAUUUAUGACUGAGGUACCAUGGGAGCUUCCAAGAAGGUCAGAGGGAGAAGGAAUAGAAGAAUUGAUGCAAAAAUGAAGGAAUUUGGAGUUGGUGGACUGCACAAAAGCUCUACAUUUGCAUACACACACACACUCACUCACUGAAGCCUGCACAAGGAUUUUAGGUAAGCAAAGGGAGUGCACACAGAGGAACCCAAGACUUUGCAUAUGCAGAGGCUUUUGCAUACAAAUCCCCAAUGCAUAUGGCCUAGGCACACCACUUCCUGCACAUGGACUCUGCUCAAAGCAACAUCAGCACACUCUCUGCCCAUUAAACUGUCAUACUCAAGUUUUGCACAUAAACUCAAGCUCAGCAAUCAUGCGCACAAGUCCUCUACGAAGCAAGCUAACACAAUUCUAUGCAUAUGUCUGCACAACUCACUUAAGCAUUCCUCUAUGCAUAACUUCAAGUCCUAUCAAAGCCACUCACAAGUCUGUGUACGCAGACAUAUAAAUUCUUUUGUCAUUAAUACACUCCCAAGGCAUUGAGAUUUAAGCUCACAUGUGGCAAGGGACACCUUUUCUGCACUCCAAGACAGCAUCUCCAUGUGGCAUUUGGAUUCCAAAAAUAGUUAUACUGGCAUCAAUGACAGACAGCUAGUUAUCUAUUCUGGUCAUUGAGGAGAGUCAAGAUCUAAUAUGGAGAGAAUUCAUUCAUCAUUGAGAAUGAAACAUCUUUUGGAUCAUUUUCUAUCAUCAAUUGUUCAACACUGCCAUUGCUUCUACCUUCAACGCUGAGGACUUUCAGUUUUGUUUUGUUUCUUCAUUUUGUUUUGAAUAUGAGAUUUGGGUUGUAAGAAACAAUUUCAAUUUCUUGUUUACUUCUGUAUUUGAAAAGCAAUUUUAAUUUUCUGUUUCUAAUCUUUUAGGACGGUUCAUUACAGUUUUUCCAGUUUUAAUUCUUUGUGAAAUUCCAUGUCUCUUUUCUUUUAUUUUACUAUUUUGUUUACUCCUUUUAAUUUAAACAUAAGUAGCUAAAUCCCUUAAGGCACCAAAGGUUGGGUUAAGCUAAGGCAAAUCAUUCCUUACAUAAGUCCUCCAAUGGUUUACUCGCUUAUGUAAAGUUCAGGAGAAUCCUAACUGGGGCAAAUGCUUGUUGCACUGGUUGUGAGAGCCAAAAGUUAAGCAACCUUAAGAGCAUUCCCUUAGACUGAGCACUUUAUUUCUGGAACAGAAUCAAGGUCUGAAUCAAAGGCCAAAAGCACCGGUUCAGUGUCAUUGUUUCUCCCCCAACCUUAGGCCAAAUGCAUCUUCUUGAGGAGGGCCUGAGCUGAGGGUGAUUUAAUUUAUAGAUCUCUACUUUUGGUGUCUGCUUUUCUUAUUAUUAUUUGUUUUUAAAAUUUCACCCAACUGGUUUUCAAGAAUUUCCAUAAAUUUCCAAAACUGCCUCUAUCUGCAAGCCAUACAUCUUGAAUCACCUAUUUCCCAUACCUCUAACACUGAAAUCCUUAGAUCGCUGACCCCCCAUAUUCACCUCAUGUAUCACAUCAAAGGUUCUUCAGACCUGAACACAUGAUCUGAGCACAAGCAGUCUUUUCUUAUUCUUCUUUUUUACAUUGGGAAUCUUUACUUAAAAUCCUCACAAACACUGAAGACGAGUCAUGAAGAGCUGGCAAGUUUGAACCUUACAAGGCAAGUCAUAAAGGAGACAUGAACAACAAAAAAAAAAAAAAUGGUUUUUCUCUAGGUUUUUGCUACAUUCCCAUAUAGAGUAGCAUGUUACAGUAUCUUAGUCAAUCUAGUCAUGUGUUAGGAAAGAUGUUAAGGUUGGUCCAGCACCCAACAACUUAAGCUUUUUGGUCAAUUAGUUGUAUAACAUGAUACCGAAUUCAUUAUCUAGUAGCCUAAGAUUUUAGCUCAAUUAGGAGAUUAACAAAAAACUUACUUUCACGUUUUCUACUUUUUAUUUGUUUGUGUUUCCUGCAUUUCUUCUCCCACUUCUACGCUUCAUCUUACCAGACUAACAGUACCAUUCGUUUUGUGAAUACUACCUUUGAGAAAAUAAUGUGAUUUUUACUUACUGCUGCUGUUAGUUAAUAUUUCCAGCAGCUGCUAAUUUCCAAUAUUUUAACUUUUUGUAGGAACCAUAUUUCUUGCAUAAGAAAGGAGGAAAAAUAAGUACCUGGGCAAGGAAACCUCCCAAUGCUGGUCCAAUGAUCAAUCCUACGCCCCAUGCUGUAUUAAUCUAAAAUAAAAUUAAAACUAUCAGUGAUGGAUUUAUGGUGGUGCUCAACACUUCUAUGAACUCUUGAUGAACAUAAAGAUACAGUGCUCACUGUUGACAGUCCUAAAGCUUGGUAUUCUUCACGGAAAAUUUCAGUUGCAUAUGCCUGAUUAGGGAAGAAACUUGAUCAUGUUUGAUAGGGAAAUACAUACAGAAAAAAAAAACCAAUAAAUUGAACCAUAAGUCCAAGCAUUUUAAGGCAUUAAUAUAAUGAUCAAAUGAUCGUCCAAAAAGUCAUAAGCAAUAAAACAAUACCAUUAUUGGUCCAAGUAAAGUACUNNNNNNNNNNNNNNNNNNNNNNNNNNNNNNNNNNNNNNNNNNNNNNNNNNNNNNNNNNNNNNNNNNNNNNNNNNNNNNNNNNNNNNNNNNNNNNNNNNNNAUAAGAGUUCAACAUAAUAUCUAACAAAAUGGAAACAUUGUUUAAGCAUUGCUUGCACACAUGCUCUAAAAUCUCAACAAUAUGAACAUCUUGAUCAUCAACCUAUGUGAAGAUGGGAAUCUAUGGGAGAUUUCAAUUUUCAGCAAAGUGGGAUAUUGUCAAAAAAUUUGUUUAGACUGUCUAGAACACAUGUUAUCACUAUGUUACGGGAGAACUUCCAACCUUUCGGCAUGGGGUGGCAGACAAAGCUUGGCGACCUUGUCAUUAUGUAUGCAUGCUUGCCAAGGAAACUUUGUUUUCAAAAUUGUUGGUUUGAAUUUGUUAAAGCAAUUAGUCAUCAUACUUGAAUAAUAAUGUCUCUCCUAGCAAUGAUUGUGCAGGAAGAAUGUAGUUGAAGCUUCCCUGAAUGAUAAUGCGCAUGAAUUAGGACACUUAGCACAUGCUAAGUUCUUUUCUUACCUUAAGAAAGAACCUUCUAUUUUUCCCAUGAUUCAAAAUACCACUAGAAUAUAAGCAAACACAAGUGUGUUAGGGAACUCAUGUUCUUAAAAUUGUUGAGAAUAAAACACGGUGAAGAGGGCGGGUAUGAAAAAUUCUCAUGUCCAUAAUCUUGUCUAAAUUUUUUAUUGGUACAAAAGUGAGAAUUAAUCUAUAUAAAUGAUAGCAGGUCGGUAUGGGGGUGAUCGUCCCAAACCCGUCCAGUUGUCAUUCUUGUAAAGUCUCUUUACUUGUAUCUCAACGUCAUGGACUUGUAGUUGAUCUCAUGGAUAUUACUAAAUGAUUUAGAUUUCAUCACACAUUUAAACCGUGAGCAUUAAAAGUUCUAUAUGGUGAAAUAUGAAUAAUAAGACAUUAAUUUAAUUCUUCUUUUCAUGAAAGUUCUCGGUUGGAAAACAAAUGUGAAGUGAAGCAACUCCAAAUACAUACAAAGCUGACUAGUUACAACUUACAACAUCAUCCAUGGCAGAUAAUAAUUAGGAAUUUCCAAUGAGAAUGCAGUACUCACCAUGAAAUAAAGGUACGGAAAAAGAGAUGAUAUGGGCAGCGCUGAAAAUGGAAAGCAAACACCAUUACCCAACAAAUUAUCAAAUUCCGAAAUGCAUUUAGUUUAAAAUUUCAAAAAAAUAAAAAUAAAAAUAAAAAUCUAACCCCUAUUUGUGUAGCCAAUUUUCUGUCUUUAUUUUUAAAAAAUUAGAAAAUAAGUUGGAGGAUAUAUUUGGAUAUUUAGGUUGAAGUUUUUUGGUUUUCAUUUUCUAUUUUUAUUUUUUAAGAAUAGUUUUUAUUUAAUUUUUUUUACAUCUUCUAUUUUCUAAAAAUACCCUUAUUAAUUAUAUAUUUAUUAAAAAAAUUAUUAAAAUGUUAAAAUAACUAAUAAAAAAUAAAAUAAAAAAUUAAUGAACAAAUAUAGUUUAAUUAUUUAAUUAUUUUUUUAUGUAAAAAAAGAGGGGUACCAAACAAAAGAAUACAAUUUAUGAACUCCUUUGUUAACUAUAUACAUAUUUUUUAUUUUACUAUUAAAAUAAUUAAUAAAAAAAAAGAAAAUAAAAAUUAAUCUACAAAUACAAUUUUAUUAUUUUCAUCAUUUUUCAAGUAAAAAAAUUUAGUACCAAAUAAGGUUUCCUAAUUUUCAUUUUUUAAAUAUAAUUUUCAAUAUUUUUAAUCAAAAUUUCAUUUAAAAAAAUUGAAAAUUUUUUCCAAACCAAAUCCAAUCUAAUUCAUUCAAAUUAUUUUCAUGUUAUUUACUACUUACUGCAAAUACAUAUGAAGCUAACAUGAUAGUGAGCUCCCACCAUUGAUGAAGGCUCAAUGGAAGGAAGGUGGUGGUAUGAAAGUAUUGCAGUGUAAUAAUAGUAGUAAGAGAGAGUGUAGUUACCAUUGCAGAGCACCACAAUCCACACAAAAAACAGUUGUCUAACUGGUAAACCUCUCUGUGUGUCUUUAAGAUGCUCCACUCUACAUCCUGGGCAUCCCCCAUGGUAAACCUUCUUCAACAACACCUCUCUCUGCUCCUCCUUCAUUUCCCUGUAAACAAAGUAGCUGUUGAAGGUGCAAACUUCAAUGCUUAAAAGUAGAUUUUUAAGUAGGAGACAAAAUAAAUUAAAACGUGGAGCCAUUGGUUGAAAUGACUACAUGGUGUGCAUUGAUGAACAACAUUACACAUCUUGAAAAAAUAAAAAAGGACGCGCACGAGACCCGGCCAUCGGAAGAGUGGGGCCUCGAAGAUUAUGAGGACACAGCUCACACUGUAGUCGCAUCUCGCUACACAUCCAUGUUCCCAAGGCCCUCUUGUUGAACGGGCACCAUCAUAAAUUACAUAAUGACAAGCAUCGGCACCAAUAAUUGGCAAUGGUAUGCAUCAAGGGAAAAUCACAUCACAUCAAAUCAGUAACAGUCAUGGUUCAAAAUAUCAGUCGGGUUCGGUACAACUCGGCUGAAGCGAAUAAUCUUUCAACACAAACCCAAUUAAGAACCGUUAAACUUAGUCGCCUCCGUUGAGAUUCUUAGUAGACUCAAUUGAAAUUACGAGUUCAAUUGUUUAAAAUCUAAAUUUUCUCAAAUUAAACCAAUUUUUUUUUCUCUCUUUUAUAUCACAACAAAAGGCAACCAAAAUUGAGAAAUCUUUAAUAAAUAUGAGAGAUUUUCUUAAAAAUAAAUUUUUUUCAAGACCCAUAAUCGUGAAGGAUAAAAAAGAAGAAAGAAAGUUUCAUAUUGGUGAUGUAGUUGUGGUGGCCAACCGGUAAGAAACAUCACAUUCUUUCAUCGAUGAUGAUCUUUGCAUAUUGGUGUUGCCUCUCCUUGCUCGAUCUCUAUUGUUUGGUUGUGUAGGUAUCCCUUGGGAUUCAGAAUUAAAGAAAAUGACUUAAUGUAUUGUUUUAUAUAAAAAUGAUUUAUUAUUUCAAAUGUUCAUGUAUUUACAUCAUUUUACCUUAUAUGACAAUGGUGUUUGAAAUUGGAAAUUUGAAAAUUAGUAUUUUACCUUAUAUGCUAACCGUAUUUGGAAUUGAAAAUUUAAAAAUUAGUAUUUUAUAGAUUAAAUAUGGUAUGAAUGCCUUUAAUUUAGGUAAUAUAUUAUUUUAUAUGGUAAUGGUAUUAUAUAAGGCAGAUUAUUUUAUAUAUUAAUUUAUUGUUAAUAAUUUAAGAAAUUAUUUGAUUUAUUAUUAUGUCAAUAAUUUAUUAUUAAAUUUAUUAGUUUUUUAAUUCAUUUAAUUAUAUUAAAAUUUUUUUGAACUUUUAAGUAUCUUAUUUUGCGUAUCACCUGAUACCAAACCGAGAUACCAAUAUUGUGCCUUAGAACCCUAGAGUCAAUGAUCGAUACCGCGAUUUGGAACCAUGAUUGAAACAUUUAUGCACCUGUAUGAUAUUCAACAUUUUCAAAUAAAAGAUGAUAUUAUACAAAAUGAAGAAUUUAAUAAUGUAAAAAUAUAAUAACCUAUAGAAAAUAAGUAAUAACAAAACAUUUGUUUUAUCCAUGCAAACCAUACUAGCAAAUAACAUUUUCUAUGCUAUUUGAAUAUUAUCUAAAAUAAAAAUGACUAACAUAUAAUAGUAGUAAACCACAUAAUAAUGUAACUUGAUAGUGAGUUGAUGGUUGGGAAGCUAAGCCAAAAUGAGGUGGUGGUUAGUUAAAAGUAUUGGUUUGUUGUGGCAUGAAACUCUAUAUCAUUGCCUUCAACUCCACCAAUUGAGUGGUAGUUGUAGUCUUAAAACUCUAUGAUCUAUCGUAGCAACUUCUUUGUCUCUUCUUAGGAAAUUCAGUUGCACUCGAACACUUAAGUUGUGAUUCAUUUCCCAAACCUUGAAUGUAACUUGAUCACUUCUCGAGCACUCAAUGAUUUGUCUAUAAGUCAGAUAAGAGUAUCAACCUUCAAGGUACUUUGCUCUUGAAUGUCAUGCAUCUCUUCCUGGAAAAUAUAGUAAAAUUUCAAUUAGUAAAAAUAUUAAAAUAAUGUGAUGCAUCAAGAAUCUAGCAUCUAUCUAGUUAAAUUGGCACCUUCUUAAGAUAAACAAGUCAAUCAACAUGUAAAUAUUAGCAUAUCAACCAAAAAAAAGCAACAUAUUACCAAGAAAAAAAAGCCUUCAACACAAAUUUUUUUAGUUAAACCCGAGAAAAACAAAACCUAGAGCGUGGCAACUCACUUGACAGCCGCUCACACGGAUUCUGCAGAGCCUCCCGAAGAAACUGAUCCACUUGGUUGACAGAGUCCUCAGAAAUCAUCCCGGAACCGACGAAGACGACAAAGCCGGAGCAGAAGCAGAAGCUGAAGCUGGUAUCGAGGCAUCGAGAGAGGAAGAGGAAUCUUUCUUGGAGGAUGAAGAGGAGAGCAUCAAUCUGUUCAUGCUCUCGUCCAAAUCAGCGACCUCCCAGGACUCAGGGCCUCCGAGAUCGUGAAUGUAAAACAUAAAAUGUUAUUUGGUAAUCUGAUCAUGAUUUGCAGGCAAAGGUUGUGUUUUUCAGCCUGGCUCAAAAAUCGUGGAUUUAGGGUUCGUGAAAUUUAAAUCCAAUGGCACAAAGCAAAGCGACCCCUAGAAUAGAUCCAGAAAACACAGGAAGCAAAAAAAAAAAGCAAUCUUUCUAGUUUUCCUUGGGGGUUUUGCAUGGAUUUUCUCGGAAAUCAAACGAGGAUGAAUUUUCCCGGAAAUCGAAUGGGGAUGGAUUUUCUUGGGAAUCAAACGGGAGUUGCAAAAAAAGAAAAUAAUAACAUGAUUAGAUUAGUACCUGCGAGGAUUGAGAGUGGCAAAGGAAAAUAGGGCCUUUUUAGGGAUUCUCUCGGGAGGGCAACUUCAUUGAUUUUUAGAUUUAGUAGAGAUUUGAAAAAAAAAAAAAAAAAAAAAAAAAAAAAAAAAGAAACAAAUAAAGACAACAAUUUUCCUCUCUCUAUAUAAAUAAUUAUUAAUUAUCAUCUUUAUUUUGAUUAAAUCACCGCUGAAAUUUGGGUUUUUAUCUAUAAUAUUUUAUGAAUUAAAAUUAAUUUGAUAAGAUAAAUUAUUAAUAAUUUUAAUUAUUUAAAUAAAUUAAUAUUAAUAAAAAAAAGUUGUUAUCACAUAUUUUUAAUAAAAUUUUAGAAAUAAAAUCUCAAAUAAAAUAUUUUAUAUAAAUUAAUUUAAUUUUUCAUUUAAAAUGUAAUCAAACAUGUUUUAAUAAAAGUAUUUUAAAAAAUUUAAAAGAAAUAGUAUCUUCAACAAAAUGAGCUCCCUUCAUCUAACAAUAUGAUAGAACCACACCGAUCUUCAUUUUAAUACUAAGACUAUUACAAUAUCAUAUAUAUUAUAUUUAUGUAUAAAUUACAAUAUCAUAUAUAUUAUAUUUAUGUAUAAAUUGUUUUUAUUCAAUAAAAUCAAAUAUUUUUUUAAUUCAAUUCUAACUUUAUACACUUCAAAAUUUCAUAAUUAUUACUCUUAAAAUUCAAAUAUUGAAUUUAUCAAUGUCUACCGAUAUUUUUCUUCUUAAUCAUAUUUAUGUUAAUUACACUUACAAAAUGACUUUAAAAUAUGUAUAUUUACUUAUUUUUAUCAUUUUUUUAGAGUUUUUGCAAGCAUUCCUAUAAAUUUUAAAUAAUUUUUGUUCCACUUAUAUUUGUGAAAAAAUAUCCACCAAUAUUUUUCUUAUAUUUCUCAUAUAUCUGUAAUUAUUGAUAUUUUCAUCCUGGUUAAAACUACACUUGAGAUCCUUAAAGACUAUAUUUGACUCCCUAAAAAUUUGAGAAAAAAUGUAAAGGAAAGAAAAUGGAGAGGAAAAGUAAAAAGAAAAAAAAAAUGAAGAUAAAUAAAAAAUAGAUUUAAAGUCAAUGAAUUAUUUUUAUAUACUACUUCAAACUUAUUUAAAUUAUUUUAACUCAUCAGUACAAAGAUUAAAUAAUUUGAAAAAAGAAACAUAACUAAUUUUAAUCAUAUUUGAUUUUCUUUGGUAUUAUUUUGUUGGAUAACCAAACAUGAGAAAAUAAUUUUAUUAAACAUUUUCUUUCUUUCCUUUGUAUUUUUCGGAAAUAAAAAAUACCCUAAAAAUAUACUGAAAGCUAUAUAUCACAUUAACCAAAAGUUAAAACAAAACUAUAAUUUCUUUAAAAUAAAAGUGGAUUAUUUAACAAAAACAGAUCAAUUCUCUUGUCAAAAGUAUUGAACUUCCAUAUCAAAUUGAUCCACAAUGAGCAGGAUUUUUAUUUCCUUAACAACAGAAUAUAAUAAGAUAACUAUAAAAAAAAAAUGGUUCCAUUCCUAUUAAAAUUAUUUUCUAAAUUAAAAAGUGAAAUACUCAAUGAAAUUGUUUCUUUUUUGAAGCCAAAAUGAAUUCACCAAAUCAUCCAUCCAAUGACAUCCAUAAAGAUCUCAACUUUAGAAUUGGAAAUUGCACAAAAGCAAUUCAGAUUAUGGGGCUAGUACUACCCCAACUGAAGAAUGUAAGGAGAAGAUCAAAAGUACCAUAUAACUUGAGAUAAGAUAUAGGAAAAUCACCAAAACAUCACUCAUCUUUUGUGACAUUAAACAUUCGAGGACAGCUAUAGACAGAGCAAAAUGCUUGCAAUGCCAUUAACCACAAGAUGCAAACGGUAGCCAGAAACGUUAGAAACUGCCAUGAACCAAACACGUAACGCUUCAUAAACUUUCCGGCCUUAACCUGCCAUAUGCCAGUGUGAUAGUUGUUCACAUCUUCAAUCACCUUAUCUAGGAAGGGCACCUUCGUCAACCUUAUGGUCUUGUUCAUCCCAUUCCACAGGUCGGCCACCUCUUCAUCACUCUUCAACCGGUUCAAAAUAAUUCCUCUUUCUCUCAGAAACUGGGCAUCUUCCUUGGUAUCAAUAAUCCCAUUCAUUAGUUCAGUGUACCGAGCAAUAAUGAGUGGCCCUGAUGCAUUUGAUGCUUCAUAUGCAACCAGGUUUCUCAGAAUAACCUCUGUGUUUACUUCUAAGCUAACAGUAGGGAGGUAAAGUGUGGCCAUCUUAGCAUCGAAAGUGAUGGAUGAGAUGCUACCAUUAGUAGGUAAGAAGCGGACACCGGAUUUGGAGAGCUCGGACACUGAAGGGAUGGCGAUUUCCUCUAUCAGUGGAGGUUUGAUGAUGUUGUUCCCAUUUUCAGGCUUGUUUUCUUCUUUGUUUUGGGAAAAGAAGAUAUCUUCGACAGGUUGUUUCAAGAUGGAAAACCCGGGGAGCUUGGAGACGAUUGUCCAAGGCAAUUUCAGUAUGACUUUUACAGGAUCGGAUAAUAAAAGUCUCUUGAGAAGACGUAUUGGGCCUUGAGUGCAUGUUGAGACCAGAUUCCAAAUUAUCUGAAAUAGCUGUUGCACAUAAUUGGAAUCUCCAAAAGAUUCUUCUUUGCCCUCCUUUGAUUCAUCUUCGUUCUCUACUUCAAUUAUUUCAGAUGGUUCUUUUGAUCUUGGCACGAUGAGAUGGUACAGAAAGUCCAGCAGGUGGGCUUGCUCCUCAACGUGGAUCUGGGGCAAGUCCUUCAUCAUCCCAAAUGGACAAAGAUCUUCACCAAACCCGGCUAACAUUGAACACAACAUAUCAUCAGCUUGAUCUAGAGUGGGGAACUGGAAUUCUAGCACCUUCCUCAAUACAAACAAUGGAAUUUGAUUCUCAAGCAUCACCAUGUCUCUAAGAAUCGCAUUAUGAGCUGAUUUGGUCCCGGCAUAAUCAACUAGGUGUGACAUCCUGGAGGAAACUCUGGUCAGCACCCGACCCGCCUUGAUGGCAUAGACUUGAAGGAACUCAAGCAAGAAAGAGGCAUCAAUAGCCAUCAUCCACGCUAAGGUAUCACCAUUGAACUCCAAGAACUUGUGGUAACAAGCUCGAAUCCUUGGCUCAUGCUUGGUCAACUGAUCAACAAGGCUUUCAAACUUCACUCUUUGGAGAUGCUUUUGAGUUCUUUUCGCUGCUGCAAGCUUAUACCUCUCCAUCUCGUAGAGCUCCGGCCGCCAAUGAUGAUAAGGCCCCAGUGCAACUUCUUGAGGAACGUAGCAAUCCGGCUUAGUAGCCAUUAGGGUUUUGGGCACAUUGUAGAUGUUCACGGGGACUUCACUAUCUUCUUCAAGCUCUUCAUCUAGAGUCCUACGUAUCUCAAUCACCCAUCUGAGCUCAUCAAAGCUUGGGUUAGAGUUGGAGGUCAUGGUGGAUUAAAGAGAAGGAAGUUUUUGCCUUUUGGUGGAGUUGGCAGUUCAAUGUGGUGUAUUAGGUAGGAGGGAGUUAGAAAAAUGAGGCUUUAUUAUAUAUAUUAUGAGACAUGCCGUGAAUGAAGCGAUUUUCUCUUUGGUAGGACAUAGGAUUCAUGGACUUUAAUGAGAAUGCGUUUUCUACAUGUUUUUUUUUUUAUAAACAUUCCACAAUUAACCGAUCGAGGCUCUUUCUCACUCUGAGAUUAAUUUGGGAGGCCGGCCGUUAGGCCACGUACAGAUGAGAUUCAAAGAGAGAUGAUAGAAUUAAUUAAUCCUGCGUUUUCCACAUGGUUUCUUGUUCAAAAGGACAUUUUUUUUCCUUCGAAGUACUUAAUUCAGUAGGGCAGUUAGGCAGCAUGUGGUAUGAAUGUGAAAAAAGGAGACGUGGAAAUGUGUUCUGCAAUCCCAAAUUGAAGUUUUCUGAGGUCCCGUGACAAGUACAUGAGUGGAAUACAAGUUGGGUUUAUGAAAUUUUCAAGAUAACACUUUGUUUUUUUCUGUAACCCCCUGUGUGAAGGGAAUUUUAGAAAUGUUUGUUGCCUAGCUUGCCUUCAACAAAGUAUUAAUUAGGAUAGAUAUGAUGUCGUUUUAGUAUCACAGCAUAGUCACCACACCUUCUUUUUCCGACAGCGAUUUUUUGUCAUAACUCAUAAGGUAUUCCAACAUGGGCUUGGUUUUCCCCUAAGAUAGAUAAAUUGAUGGAUACCUUACACACAAAUUUCGUGAAAAUCCUACAAAAUUAACAAAAUAAUAGGACAAAUAAUGUGAAUAAAGAUUUUAUAAAAAUUGAAAUUUGUGGGUACAAUAUAUUCCUCUUAUUCUUUCGUUUUAACCAUAACUUAGAGAACUAUGACAAAAUUGUUUUACUGGAUUUGAAGAUUAAUCGAGAGCCUAAAGUGACUUUUUCUCAAAUAAACUUGUUGAAUUGUGAAGAACAUGUGUGCAAUUCUUUCGUCGUUUACCAUUAUUGAACUAGUAGGCAGCCCUUCUACUGUUUACUAAACUUGUAGGAGAUUUUAUGAAACUCCUCUUUUUAUGAAGCCUAUUUUCACUUGAAUAUUUUCUAAUCUCUUUAGGAUUUGUUUCAUAUGUAAAGAAUCAAAUUUUGAAUUCCCAAAUUUUAGUUGUUUAGUUCAAGGGAUUUAAUCUUUUAAUUUUAGCAACUUUUCUUUAUUUGAAGGCUUUACCAAUGAGAUAAUAAUAAUAAUAAUAAUUAUAGUCAUAGUCUUCCAAAAUUGUGCCACGUGUCCAAUAAACCCAAAUCUUAUUGAACCAUGAAAUUACAAUUUUUUUUUAAAAAAAAACUAAAUUAAAUGAUAAUUUAAUUCACUAAAUUUUUUAUGUCUACAUAUACAUAGGUAUAUAGGUUUUAGAUAUAUUUUAAGUUUUGUAGCUAUACAAAAUUCCUAUUAACCCUACAAUAUUAAGUGCUUGUUUGGAUAUAUUUUUUGUCUUUUACCUUUAAAAUAUAAAAUAAAAAUAAUUUUUAUAUAAAAUAUAGUAACUUUUAUAUAAAACAUAUGAACUUACCUUAUUUGCUUAAAAAUUAUUUUUAAAAUAUUUCAAAUAUAAAAUAGUAAAAACAUUUUAAUUCCUCGAUUUUUUACAAUCUUUAUAUAAGUCUCAAAAGACUUUUAUAUUUUAUAUAGAAUUUAUUAUUAUUAUUAUUAUUAUUAUUAUUAUUAUAAGAAAAAACAAAAAUUGUACCCAGACGAUAUGUAUAGUUUAAACCAAUUAAAUAAUUAAUUUAUAUUAAUAAUAAUUUAUAACUUAAGUAAAAAUAUAAGUAAAAAAAUCUGUUAUAAAGCGAUGUGAUAUUUAAAGACAUUGAAUGUAAUUUUGGACAAGACUGAAAGAUUAAUUGUCACUUGGAUUUUGUAUAAGGAUAUGGCUACUGAGAAAAAUAUCAAAUGAAUGAUAAGGAUGGGAUAUGAAUUCAUUGACAAUAUCUCUAUGUUUAUCCAAACCUCAACCCAAUAAUUUAUUGAUCCAAUAUAAAAUGAUAUUAACUAAUUUAUUCAUAAAAAAAAAAAGGAAAAAAAUUUGAAGUUACAAGGAAAUGAAAGGUAAGUUUUUAAGUUUCUCAAAUUUUUUUUUCUCCACCUAUUUUUCUGAAAUUACUAAUGAUAUCCAUAUCUUAUCCAUAGAUAUAAGAUCUAAAGAAAGGAAAAGACAAAAAAAAUUAUCAACCAAAUUAAGUGUGAUGUAUAUGGAAGUUUUAAAGCAUAUUAAUAAAUUCAUAAUUGACUAAAAUUUCAAUCUUUGGAUUCCGAUGCAUAGUUUAAACCAUGAACAACAAUGUACAAUAGAUAAAAAAAAAAAGUGGUUUGAUAGAUAAUAUUGCAGUUUUUUUAAUCAUUUCGUUACUUAGUUGAUAUUUUUGUUCCUUUUUUACUAAUUAGAUGCUACUUCGCUAAUACAAUAAAUUAGGAUCGAAGAAAAUGUUUUAAAUUUCCUAAAUUGAUUUCUAUUAUAUUUUUUAAUUUCAAAAAUUAUUUUUGAUAAGUUUUAAAAUUAUGUUUAUUUCUAAAUUUAUGUUUGGUAUUCAAGAGAAUUUUUGGGAUAUUUUUAGUAAGUUUUAAAAUUGUAGUUAUCUUUAAAUUGGUAUUUGAUUUUAAAAAUGAUCUUUAAAAUAUUUUAUAAUUAGAAAACUCUUCAUAAUUCUAAAAAGAAAAAUUAUAAAUAUAAAUAGAGAUUCUAUUUGAAAUAUGUGGUGGAUUUUCAUGAACCUAGUAGAGAAAAUAUAAUCAUUCAUCAAAAACUUUAUCCUUAACUUUUAAAUUUUCAAGAUAUUUUUUUUUAGAGUAACUUUCGAUUACGACAAAUGUCAGAUGACAAUAUAAGACCUUAGGGAGUAGGUGUAUCUGAUCAAGUAAAAUUAUAUACCUUUUUCACAUAUUUAAUAAAUUAUUUAAUGGUUGAGAGAUCACUCAUGGUUUUUUAUACCUAGUAGGUUGUUAUGUGAUUUUUCUAUGUUAUAUCUGUGUUAAUUUGAGUGAUUGAUUUUAUUUAUAUUUACAUAAAAUUUUUUUUUUUCUAAAUAAUUAAUAUAAAGGGACAAAUCUAAAAUAGGUAAUAAAAUAUUAAUUUGGAGAAUUCAAGGACUCAACCGAGUCAAAUAAAAAUUUCUUUCACAUUUCUUUUAAGAAAUGUCAAAAAUAUAUCAACAUCUAAUGAUAUCAUUCUAAAAUAUUUUAAUUUUUUAAGUAAUUUAAAAACCUUGAAUUAAAAACCCAAUGUUUCAAUAGCUUCAUCACUUUUAUUUAUGAAAAUAAUAGAAAUAUUUAGAAAUUAAUUUUCAUUUCCACCACAAAACUGUUUUUCCCACUUCAAAAUGCAUUUGAACAUGCUUACCACUUGAGAUUAGAGCCGGUUUGUUCUCUAGACUUUUUUUUCUCGUUAUGUUUGAUUAGAAAGUAACACAAGAAUCAUUGCACCAACUUGCUAUAUUAUUAACCAACUUCUCCCCUUCAACCUUUGAGCGUGUUUCACUUUUCCUCUCACAUUCAAAACUCAAUACUUUAACUCCUAAAUUUGUUAAUUAAAAGAGCAACUUUUACCUUUAAACUUGUUAAAAAGUCGAUAAAUAACAUAUUAAGUGAAAAUAUAAGAUUGAAAUGUAAAGAAAAAUACUUAUUAUCCAAGUUCAAAGUUAUUACACUUUAAAGCUGCAUCCGAAAACCAUGAAUAAAUAUACAAACAUCCCUCUAAAAUAAAAGUUGGUAUAUGUCGUAUUUCGAAAGCAUUUGGAAAUUUUCACGUUAAGUUUAUAAACUUAAAAUUGAUUUUAUCCAAAUUCAAACUAUUGUUUGGAUUGUGGAAAAAAACAAUUUUUUUUAUUUUAUAAUUUUAUGAAAUUUUUGUAAUUAGGGGACUAAGUAUAAACAAAUUUAGAAGAUAAAUUAUUAAGUUUUGAAUAUGAGGGAUUACAUAGUAAAAUAUGAGAAAAAAAAAUGAGGGGUAAAAUGUAUUCAACUUUUUGUGGGAUAUGGCAAUAUGGCUUAGUAGCCAAUAGGGUUUUGGGGACAUUGAAGAUGGAUACAGGAACUUCACCUUCGUAUCCAACCUCUUCAUCUAGGAUUCUACGUGUUUGAGUCACCCACUUGAACUCAUCAAAGUUGAGUUAGAGUUGGACGCCAUGAUGGAUUGAAGAAGAUUUUUGUUGGACAUGGCUGUUCAAUCUGGUGUGUUUGGUGUGAGAGAAUGAGGCUUUCAUAUCAUAAGGAAUGGAGGCUUUCUUCUCUCUUUGUUUUUUUUUUCCUUUUUGUGUUAAUUUGGUUGCUUGUGGUUGAGUGUGAUUGCUGCCUCACAUGUUCUUUAGCAAACUCAGAUGGUACCAGGAGGGCUUCCUCAAGCUCCUUAAGGCUUGGACCCAAGUUCGAAUCCUGGGAAGACCACUCUAGGCGCCGCGCAAUAUUGGCCAAACAAACGAAACAAACUAUAUUUUCUAAACUUUAAAGAAUUUAUAUUAAAUGUAAAUUAAAUCCAACCUUCACACUUUGCAUUAAUAAAGUCAUCUUCUAAGUCCUAUUGCAACUACUACCCUAUUACAAUUUACAACCACUAACAUUUGGGUCUGCAACAAUUGUAAGUUUGUUGUAUUCGAGAAAAGAUUUUAAAAUCUUGAGAUGUUCUUUAUAUAUAUAUAUAUAUAUCUUGUUAACAAAGUGCAUCUAAAGUAAUGUUCUUAAUUGUUGCAUCUUAGAGGUAGGAUGUUUUGUUCCCUUCUACAUUAUGUUCAUAAUUGAGGAGGGUGAAUCUACUUUAAAGAUGAUACUUUGUCAAAACUUAACCACUUUAGUUCGAUAAGUACCCUAUUUCAGUUUUGUUUUGUUUAUUGCUUUGUUAGUUUUAGGCUUAGUUAUGUUGCCUAAGACUAAAUUCUUAGAUUUUUAUUUAACAUUGACUCCACUAUAGUAGUCAUACCCAUUGUUGCAUUUAGGUGUGUUGCAACCUUUAUGUUAUUGCAUCUAGGUUUGUAGCCUUCUUCCUAUUGCAAUCAUUGUACAUCUUUUAAAGGUUCUUCUAAGUCUCAACUUUUCUUACCGUUCAAACUUUAUUUUACUUUAUCUAAAAAGUACACUUUAGAUAAGAUUCUGAUGGUUGAAUCUUGGAGGUAGGAUGCUAAUUUCAUAGUACAUUGAGAUUGAUCUUAAAAGAAGACAAAUUUACUUUAAAGACAGUGUUCUAUUGCACCUCGAUGACACUAAUCUAACAAGUGCCCUAAUUUCAAUUUUUAACAGUCCCAUUUAUACUAUUUUGGGCUUAAAUUAGUUCAUUUUUUUACCCCAAAGUUGAGAUGUAAGGAAAUAUAAAUAUGUUAAAUAUCAUUUCUAUCCCAAUAGUAGGUUGUAAGAAACUUAAGGCUAUUGUUCAUUCCCAAGUUCAAGGUGAAAAAAUUGAGAAGAAAAUUUGGAAAAAAAUAUUUUAAAUGAAAUUUUCUUUGGAAGAUUUUAAAGAAAAAAACUUAAAUUAUUUAGUAAUUUAUUUUCCUUAAAUUUUCAUUGGUUUCUUUUAGGAAAAUGGGAACAAAAAUAUUUUAAUAUUUUCUCAUUUUCUUUCUUUAUGUUAUAUAUGUUUGGUUUUCUAUUUAUUUAUUUAUUUAUUUAUUUUGAAGAAAAAUAUGAGAAAAAAUAGAGAGAAAAAUAAAAAAGAAAAAAGAAAAAAGAUAAUAAAAAAUAAAAAUAGAUUUAAAAUCAAUAUAUUAGUAUUUUAUACUACUUCAAACUCAUUCCCCUUAUUUUAAUUCUUUUAUAUAAAGAUUAAAUGUAAAAGUAUAUAAGUUUUUAACUAAUUUUAAUUAUAUAUGAUUUUUUUUUCACAUUUUUAACAAUAAAAUAUAUAUGAGAAAAUCAUUUUCCAAGUUCCAUUUGAUUCCAAUUGCUAAAAACAAUAUUAAAAAAUGAUUUGUUUUUUUUUUAAUAUUUUGUUAUACUACGAAAAUAUCAUUAAAGUAUAAUGCAACCUUGAUAAAUUAUACUAAAAAAAUUUUGAAGACUUUGAUAAAUAAUAUUUUUUGUCGGUUUUGGGGUCAUCGUGUUCAAUUAAUAAUUCAAUAAAUUUAUUAGAUGAUACAGUAUAGAAAAAAGCGUAAUUUCGUAUAAGACUCACUUACUAUAUAAAUUAAUAAUUUUUUAAUAUGUAACUAAAUCCAUAUGAUUUAUUUAGGAAACGUUUGUAAAAUAUGUAUAAUGUUACUUGUUUAAAUAAAUAAGUGUUAUAUAUUUCAAAAAAUGAAUACUUUGAAAAAUACUUAACUUACCACUUAAAUUAAAUUAUUAAAUUACUUUAAAUUAUUAAAUUAGUUUACCUAACAUCCACUAAAUCUAUUGUUUAUUUUUACCCGUAAUUUUUUCUCAACAUGGUAUAUUUCAUUGCCGUAAUGGGUAGUCACCCAUUGGAAUUGGAAAAUAUAUAUAUAUAUAUAUAUAUAUAUAUAUAUAUAUAUAUUCAUUAUUUUUGUACUCAUAAUCUCUGCAUACGGUGGCACCUCCUUUCGAGAGCACAAGUGAGUCCAAGCCUUCACUGUAAAAAGUAAAAACGCACCACCACGAUGACAUUAUUUCCUCACCAAGAUCAUCAAACUUCUGCGCGUAGCACGAACCAUUCUCACCACCUGUUUGACCAAAUUCCCCACCCAGUCAUAACCCUAAAAGAUUGCAGAGAUUUUCGAAGGGCAACUGAUUUAAAUAGAAAAAUAUAUAUGUAACAUAGAAUAAACCCUAGGGAAACAAAACCAUGAUAAAAUUAUUUUUAUACCCUUCUUCCAACGCAUUUCAUUUAAGGUAUGUUUGGUUAUUGAAAAAUAUGAAAACAAAUAAGAGGGAAUGAAAAUACAGAAAAAAAAAAAAAGGAUAAAAUGAAAAAAAAUAAAAAAAAAUAAAUUAUUUUAUAUGCUCUUUUAAAUUUAUUUCAUUUAUUUUUCUUCAAUAAUUUAAAAAUGUAUAAAUUUCUUAUUAAUGUUAAUUAUAUAUAUUUUUUUUUUCAUAUUAAAAUCAAAUGUGAUAAAAAAAAAAUUCCUCAAUAUUUUUUUUCUUAGUAUUUUUGGAAACCAAAUAUAGCUUUACUUUUUUCUUUUAUAUAAAAAUUAAUUAAUUUGAAAAUACACAAGUCUCUUACUAAUUUUAAUUUUUGUUUUUUUCUUAUUUUUCUAGAUAAAUUAAACAUGACAAAAAUUUUCUCCCUAACAUUCUAUUCUUCCAUUUCUUAGCACCUUUGGCUAACCACCCAUGAACCAAAACAAACACCAUCUUCAUUCGCUGGCAAAUAAUGAGGAUUCAACAAGGAUUUCUCUCUUAUAUGUUCUUCAAAAAGAACCAAAAAAAACACUAAAACUAUGGAUUUUCAAAUUAUUUAAUCUUUAUAUCAAAAUAAAAAAUUUAAUAAAAUGAGAUGAAAAAAUACAUAUAAAACUAAUUUAUUAACUUUAAAUUUAAUUUUUAUUUUUAUUUUCUAUUUUCUUUCCAUCAAAAUUUUCAAGAAUCAAACAUAACAUAAAGAUUUUGGCCAAGGAUCAUUUGCAACGGAGCUAUAGUUCUCUUGAUGGUGCAAGCACAGUGUUUGGUAUGAAGAAACAAGGUUGGGGUUGGUUUGAAGAACAAAAUAUGAUCGAUAUAGUUAGGAAAAUAUCAAACACAAUAUUUUUUUCCUUAUAAACGAAGAAACUAGACUAUGAGUGCAUUUAAGAGUGAUUUUAGAAAACGUUUUUAAUAUUUCUAACACUUGAAUUAUAAAAAUUUUCGAGUAUUAGAAAUGUUAAAAACGCUUUGUAGAAUUACUAUCAAACAGACUCUAUAUCAAACCAAAUUCCCAAAUUCAUAAUCAUUCAUGUGAUAUAUGUAUAUAUAGAUAAUUCAACUUAGUCUAACCCGCAGUGACGUUUAAUUAAUCAUGCAAAGCUUAGAACAAGAAAAUGAAGAAAAAUUAGAGAAACAAAGAAACUGGAUACAAGUAAUAUCACCAUCUUAGGAACCCUUUUGGAAAGACCUAUAAAAUACAUAGACCACAAUUUACAAGUAUAUCAGCAAACAGUUUGUGGCGAAAUAACUAUUGUGAAUUUCUCCCAGUUGAUGAACAAUACCAAUACCAGGAGUCAUGACCCGAGUUCUGAAAUGAAAUAACUAAAAAAGAAUCAAUUUCCUAAAAUGAGAUGUAAGCCAACAUUAAUAGCAAACACAAGCUGCUUCUGGUACAAGAGCUUGAUGUCACAAGAUGCUUCAAAUGACCCUCCCCAUGGCUUAUAUAGGAGGUGAGAAGCUUCUAGAGACCCUUGGAGACAUCCACACUUAGCCACUAGUGGGAAGAGUGUGGAAGGUUCUAGAAAUGCCUAGAGAAGUCCACACAACUCUACACUAUGGUAGAAGGCAUGAGAAGGGUCCAAAGCUUUCUAGAGAAAUCUAGAAGUCUCUUGAAUAUUCUAGAAUAGUGUAGGACAUUCUAUAAUAUUCAUGAAUUGUAAGGAACCCUCCAAGGUUCUAGAGAGUUCCAUUGGUGCCUAUAAAUAGGUGAGGGCCUCAUUUGGCCAAGGCACCAAGCAAGUGAGCAUCCAAGCACUUGUAAAGGCUUUCUUGAGAUAAUAAAGCUUCCAUUCUUUAAGGAGUUGCCUACUAAGCUCUUAAGCUUUCGAGUCGCGAGUGUCUUAGCCGAGCAAGCUAAGCAUUGGGGAUCAAGGCUGACUUAGCAAGAUCAAGCGUCUUGACUUGCCUAAGUGUCGCACGAGCUUAGUGAACGACUAAGUCCGUGACAAGUGGUAUCAGAGCGCGGUUACGAGGUGGGCAUAGCAAAGGAAGCAUGUCAGGUUCCAACGUGGAGGAGACUAGUGAGCAAACCCGUGGGAGGGAGACCGAGCCUACUGCACGGGGCAGGGGCAGGAAGGAUAAAUCUCGUGAUGCCGUUGCCAACAUGGAGGCAAGGUUAGCCAAGGUGGAGCUAGCCAUGGCGAACACUCGGGAGGGGUUGGACUUGAUCGAACAAGGCAUGGAGAAGGGCUUAGAGGAUCUAAGGGAGCAGAUCCAAGACCUUCGUGAGAGGGUGCUAGUCUCACAAGUUCAGCCAGUGUCGCACGAGGAGUUUGUGUCCUUCCAAGGAAAGGUCUUGAGCAUGCUUGCUAGCAUGGAGUCAAGGAUAGAGGCCUUGGCCAUUCGAAUGGAGUCCCGAGACCAGGAAGUUAGGCAAGAGUUGGCCAUCUACAAGGCUGCUGUGUCGGCACGGGUCAUGGCCACACAGGAGGCAUCUAGGGUGGAGGUGCCGAAGCCACACAGGUUUAGUGGCAAGCGGGAUGCCAAGGAGUUGGAUAACUUCUUAUGGCAUAUGGAGCGAUACUUCGAAGCUAUCGCAUUGACGGAUGAGGCGACUAAGGUAAGAACUGCCACUCUCUACCUUACUGACACAGCUACUCUAUGGUGGCGUCGAAGGUUUGCCGAUAUGGAGAAAGGCAUUUGCACCAUAGAGAUGUGGGAGGACUUCAAGAGGGAGAUCAAGAGGCAGUUCUAUCCCGAGGACGUGGCUUACCUGGCUAGGAAAAACAUGCGGCGUCUUAAGCACACAGGCUCAAUACGCGACUAUGUCAAGGAAUUCUCUUCGCUCAUGCUUGAGAUUCCUAACAUGACUCAGGAGGAGUUGCUAUUCAACUUCAUGGAUAACCUGCAAGGGUGGGCCGAGCAGGAAUUAAGGCGCCGAGGCGUACAAGACUUAGCCACUGCUAUGGCAAUAGCAGAAUCCUUAACAGAUUAUAAGAGGGAAGACUCCUCCAAGAUUGAGUCUUUGGAGGAUAGCCACGCCAUGGGUGGGGGAGACGAGGUUCCAAGGGACCACAAUGCUCCUAAAAAGGGAUCAGGCAAGACGUCUAAUGUCCGAGAAGGAAGGGGUAAGGUGGAAAGGAAGGAGUUUACGCCUAAAAUCAAAUGCUUCCUGUGUGACGGUCCACAUUGGGCACGGGAUUGUCCAAAGAGGAAGGCGCUUAGUGCCAUGAUCGAGGAGAGGGAGCAGGAGGACGAAGCACAUAUGGGCUCAAUGCAGCUACUAGGUGCCCUCCAAUUCAACCCGAAGCCUAGCACGCCUAAGACCUCCUUACUAGCAGGGGUGCAAGUAAAGGAGGAAAAAGGGGAGCGAGCUGAGGUAGCUCGCACACACAUGGAAGAGGUCACCGAGGGAAAGGUGAACUCAAUGGGUAAGAGGAAGCAACACUCUAAGCGUCGAAAGUGCACGGGUUUGCAUCCUUCUGAAGCCUCACGAGAGAAGGAGGUGAAGAAUAUCCUGGCUGAACGGGUCACCAGGAGACAAGGGGUCCCUCCUGUGACAGAGUAUCUAGUCCAAUGGAAAGGACUACCUAAGAGGCAGGUAAGCUGGGAACAUGCGGAUGCCUUGAGAAGGUUCUGGAAACACAUCGAGAGGUUUCAGAAAGAGGCAACGACGAGGACGUCGAUGGCUUAGGUGGGGGAGAGUGUCACAAGAUGCUUCAAAUGACCCUCCCCAUGGCUUAUAUAGGAGGUGAGAAGCUUCUAGAGACCCUUGGAGACAUCCACACUUAGCCACUAGUGGGAAGAGUGUGGAAGGUUCUAGAAAUGCCUAGAGAAGUCCACACAACUCUACACUAUGGUAGAAGGCAUGAGAAGGGUCCAAAGCUUUCUAGAGAAAUCUAGAAGUCUCUUGAAUAUUCUAGAAUAGUGUAGGACAUUCUAGAAGUCUCUUGAAUAUUCUAGAAUAGUGUAGGACAUUCUAGAAUAUUCAUGAAUUGUAAGGAACCCUCCAAGGUUCUAGAGAGUUCCAUUGGUGCCUAUAAAUAGGUGAGGGCCUCAUUUGGCCAAGGCACCAAGCAAGUGAGCAUCCAAGCACUUGUAAAGGCUUUCUUGAGAUAAUAAAGCUUCCAUUCUUUAAGGAGUUGCCUACUAAGCUCUUAAGCUUUCGAGUCGCAAGUGUCUUAACUGAGCAAGCUAAGCAUUGGGGAUCAAGGCUGACUUAGCAAGAUCAAGCGUCUUGACUUGCCUAAGUGCCGCACGAGCUUAGUGAACGACUAAGUCCGUGACAUUAAGCAUUCAUUAUUCUACAAAUCUACGAAUCUGUUGCCUCAUUAUUAUCAAGGUUACCAGAAUUGCAUGUCCGAUGUGUUAAAACAAACUUGAAGUCCUGAAAAUAGCCUUCACCAGAUAAUCAUCAGAAAGAAAUCUCUUUGCCGAAACCUUUUCAUAUGCUUCCAAGCCAUUUGUAUCACCGAUCAAGCGCCACAUGAGAAGUCAUGCAGAAGUUUUUAUUCCUCCUUGAAGACAAUGAAAAUAGGCUGGAAAAUUUUCAAUUCUUACAAGCAGGGAAUAGAUGCCAAUUGAGCCAAAUCUUGAUCAGUCAUUGUCAAAAAUCAUUGAAUAAUCUAACCCCCCUCUCCCUUGGCUCGGCCAAAGUCCUUCGGUGUACAUCUUUUGUUAUGCUAUUCACUUGUAUCUCCCUGGCGUACAUCUUCAUUUUUCUAUCCACAAAAUUCUACUUUUUUCCCAGCAACAAAUCUAGCAGUGGGGUUAAAUCUCCUAAAUUCCAAUAUAAGCAUUAUGCAGGUAGUAUCAAUCUUCCCGUAGGCCUAUGAACUACUAACACCCAUCAAGAGAUCAUUCAGUAUGGGGCUUGGUCCCAAGAUCUACCCUUGGUUUAGCAGAAAGCCCUUUUGCUAACAUCUCUUCCUCAUACUUCCGAGCCAAAUCUACCAUACCCUUCUGCACUAAAGCAUCAAUAAGAGCAUUAUAUGCACACGCAUCCGGACUACACCCUUGUUCUUCCAUCUUCUUCCAAACGAUAAAAACAGGUCGAAGAAAUCCCCACCUCCCAAACUUCUUCAUAAGCAUCACGUAAGUGUCCAUCCUAGGCCUAACCCCACUAUUGAUCAUCCUAUCAAAUGUCCUAAGAAUCUGUUUAGGCUUCUCAAUACACCCGAAAAAGCAGUGAUAAGUAAUCACGUUUGGUGCAUAACCCUUCUCACGCAUUUGAUCGAACACCCCAUAGGCUUCUCUAAUUCUCCCAUUUUCACACAACAGCUUGAUAAUUGUAUUGUAAGUCACAACAUUGGGCUCACAACCCACCUCUUUCAUCUCGCGAAAUACCCGAAUUGAAAAAUCGACACCCUCGGAAAGACCAAUGGCACGAAUGACCGUGUUAUACGCCACAACAUCCAGCCUAAUUCCCUUCUUCUUCAUCUCCUUAUACAAUUUCACGGCCCUCCAUGGCUUCCCACUCUUGCACUGUAUAUCCAUAUAUAUCGAAUAAGAAUAUAGACUUUUACAAACACCUCUCCUAUCCAUCUCUUCCCAAAACUCCCUACACUUCUUCCACCACCCCAUUUUGAACCACCCACGAAGAAUAAUGUUAUAAAUUUUCACAUCAUCGUUAAAAACCAAGUCUUUGCUCUCUUUUAGGAACAAUUCUUCAGCUUCUAUUACAUGCUUAUACUCACAAAGCGCGUCAAUCAAAUUCGAAUACGAAGUUUCAUCCCUCAGAUUAAACUCCUCAGUUCUAUAAUAAGCAUUCAUCGCUUCUUCAACUAGAUGCGCCGCUGCAUAGCGCUUGAACACGAAACGAAAAGUGACAUGGUUGGGGUACGCAACUGGGUCUGCUUUCAUGCGUUGGAUCAAAACCCAUAUGAGAUCGAAUUCGAAAAACUUGCCCAGAAUGUCAAUCAUGCCAUUGUAGGUAUCAGUGGUGUGAUUGAAGCCGCAUUGGGUUUGAACCCAAUCGAAGAACUCGAGUGCGCGUUUCCAGUCAUUGGCGUAGCAGGAGAGAGUUUGGCGCACAGUGGAGUGGUCAAAACUGGUUGAAUUUGGGGAGAUUAUAGGGUUUGAUAGAGGCUCUGGUUCAAUGGGUUUGAAGGGUUUUGUGGAAAAGGAUUGAGUGAAUGGAUAAAGAAGAGUUUGAAUGCAUCGAAACGAAUUGCGGUGCCGAGGAGAGAUCAAAGAAAGCAUUGCCAAUGUAAUGACUUUGCACUCUGAUUCUCUUUCAUGUGUAGUUUCUUCGAAGCGACUGAGCAGUGGCAAAGAGAUUCGGAUUUUUUAAUAAAUAAAUGUACAGUAAUUUCUAUUUUUUUAUCAAUAUCAAAAUUUUCAUUAGUUGUCUCAAAUAAAUAUGAUAAAGCUAAAUAUUUUUUUGCUGGAGUUUCAGACUUUUUUUCUUUCUCAGAAUUUUUUUUGGGUGGACUGAAAUAUUGCCCCAUUUUGUUUAUACAUAAAAUUAAAUAAAAAUAAUUUAAUUUCAAUUAUUUUCCUUUCAUUUAAAAUGAAAUAUUAGUUUAUUUCUCAUAAAAAGAAAAUAAAAAAUUAUAAAAAAUAUGUACUUAUAAAUCUUAUUUGUUUUAGUAUGGGUAAAAUUCUAAAUUAAAAAACAAAAGAAAAUUAAACAAGGCAAAGUGGAGUAAAUGUGGGGAAUUUCCCCUUGACUCCCCUUGCAUCUCUUCAAUUAAUUUAACUUUAGAAUGGGGAUGAAAGUUUAUUUAAAUAAUGAAAAAACUUGCCUUGAACUUUUUUUUUUUUUUACUUCUCUAUGUAGUCUAUAAACCAUUAAUAAAUAUAGCAUCUUGUGUUAAUUAAGGGUAAGGGUUUAUGAUUUAGAGUUUAAGGUUUAAAACUUAUGAUUUAGGGCUUAGGGUUUAUUGUUCAAAAUUCAAGGUUUAGUUAUAGGUUUAGGAUUAAGGGUUCAAGUUUUGAUUUUAAGGCGACAAGAGCACCACAAAAAAAGGACAGAGAUAUCACUGACGGUAGAGGUAGCAGCAUCUAAGCUAGUAUCUGGGCCAGUUGGCUUCGUCAACUCAACAAUUGAAGUAGUUGAUCUUGAACCAAUUUGUUCAUCAAUUGCCCCAUUACCCGGUAAACUCUCCUGGAUCAAUAGCAUUGGAUCGGGAAUGUGGCCAUUUCAUUAUAGCCCAUUGAUCCAUGAAAAAUAGAGACUCUUCGACUAAGACAUUGCCUUUCUAUUUGUAGAUUGUUCACAUUUCACUGGCCAGGUUUGAAACUCUCUUCACUUCGCCCCAUCAUGCAAGAUAUAGGAGAUUAGGAAAAAUAAAAUUGUCAGUCUAGACUGGGAAAUGAAAUUCAUAGAGCCCCCAAGUGUUUUCGUUGUGGAUUGCCAGCUCCACGCUAACAUGCUACUAAAAUUUAGGUAACACGAGAGAUGGGUAUGAGUUGGUCAUCCAAGCAACUAACCUGGUAGGUUAGUCGGGUUGGUUCUCCCCGUCUAUGAAGUCGCAUUUGACUCACCACCAGCAUAUGAAUCAAAGUAGUAGAAAUUUCAGUUUCAGUGUGGAAAAUUCUAGCAGUAGUUUCCCCUUCUUUCCUUUCCAGGUUUAAGGGUGUCGGCUCUAGAUAGAUUGGUUACCAAACUUCAACCAUGUCUGAUACCAACUGCAACAAAGACCCCAUACUUACUUAUAUUUGAAGUAAUGUGACCUUUCCUAAGCUAGUCUUAACUUAAUUUGUUCCUAGGGGUCAUAUACAAUGCACAUCAAGACUGGGAUGAUCUCCAUCGACAUUCAAUAUUUCUUCAGAUUCAGGUAAAACAGGUCGAAUGCUCACUCUUGGUUUACUCACCGACAACACAGAGUUGUGCUUCACCUCUAAGAAUCCUUGCAGCUUCCUUCACUUAUCUAACUUGGUUCACUACAAAUGUGACCUUGUUAAAUGGCAACUGCUUUCCAGGUUCAAAAACUCGUUGAUUUUGCCAACACCACAACCACCAACAUCCCAAAGUAAAUAACACAUUCCACUCAAGAGGAAUGCCCUCAAUUUCCCUCCUCAUCACGUUUUUGGUCAACCAUUCUCUACACUCCCCCGAGAAAAACUCAUUCCAUUUAUUCCCAGGAAGCAAAACCUGCCAAAAUGUCAUUACAUGAGGGCAAUCUCGCAACACAUGCAUUGCGUCUUCAAGACUACCAUUGCAACCUUCACAUCUACUAUCACUAGCCAACCCUCUUUUAACCCUGUUACCAUUGGUCAUUAAUCUAUCCCUAGAUGCUAGCCAAAGGAAAACUCAUACUCGUUAGGGUACUUUGACUUUCCAAACAUGCCGCCACCCUUUGUCUUCCAUUUCCUCAUCUAACCCGGCCAGCAUUCCAUAGGUUGACUUCAUCGUAAAAUUCCCAUCAACCACCAAAGAUCUUAAUGGUAGAAAUAUGCAUCAAUAUCUUAGUCGGGAUUAAGUGCUCGAAUUCGGGCCAUCUCCACUCUCUAUUCUCUCCCUAGUAAUCCGCAACAAGCUUAGUGGAAAUAUAUUGGUCUAUGGGAGCAAUUGCCAACUUUAUAAGAGGUUUAUAAAUAAUCCACCUAUCUGUCUAGAAAUGCACCGACUUCCCAUCACCAAGAAUCCAACUAGCACCCUUUUGCACAUUCCCCAAAAUUUCAUACAAACCUUUCCAAACAUGAGAAGGACCAACUCUCAAUGUUGCUAGGUUCACGCCCAAUUGAUCUAUACCAUAUUUCUCUUUAAGCACUCUAACCCAAAGUAUAUCAUUAAGAUAUGCCUCCAACCAAGCUUUGCAAGAGCGGCCUUAUUGUCUUAGCCUUACGUAAUCCCAAGCCUCCCAUACCCUUCGGUUUACAUAUAUCAUCCCAUGAGACCAUAUGCACUCUUCGUCGUUCCUCAUUGUCACCCCAUAGAAAGGCCUUAGACUUUCUAUCCAACUUCUCACAAACUAAGUUUGGCAUCUUUAAGCUUUGCAUGGUGUAUAAAGGAAUAGCCUGCACUACCAAUUGUGUUAAAGUAAUCCUCCCUACCAUGGAGAGAAGCUUCAAUUUCCACCCCACUAGUUUGGGCUACGCCCCUUAUCAAUUACCUCUUUACAAGCUUUCUUGUUUACCCUCUCAUGUAAGAUAUUUACCCUAAGGUUUUUUCCCAAGAUUUUUUGUGAGAGGUAUCCCUGCCUUUCUACUGAUUGAGUUUGAUAGUCUAGUUGACACAUUCGUUGAGCAAAAAAUUUUAAACUUCAACAAGCUCACCUUUUAGCUCGAUGCCAUACAAAACUCUUCCAUACAAUCCCUACUCCCACCUAUUCCGUAGAUGCCUCGGCAAGCAAAAUAAGAUCAUCCAUGAAAAAUAGAUGAAAGAGUCGAAGGCCUUUUUUAGAAAGAUUAAUAGGAUGCCACUUCUUGCUUUGCACCGAAACUUCAAUUCUGCAAGCAAGUCUUUCCAUGGAAAACACAAAUAUAUAAGGAGACAAAAUAACCUUGCCUAUUUUCCCUAUAUGGAAAAAGCUCUCUGUUUUUCCCCAUUCCACAUUACUUGCAUGGAUGAAGAGGUGAUGCAUGACAUAAUUAAAGCAACAAAAUCCUCUGGGAGUUGAACUGCAUGGAGCGUAUCUCUAAGAAAAUUUCAUCUCAACCUAUCAUAUGUUUUUUUAAGAUAAACUUUCACCGCAAGCAUUCAUCUCUUUCCCUUAUUUAUUCACAUAAAAUGAAUCACCUCCUGCAUAAUAACUAUGUUAUCAAUUAUUUGGCGUCCAAGUAUAAAGCUACACUGUGUGGGUAUAAUGAUAGUAGGCAGCAGAGUCUUCAACCGAUCCACGAUCACCUUAGUAAUGGUCUUGUAGGAGACAUUACAUAGGCUUAUGGGCCGCAACUGGGUAAGACUUUUUGGAUGGGGGACCUUUGGAAUCAACUUGAUCAAAGUAUGAUUAAUCCCUUAAGGCAAGCUUUUAUCACGGAAAGCCUUCAACACCAUACAACACAAAGAGGAACCAACUACAUCCCAAAAUUUUUGGUAAAAAUGUGAUUGAAAUCCAUCGUCUCCAAGUGCUUUGUAUGCUCCCAUAGAAAAAAAACACAUCCUUUACAUCCCUAGGAGUCAUUGGCUUCAUCAAAGAAGUAAUUUGCUCAUUAGUAAGACAAAAGAAAUAAUUGACACAGUUAACAGGCAUACCUCGAUUUCCCUCGUCUGUAUAGAGUUUUUGAAAAAAAUUGAACCACCAUAUUCUUAAACAGGUUUACAUCCAUGAUCCAACUUUCAUUAUCCCCCUUUAAGCUUCCAAUCCCUUUUUUUUUUUCUCUCGGAUGAGAGUAAACAUGUGCCAAAAUUUCGAGUUACAAUCACCAAAUUUAAUCAAGCCAUGAUGAAAUUUCAAGUUACAAAUUUCAAAUUUUAACCAAUAAGUGCAAGAAGACAAGUUUUUUUCACCUUUAAGUGGGCAAUCAAGCCAUGUGCAAAGAGAAAAUGUUGGAAUUAUGAUAUCAUGAUGAACUUAUAUGUUUGAAUCACCAACCUGCUUACGCAGAUAUUGAACCAACCAAUGGAGGGCAAUGGGGGAGAGAGGGAGAGGAAUGUGGGAGACUUGUUAAAGCAUGUAGAAUCUAGCCAACUAUUUCAUGCCUCAAGAUGAUUGAGAUCAUCUGCAUUAUGUGCACAAACAAUGAUUGAAUUCUCUACUGUUAUAGUCAUAUCCUCAAGCUCUUCAAAGUCAUUAUCCUGUCCAAAAAAAAUAAAGAAAAACAUAUGUUAUUCUAGCAUCACAAGUCAAAAGACAAUUUCAUUGCUGAAAAUGGUAUUCUAAAGUCCCUCAAACUCAUAUCACUAUCCUUCAAGUAUGGAUCCAUUUCACUACUUUGGGUAGUAGGUGUCUCCAAGGCCCUUGCUAAAUAACUCAAUGCUUGAGUUACAAAUGACAAAACAAAAUUUUCACAAACAAUUUAUGUUAUAAAAAAGUCACAAUGUAGAACUGCUUCCAGAUCAUUUCACAAACAAUUUGCUCAUGUAUCAUCCUGCUUGUUAGCAUCAUAUAAAGACAAUUUCUAUUGGAUAUAGCUAUUUGUGCAAGUAUUUUACAAUUAAGAAGUAACUGCCUCUUAUACAGAUCGUGUAUAAAUCUACUAUAACUAUAAGAUGCCCCAUUCUUGUGAAUUACUACAUUAUCACGAAGUUUGGUAUUUCCUCGCUCUUAAUUUGCUAUGCUACACUUAGCUUACUAUACUAAGUAAUGCUACACAAUUCGACAGAUAGGAUAUGCAACAAAGGUAAACUUAAGAAAAGAAGUUUUAUAUUGCACGAGGAAGCUUUACAAUGAUAGAAAACUCUUAACUUGCUUAGUGUCUUGUCCAAAUGAGACACCUCUUAUUUAUAGGCAACUAAGGAACUCUCUAAACCCACAAAGGUUUCUUACAACUCCAAAAUUCUUUAGAACAUCCUACACAAGUCUUAUGUGCAAGAUGACUUUGGAACACUCUAAAAUGCCCCACAUUCUUCCCUUGUCUUCCAACCUUAUGUAAAGAUUUGUGGACAUCUUUAGGCUCCUCUUGAAUAUUCCACAAUCUUCCAUUAGUAGAGAAGUGUGGAUUGCUUCAGGAGGUUCUAAAAGCUGCCUACUUUAGGAGGUUCCAACAGUUUCCCACUCUCUUAUCUCAAGGGAAGUCAUUUGAGCAAGUUGUGACAAUGAGCUUUUUGCAUACCUUUUAGUUAAUUUGGUUUUCUAAGGGAUGAUUUCUGUUUUGUUUAAGUAAAUUGAAUAUUUUUUUUGUGGAUUGCAAUUAAUGAUUAUUUUAAUUGGUUUGCUUUUCUAGGGUUUUUUAUUUUAUUUUUUGUUUGUAAGCACUUAAAGAAAAAUUAUUCAAAGAAUUACCCGUAAAAACUUCAAAUUGGGGUAAAAGCAUUGGCGGUUAUGCCCAAUAUUUGAAAAAUCGAAAAAUAUCACCAAAAUAUCAACGAAAAAUCAGUUAUCGAUGAUGGCCAAAAUGAAAUCGACCAUUGAUUAUGGAUCGGGUGAAAAAUCAUCUAAAUAUUGGCAAAAUUGCCGAUAUAUUGAUAGAAAAUCGAAGAAUUGGUGAUAAAAUUGAGCAUGGAGACAACUCACGGGUAAGGAGGAAAAUGUUGGGAUAUAUCGCCGAGAUAUCGUGUAUCGGGAGGGGUCGACAUGAUAUUUUGUGGAGAAAAAUCGGAGGGGAGAAAUUUCUACAAAAAUUGCCAAAAAAAUCGCUGAUAUAUCAGCUUCAGGCGAUAAAUCGCCAAUAUAAUGGAAAAAAAACGGCCAAAAAGGAUGAAAAUCACCGAUAUUUCGACAAUUUUUCGAUCGGUCAAUGCGCUACAGUGCACUCUAAAAAUUUCCUUUUUUUUGUGAUGUUGAAGGGAUUUAAAUGGGGUUCAACACAUCCGACCACCAAGGCAAGUUUGCCCUUUAUUAAGUAAAUUGCACUUAAAAUAUAUAUUCAAAGUUAUCAUGUAAAGAAAAUUUUAGAGAGCAAAUUAAAUAUAAUUAUUUUAUAAUUAAAUACUAAAAUUUCUUUUAAUUGAUUACCAAAAAUAUAAAAAUUAUCAUAAUAAUUUUCUUCAUAGUGUUUUCAAUAUCAUUAAUGAAUUAAUUAAAUAUUAAAAAAUUGUACAUAUAUCAUAAUUUAUUUUAUAUUAUUUAAUAUAAUUGAAUUAAAUGGAUCAUAAUUUUAAUAUUAAUAUAUAUUUUUAAGUUAGACAUAUUAUAAUCAAAUAUCAUAAUAUUAUUAUGAAAUAAUAUUUGAUAUAAUUUAAUAAUAAAUGUACACUUAUAAAAUUCAUAUUUUUAUUGAUGCAUACAAUAUUAUUAUCAAAUAUAAUAAAUCAUAUUAUACAUAUAUCAAAUUCUUUAAUAAAACAACUUUAAAAUAUCUAUUAUACUUCUAAUUACAUUUUUAUGAAACUUUUCUUCUAUUUUUAUAAAUUUUGAUCAAUUUUAGGUUUAUCGAUAUUUUUUUUACAAAAUAUCCCCGAUAUAUCCCAUAUAUCUGUCAUCCUUCCUCACGCGUGGGGUAUGGAAAUAAAAAAUCAUCCAUUUUUUUACUACUUUUCAAAAAACACCAUUUUUUUUAUAAAUAUUUAUCCUAUUUUUUAUUUUUUUUAUUCAUUUUUAAUUUAUCUUUUAUUUAUAUUUAUAUUAUCAUUUUAUUUUAUAUUAUCCUUUUAUUUUUAACUACUUUUCAUAUUUAUCUCAAUAUUCCUAUUUUAAAAAAUUACUAUCACUUCACUCUUAAUUAUUUUAUUUAUCCUUUUAAUUUUAUUUAAAUUUAAAUUUGUUAUUUUAAAAUAUUAAAAAUAUAAUUUUACUGAAAAAUUACUACAAUAUAAAAAAAAUUAAUGAAGUUCUAAUAUUUUAUAAAUUAAAAUUAAUUUGAUAAGAUAAAUUAUUAAUAAUUUUAAUUAUUUAAAUAAAUUAAUGUUAAUAGAAAAAGUUGUUACCACAAAUUUGUAAUAAAAUUUUAGAAAUUAAAUCUCAAAUGAAAUAUUUUUUAUAAAUCAAUAAUUUUUUAUUUAAAAUAUAAUAAAACAUGUUUUGAUAAAAAAUAUUUUUAAAAUUUUUAAAAUAAAUGAAUAUAAGUAAAUUGAAGGAAUUUAAACUAAUUUUUAUAAAAAUUUGAUAAAUAUUAUCUUUAAUCAUACUUAUAUCAAUUACAUUUACAAAAUAACUUUAAUACGUAUAUUCUUAUUUAUUUUAUCAAAUUUUUUAAGUUUUUUUUAAGUAUUUUCAUUAAUUUUGUAUCAUUUAUGUUAUAUCGAUAUUUUUGGUUAAAAUAUUCAUCGAUGUUUCUUCGAUAUUUCUGACAUAUCCAUAAAAUCCAAAUACCGAUAUACCUUGAUUUACCGAAAUUUCAAAUCUUUGGUUGUACCCAACAAAAGUAGGAUUCAUCCCCUUGUGACAAUGCAGGUCCUGCACCGGUAGUAAGUGGGUCUAAGCGUGAUGGUUAUUUUUUACCAUUUUCAUCAACUACAUAUCCUUCACACUAAGUGUCAUAAAAUGAUUGAAGAUUUUGCUGUCUAAAAAUGACCCCAAACAAAUUAAUGAGGUCCAGCAACCAACAGGCUGAUGGCUAAUUUCUUCCUUGGAAAUAUCUUCACAUCUAAGCUCUUCAAAUGCAGGUGACCAGAUGGUUUUCUUAAUCGUGAAUGUGGUUGAGGCAAUCGGAGUGCUCAUGACAUUCAAACCAUUUCUAGUUCAAAGGCGUCGAUAGAGGAAAAUCAGUCUGAUUCAACUCCAGGCCGUGAAGAUUAUCACCUCGAUCAGUAUGACUCUUUGGUAGCAUUGCACCUGUCUCCAUUCAUUAUAGGGACGAUAACUUGCAUCCUGUAGUAACCCUUUUGGGGGGGUAUAUUAGAUCAACAACAAUGUGCCCUGUAUCUACUGCAUUUUGUACACCAGUAAAUUACUGCCUACCUGCAUAUUGUUGGACAUAUUUGGUUACCAAUAGGCAGUUCAUGAGUUAGCAAAACUCUUGUUUGAUGUCUAAUACCUUUUUUGUUUCACUUAAUAUGGGGCAGCUCUUGAUGAAUGUUUGUGAACAUGAUUUUAUCAUCUUCAUUUAAUUAGUUACAUUAUGUAUAGUCUUAAUUGAAAUCUAAAAUCAUGAAACCUAUC
RNAcentral lists this long non-coding RNA (117726 nucleotides) under Vitis vinifera (wine grape). RNAcentral's name for it is "long non-coding RNA (VVIN_LNC004212)". Lineage: Eukaryota; Viridiplantae; Streptophyta; Magnoliopsida; Vitales; Vitaceae. The record is from RNAcentral.